GUUAGAAAUACAGGGGAAUGGUGGAACAGCAGAGAUGAGAGGCGGCACUUAAAGAUCAGGAUGGAGUAACGAGGAACGGCUAGAAAUCGCCAGAGAAAGAGUAGAGACUGAGGCGAGGGCGGCCACUGAUGCUGCGACGGAACAUCGACGAGGCAGACGAGGAGAAGGAUCGAGAGAANNNNNNNNNNNNNNNNNNNNNNNNNNNNNNNNNNNNNNNNNNNNNNNNNNNNNNNNNNNNNNNNNNNNNNNNNNNNNNNNNNNNNNNNNNNNNNNNNNNNAUCACCCAUUCUGUAUGCGGUAAUUCCGCUCGGGGUAUAACAUUCAACUGCAAUUUCAUAAAAGGUUCUGAAGGAUUAUUCUCUACACAUCAGAAAAGGUCACCAUCUUUCAUCUGGCAUUUCCUAAACAUUGUUCACACUGCGCUAGCUUUGAGGAAGAAAAAAAAAAUAGUAGCAACAACGUUUCACGUGCUAUGAUGCAUAACAAGUUGGUCUCCAAGACCAACCCAUCACAUCCGCUUUGAUGUAAGUUGUCUCUUCUCAUAUCUUAGGAACGAAAAUUGUCCCUUUCUAAGGUUGAUUCUAGAGAUUUGGCCCUCCACUUUCCUUUUUGAGUUCAUAUUUGAUCACAUCCUUUUAUUUGAUGAGCAAAACUAAAAUACGAAUCCUACACUUCGGUGACCGUUUGAAUUCUUGCCCAAGGCUUUCAUAUUACAAAAAAAAAUAAAAAAUCAAUGUAUUUAAAAAAUACUUCAGCUGUGCUUGCAAACAAGUGUAAGCUGAAGUAUUAAAGUGGUGGAAUGUCAUUGGAAGGUUAAACCAACGAACAGACCAUGGCUAGCAGAGUAUCCUUCCAAAUGUCACUUCUAGAAAUAUAGACAUAGCACAAUGUAGAGUUUUCUUCUUAAAAAAAUUUGGCUCGAAUCUCAUGAACUUAAAUAAUUCCCAAAGGGUCUUACAUCUCAACAAACAACAUGAUUGCAUUUACAUUGGACACAGCACAGUGCAAAGUUUCCGGCCGGCCACCCCGGAGGAGUUGCCCUCCUCCGGGACCUUUCAUUGGAGGUUUACCAACCUAGUAUGCUAGGAGAAGGCAGUGACCUCCCUCCAGGCGGGAUCCCAGCACUAGAAGUGCUAUGGCCGGAGAGCCCAAUGGGGACUCUAUCCUGUUUUCCUCCCCUCACUUCCCUGUAAAUGGGUUGUGGGAGGAAGCACCCUAGGAUGUCCUAUUAAGGGUGGAGCACUUUAAGGACCUGCUUAGGUCCUCACUUCUAGAAAUAUAGACAUAGCACAAUGCAUAGUUUUCUUGUAAAAAAAAUUUGGCUCGAAUCUCACGAACUUAAAUAAUUCCCAAAGGGUCUUACAUCUCAACAAACAACAUGAUUGCAUUUACAUUGGACACUGCACAGUGCAAAGUUUUUUUUUUUUUUUUGGUUAGUGCAAAGUUUUUAUUCCCCUUAAAAUAAAAUUAAGAAAAAAGACAAAAAGACAAAAGUUCGAAUCUUUUUGAAUCUCUAUAAUAUAAAUAAUUUCUUCCUAAUGUCACUUCCAGAAAUAUGGACAUCUAGUCUCUCUAGAUUAGAUCAAAACAUUAUCCAACGCAAUUCAUUUGAUGAAUGGUUGUAGUUUGAAAUCUUACAAAGUUCUAAAAUUCCGCUGGCCAAAAAGGAGUUUUGAUAUAUGCGUUGUAAGUUUGAAUAAUCAAAUAAUAAAUUUCAAAUAUAGCUGGUAAGUGAAAAUUACAUAUGACUUUAUAUAUAUAUAUAUAAUAGACCAAGUAACGAUUGCAGCCAUAAGGACGUACUUAAGCUGAACUUGCACCGAGAGCAACCAUGUCUACUGAAGAGAAAAUAGCCGACCCUGAGGCGGCGAAGCCGGCUGAAGCGCUGCCGCUGAAAGAGGAGGCCCUGCCUCCACCCACGAGGCCUCCCGACGAGGCGAGCUUGCUCACAGCGGACGUGGCUCUUCAAGGGUUGCUGUUUGCUUCGAUGCUAAUCGCGCUCUUGAGGACCAUUCUAAGUUUGGUUCUGGAGAUUUGGUCCUCUACUAUCCUUUUUGAGUUCAUAUUUAUAUUAUUGAUGCACACCAAUACACACGCUUUUACUUGAUGGGCAAAAUUUAAAAAAUCGAGCAAGUUAAUUGAGUCGAGCCCCGAUACCGCGGCCACAUGCAACCACGGCCGUGCGAGGCCAGCAACCUCCGUCUGUCGCGACUUCUAUUGGACAUAGGUUGUGAGUUCCGUGCGGAGAAAAAAAGAGACCAUAGGAUAGCAAACAAGUCAAAUCGGUGAGGAGUUAAUGUCGCCGGUGGAUUCACACAUGAAGGUGAGGGCUUGUGAUGGCAAUGGGUGGGCGACACGUAAAAAUCCUAAACUAUAUUAACUAUGACACUAAUUAUUCCAAAUUUUUUUUUUCAUCAUAAAAAAUCGAAACUCGUAUCAGAAAUCCAAAAGUACUCUCCAUCCAAGUUGGUCAUUAAAAAUUUAAUGUGCCUGUUUGCGUGGACAACAAUAGACAAAUGAAGCAGACAUGACUCGGGAGAAUUCCACCAAAAAGCCUAAACCUUGCCUGGUGUGACAACGAAACCCAAUUUUUUUACCUGUUACUAAUACUAUAUAUAAACUUGUACCAGUGACUUGCAAAUAUUAUGCAUCACAGUUCCAUUCAAGACGGCCGUUAAAAAUCCAAUGUGACCGCUUGCUUGGACAUCGAUAAGCAAAUGGAGCCAAUGUCGAUAUGAUGUGAUUUUAGUAUGGUCUAAAGUGACUUUAGACCACUUGCCAAAGUUAUAAGUUUUUAAAAAAUUAAAUCUCCGUGGUAACAAGUUGUCUCUCACAAUUUUUAGGGUCCAGGAAGUGGUAUAAUUUGGAGAUGCAGUUUUUUUUAAGGGCUAAUACCCUAAAAAACCCCAAACUGGUACACUCGUGAUAAAUUUACCCUAAACUAUUUUUUUGACCACAAAAAAUCCCAAAUUGGUAUUACUUUUGACAAAUUUACCCCAAACUGGUAUAAUUGUGAUAAAUUUACCCUCUGUUAGUUUUCGUUAAAUUUUAUUGUCAAAUUAUUAAGUUAAAUGACACGUGACAAUUAAUUAAUAUAUCAAUUUGAGAUUUUAUGAUCCAUUUGUCAUAGUUUACAAUUUUUGUGAUUUUUUUGUAGUAUUAAUCCAAUUUAGCGAAUAGUAUAUUUGUCACAAUUUAUCAGUUUGGGGCUUUUUGUGGUUGAAUAAAUUAGUUUGGGGUAAAUUUGUCAUAAAUGUACCACUUUAUGGUUUUUAAUGGUCAGUCGGGGUAAAUUUGUCACAAGUGUACCAAUUUUGGGUUUUUUAUGGUAAAAAAAAUAGUUUUGGGUAAAUUUGUCCUAGAUGUACCAGUUUGAGGUUUUUCAGGGUAUUAACCCUUUUUUUUUAAUAAUAAUUGGGACGAAUUCCUCUCUAUUUAACUUAAAGCGCUCCGAGCUUAAUUUGAAACUAAUAUGCAAAAUAAACGAGCUUCAACUUAUUCUCCAUUUAUUUCGUAAAAAAUGAAUGAUUUGGAAAACAUUUUAUAUCGUUCAUAAAAAUGAAUAAAUUAAAUAUAUUUUCAUUAUCUAUGAAAAUAUUUAGAUAUAAAUUAUUAUCGAUAGUAAAAAAAUUUCAUUAAUUAAUUAUUUCAAGAAAUAUAAACGAUGAUUAUCAUUCAUUUUUCACGAAAUAAACGGAGUGCUAACUUUAACAAAAGUGUAAUGAAAUAUAUUCUUGCUUUGCCUUUCUUUUCCUUUUUCUCUAUGCACUUGAGACCUUACAUUCGUCCACCUUCUUUUUAGCAUUUCACUUAUGUUCUUCUCCUUUUCGGGACAAGAAAGAAUAUGAAGGGAUAUGAUUGUUCACUUUGGAUCUCUUUAUUGGCAUCAAUUAUAUGGUCUAUCGUCAUACCAAUCUGAUAUCUAUCAACGUCUUUUUUUUGGAUAUGGAUUCAUCAACAAUGUUAGCGUGCAAACACUCAGUACAAUUUUGUGCCGAAGGGUAAUACUUUUCCCCAAAAAAAAAAAAAAAACUGGAAUCCCUCACGAUCUUCCUUCUUUGUUCGAUGAAAAAUCAUUUCUGGAAAAUUUCUUUCCUUACUUUCCAGUUUUUGAAUCACGUAAAGCUACUCGAUCCAUAAAAACGUUUACCAUGGGCUAAAAGUAAUAAAUAAGCUUAGAGAAAAAUGACUUGGCAAGAAGAAUUGUUUUCCCUGAUUUUUUUCCUAAUUUCUUUGUAAAUCGUUGUUAUUUUCAUGGAUUAUAGAAUAAACGGUGAUGAUAGUCAUCACAUGUUACUUUUAACUAUAUAAGCCACCCUUAAUGAAUUCACUUAUUACCAAUUAUGAUAAAAUCAAUUUCUUCAACUUGUUUUCAGCACGAUCAAAAUUUUGUGUUUACUUUUUCUGAGAUUGAAUUUCCUAAAACAUUUUCCCUCAAAAAAAAAAAUUCUUAGUGAGAUAAACACAACCUAAGAGUUUGUUUUCACAUGAUGUUAUUCGAUUGAAAGAAAUAGUAAGAUGGAAUUAUCAAUGGAUAUGAGAAUUGGACAUUGAUUUGUUGUCAUAUGAUUAUUGGGGGUUGAAUAAGAGAAUAAUGAAUCGGUGUAGCAUUUUAUAGAAUGAUCUUAGUGAAAUAAUUUUACGAUAAAAUCUCUACGUUUAUGGAAGUCUGAUUGGGAGGCACAGAGUGCCAAAUCAAUGGAUCAUUGAUGUGAUUCCUUCCUGAGCAAGCUGGUUCAUCAUGGACUCUUGGUAGUCAAAGUCUUCGUUGAUUUUGACUUUGCCAUUCUAAUCCUGUGACGUUUCCUUCUCGUUGCACCACUCCAUACGCUGUUCUAUCUUCUUUUUUUUCUCUCUUUCUGAGAGUGGUAGCUAAUGCGAUUUUAAAUCUAAUGAUAGUAUUUUGACGCAAGGCAAAAUUAUAUGUAUACUACAUUUUUAUUCUUUCCAUUCAAUUAAAUUAGAUUUUAUCAACUUUUCUAUUGAUUGAUGACACGAUUGGCUAGAUUAUUUAAAGAUAAAAUAUCUUCUGAACAUAUGGUAUUUGUUUUGCAAGUAUUUUUCAAAUUUCUAAAUCAAUUCCAUGGCUACUAAACAUUUUGUAUUUCACGAGAGAAAGUAGCCACUUCGCAACUAAAGUUUCAUGAUAUCGACUCGAUAGAAACCAAAAUAGCCAAAGUCAACUUCUUUCAACCAUUCUUUAGCCAACCAAAGUCACUCGUAAAGAGUUGGCCUUUAUAAUAUCAUAAGCUUUUCAAGAUCGGGAUAACGAUCAAUUCCAUGAUGAAUAAACAAAGCAUUACCUCCUCUUCAUUGAUCUCUCUUGAUCUUCUCUCCGAGAAAAAAAAGUCGAACUGUAUAACAGCAAAAUCAAUGCAGCACAUUGCGAAAUCUAAAUCACUUUUAGAAGCCAAAAUUACAAAUGGAGAUCUCCAUGGGUCAAUAAAAGUAGAACACAGGAUAUGUUGACUAAGCUAAGAGCCGGGGGCAGUUCGUAUUCUAAUGAUAUGUCUUUGUAGAGUUUGCUUUCACCCUGAAACAGAACCGCACGGUGUCCAAUGCGUCUUCCUUCUUCCAUUGAAUCAUAUCAUCCGAGAGCACCGUGUCGCCAUAAAUGCCCCCGCCCUUGCCCACAAAUUAACAAGAAUGACGGGGGCACGGGGACCCACUCGUGGCUUUGCUUGAACAUAAUUGUAGUGUCGCCUUCAGGACAGGGGUGUGUCCCAUUCGGGGAAAAAGUAUCAUGUCUAUUUUGAAGAAAACGCCCCGUCUGUUUUUCGUGCUCUCCAAACCUCAAAAAUACAAAGGAAGUUUGGGAAAAUAUGGCAAUUUCAAUGGGGACGCAUGGGCUAAAAAUCCAUGAUUUCGGGGUUGCCCUGCCAAAUGCGGCGUAUGGACUAGAUUACACCUCUCUUCACUUCCUCCCUAUUCUUCGAGCAGGUCUUGCCCGCUCGAGCCGCAGGGCAUGUGAACCUGACUCGUGCACAACUGGAUUAUGUGAAUUCUCUAUACGUUCCAUCUCAUCCAUUGGUACGCAUGACCCUAGAUUGAUUUAGCAUCUUCUUCCUAUUAAGUGGCUCCCGCUUCACCGCACCCGAUAUCAUCAAUCUCCUCAUGUGAGUCAUGUGACCACCGACAGUUGACAAGUUUAUGUUCCAUCCGCCAUGUGAGUUAUGUGAUCACCAACAGUUUAUAGGUCUAUGUUCCAUCCGCCAUAAUCAUGGCCCCUUGUCCUUUUCCCUCUGCUCCUCUCCUUUCUUCCCUAUCAAUUGUGUUUUGUCUUUUUUAUGCUGCCAAAAUACCCAAUGCCCUCUUGGCGAGGAAUUUAUUUAUCCUUUUCUUUAUGGUAUUGAUUUUAAUGAUAAACUGGGAUGAUGGCCUUUCUCUGUUCCUAAAAAAAUCUCUAGAUAUAAAUUUGGGAGUUUAAUAAAUAUACUUUAGGGGAUUCAAUGCUCUCAUGCUUUAUUCAUGUAUAGAUUCUCUGCCCCAGUCUUAAUGAUGAUCUUAGGAGUUUUAGCAUCUCGUUGAAUUACAAAGAUUUAUUCCUCCACACAUUAGAUCUGUGUUUAUCUAACAUAUUAUGGUUGUUUUCAUACAAUGAUGGUAUAGAGGAAGCUGAAUCUAGGCAUGCACCAUCAACUAACAACAUCAUAAUUAUUGAAGAAUGAAUUUUUUGGCGUGUACUCAUCACUGACAUAGACUCGAGAUAUGGUGAUUGGUUGCCACUUUUGUUUGACAUAUCUGUUCAUGUGGAACGAGUUUGUGUUUAACUUUGCAAUUGCUCCAUCAAUCCUCCUUAUGUUCUGGAUUUGGCUUUGUUUUUUAGUAUUCAUGCUCUGUUUUGAUUUGCUUUGUCAUGAAAAUUAUGUACUUCUGCAUCCUUUUGAGUAAUGAAUACAAUUUUCUUUCGAUCGAAAAAAAAAAAAAAACUAAGUCAAGCCCCGACACCACAGCCAUUCAACCAUAGAUUUGUGGCUCUGGCGACCUCUGCCAAUCGCGAGUUCCAUGUACAUAGGUUUAUGAGCUUUGUGCAAAAAGAAAAAUCCCAACGCUGAGUGCGCAAUUCCAUAAAAAACCUAACCUUUAUAUUUACCGUAAUACCAAUUAUCCAAGCUGUAUUUUUAUCAUCAAAAUCCCAAACUUAUAAGGUAACCAAAAAAUACGUUCCAUCAAAGUUUGGUCCAAGAUAAAUGUUGAAAAUCUAAUGUGGCGUCUUGGAUGGCGAUGAACUUAAAAAUCUGAAUAAAGCUUUUGAAAGAAAACUGGACUUAGCAACUUUUAGGGUCCAAGAAGGAAGAUAAUCCACUUGGCGGUCCUUUUUGUAAAAGAAAUGAGCUACAAUUUUAACUUCAAAGGAAAAGUGUGAUGGAAUACAAAUUCUUGCUUUGCUUUUACCCUUUUCCGCUAUGCGCUUGAGACUCACAUUCGUCCACCUUGAUUUUAGCAUUUCACUUUUGGUCUUACUCCUUCUCGGGAGAAGAAAGCAUAUGAUGGAUCUCUCUUUAUUUGGAUUUUUUUUUUACGACUCUCUUUAUUUGGAUGAAGAGACCAAAAUAUUCAACAUGCCCCGGUUUAGAAUUUUUUUAUCUUUCCUUUUAUUUAGUUUCUUUUCUAGGUGAACUUCGUUUAAACUCCACGACAACUCCUUCCACAUCAUUCCUUGACCUUUUCGCACGUUUCUUCCUUUGCUUCAAAUCCUUAAUCUUCCCCUCGUUGGCACUGCUCUCUGCUCACACGCCUCCAAAACCCUAACCCCAUGCCCAUGGCCAUGGUCAUUUCCGGUGAUUGACGAACUGACCUCCUCAAAGUUGCCGGGGAGUGCAUGAUCGAUGUGAACGCUCCAACACCAGCAAGACCUUCAGACUUCGAUGGGUACAGAUGUGGACUAAAUGAACCUAUUGGUAUUUGACAAGGAUGACAUGGAGGAAACACGAUGAGGCAGCCAAGGAGGAAAAAUAAAAUCCCGCAAGAUCCAAAGGUGUGAAACUGUUUGGUUCUAGAAUUCAUGGGCUCUUAAGAGUGCGUUUGGUAACGUUUCUGUUUAAAAAUUGUUUAUGGGAACAGAAAUUAAAAAAAAAAAGUGUUUAUGUUCCAGGGAACAAUUUUUGAACAAAAAAACGCGUUUGGUAAAUCUGUUCCAGAAAUACAAAAAUAAUAGAAACACGUUUGGUAAGUUUGUAUAAUUUUUUUAUUUCUUUUAAUUUUUUAAUAUUUUUAUUUUUAUUUUCUAUUUUCUUUCUUAUUUUUCUUAUUUAUUUUUCCUUUUUUCUUUUUUCUUUUUCCUUUUUCCUUUUUUCUUCUUUUGGCCGGCGGCCUCGCCUAGCCACAGCGAGGCUCGCUGGCCCCUGGCAAGGGGCGGCGUCGUUGGCCGCUGUGUGAGCUCGGCCUCGCCGGGUUUGGGCGAGAUCGAGCUCGCCCAGCCAAGCGUGAGGUCGGCCUCGCCGCGCCGGGCCGACGGUGACCCAGAGCCACACCGUCGUCUCCCUCCACCGCAUCGGCAACCGCGCUCGACGCCUCCUCACCGCCACCGCAUCGGCGACCACCCCUCCGCCUCACGCUCGAUCGACGCAUCUGCAGGUCUCGAGCCUCCGUUCGCCACCGCCGCAUUAGAUCUCACCGCGCCAUGACCCACGACUUUGAGAUCCGCUCGAUCGUCGACCCCGCGCCGGCCCACGACUCGACCGGCCGUCCUCGCCGCUCCGCUCCUAGACGUCCGCCGCUUGAGACCCCACAGCCGAGCCCCGCACCGCAGCCGCCGCCGCCGCCGCCUAGCGACCCGCGACCCAGCUCCGUCACCCGCUCGCAGGUGGAGACGCUUGCAGCGGCUGUCGGUGCCAGAGAGGACGACGGUGGAGAAGCCAGAUGGUCUCGAGACAGAGGCGGCUAUCGGCGCUGGAGAAGACGACGGUGGAGACGCUUGCAGGAGGAGAGGCUCGCAGGAGAACAUGAUUUUGUUUCUUUUUUGUUCUUCAAAUAUGUUUCAGAAAUAAGAAACAAGAAUUUCUCAUUUCUUAUUUCUGUUCCCUUUUUGUUUCUGGGAACAAAAAAACAAAAAAGGAACAGAAACGCACCAAAACGCGUUUCUGUUCCUUUUUUGUUUCCAGGAACAAAAAAACCAGAAAUUUUUGUUUCUGGGAACAGAAACACGGUGCAAACAAACGUGCCCUAAGUCUUUUCAUACGUACAUCCGAAUUUGACAAAAGCAAAAUUUAAAAUUGAAGCAAUUAAUCACGAUUGACUUGAUGAGUCAAAAAAGACUCUUGGGAAGUAUAAAAUUCAUCGAUUCGAGACCAACGGAAGAUCAAAUUUGUUUUCCGAUAGCUUUAGCUUUGAUUAAACUCCACUAAACUUUUGUUUUAGUAAAACAAAACUCCAAAGGUCUCAUUGCAAUUUUUUUUUUCAAAAUCGGACUCCUUCCAUUUAAAUUGAAAUUGAGUGUCCUCCAUUAUAGCUCAGAAGCUCCAGGAAGAAGAGAAAAUAGGUGGGAUCCCAUUGCCUUAACUCAUCUCUUUAUAAUAAAAAAAAGAGAGAGACUUUUCGUAUUAGAUGCAGGCCUUAACUAUCAAAGACCACUCCUUCACCAUAGAAAUAUCAAGGAAAUAAAAAGGAAAGAUCUUUUUCAAUGACUUUUGGGUAGGUCAUUGAACUUAGAAGCCAUAGGAUUGGCUGAACAUGCAGAGAGAGCCAGUUUGCUGCAAAAUUUGGUCAAUAACGAUGAUUCCUUGAAGCAUCGGUCAAGCUUGCCAAAGUUGACAAUUAUUUAUGUUUCUUAACACAAAAAAAAUCACUAGACCAUGUGAUGCAAAAAUUUUGGGAUUAGAAUCGACUUUUGCGCCCCCCCCCCCCCCCCCCCAAAUAAAUGGCAUAUUCAUUCAAAGUCAAGUCAACAAAAGCAUACACCAAAUUUUGGUAAUUGACGAGUGUAUUAAUUUGGAGUUUUAUCAUUUAUUUGUCACAUAUGAUUGGUUUGUGCUUUUUCCUAGUAUUAAUCCUAUUUAACGGAAACUAAUGGAGGGUAAAUUUGUUACAAUGUGCCGAUUUGAAGUUUUUGGUUAUCAAAAAAUUAAUUUGGGAUAAAUUUAUCACGGGUAUAUAAGUUUGGGAUUUUUCGUGGUAUUAACUCUAAAAACAAUAAGAUUUAGAGAAAAACAACUUGGCAAGAAGAAAUCAUUACCCUUAUUUUCUUGCUACGCUUUAAAGUGAGAAGAAUAUACUUUAUCAAUGCUCAAUUUUUCUACAUUCCCAAGCACGAUUAAUCUAAUAUUUUACAAAUAUGAUUUCAUAAUUUCUAUCUUGAUUUCUUUGUAAUCGUUUUAUUUCAAUGGAUUAUAGAAUUAAUGAAGAAGAUAUCAAUUCUAGUUUAUUAGUCAUUCCAUGUUACUUUUAACGAUACAAGCCACAUCUAGUGGAUUCACUUAUUACUAAUUACAAUAAAAUCAGUUUUUUUCAACUUGUUUUCACCAUAAUCAAAUUUUUCCGAUUCCCUUUCUCUGAAAUUGAAUUUCCUAAAAGCAUUUUCCCGCAGCAAAAAUUAGCGAGAUAAAGAAAUCUUCAGGGUUUUUAUUUUUAUUUUUAUUUGAUUUUCUAAUUUCAUAUGACAUUAUAUGAUGGGAGGGAAUUGUAUGAUGAAAUUAUCAACGAAUAUGAGAAUUGGAGAGCAAUUUGUUGCCAUGUAAAUUUUGUGGUUGAAUGGGAGAAAGAUCAGUAAGUGUUGGAUUUUACAGAGUGAUAUGGUGACCUUUUUUUUCUCUUCUUUUUGAUAAAAUCACUACAUUUAUGGAUGUCUGUCUGCAAGGGACAAAGUACCAAAUGAAUGAACCAUUGGUGUGAUUCCUUCUUGAGCAAAAGCUGGUUUAUCAUGGACUGUUGGUAGUCCAAGUCUUUGUGGACUUUGACUUUGCCCUUACUGGUAGACUAUUCUUUUAUUUAUCUAUUUUCUUUGGAGAGUGGUAGGUAAUGCAAUCUUUAAUUUAAUGAUUUUAUUUUGAUGCAAGAUAAAAUUGUAUAUAUACUGCACUUCACAUGAUAACUAAAAAUUCUAUGUUUCACGAUGGAAAAAUAGCCACUUCACAAUUGAAGUUUCACAAUGCUAACUCAACAAUAGCCAAGGUAAGUUGCAUAUACCAAAAUCAGCUUUUGUCGACCAUUUUUUAGUCAAUAAAAGUCACCCGUAAAGCGUUGAUAUGUACGAUAUCAUAAGCUUUUCACGGUCCAAAUUAUGAUCAAUCCAAUGAUGAAUAAACCAAGCAUUGCCUCAUUUCCGUUGAUCUCAUUUGAUGUUUUCUUUGAGAAAAGAUUCAGACAUGGAAAAAAGUUCAGGAGCCCUACUUAUCAAGUGCUGCUAGGCCGGAAAAAAUAAAAAUCCUUGAUCAAAUGGUGGCCGCCAAUCAAUCAACUAUCAAAGUAAUUAACUCAUUGGGGACCUCAACCAUCAUUCAUGGCGAAACUGGCCCGUGAGGAUCCAUGAAAAUCUUGUCAAAAAAGCAAAGUGAUAGUGAAAAGAAAUAAAGCAAUACGGAAAAGAAAAAAAAAUAUGGAUUCUAGUGUGGAAAAGAAGACCCGCCUUUGCUUUAGCAUGUGCAUUUGGUAGUCCAAGUCUUCGUAUGCUUGGGUCAAUCAUUGGUUUGAUUCCUUCUUGGAGUAAAGCUGGUUCAUCAUGGACUGUUGUUAGUCCAAGUCUUCGUAGACUGACUUUGCCCUUCUAAUGCUGUGAUGUUUCAAUCCAAUGAUGAAUAAACCAAGCAUUGCCUCCUCUCUGUUGAUCUCAUUUGAUCUUUCCUUCGAGAAAAGAUUCAGACAUGGAAAAAAGUUCAGGAGCUCUACUUAUCAAGUGCUGCUAGGCCCAAAAAAAUAAAAAUCCUUGAUCAAAUGGUGGCUGCCAAUCAAUCAACUAUCAAAGUAAUUAACUCAUUGGGGACCUCAACCGUCGUUCACGGCGAAACUGGCCCGUGAGGAUCCAUGAAAAUCUUGUCAAAAAAGCAAAGUGAUAGUGAAAAGAUAUAAAGCAAUACGGCAAAGAAAAAGAAUAUGGAUUCUAGUGUGGAAAAGAAGACCCACCAUUGCUUUAGCAUGUGCAUUUGGUAGUACAAGUCUUUGUAUGCUUGGGUCAAUCAUUGGUUUGAUUCCUUCUUGGAGCAAAGCUGGUUCAUCAUGGACUGUUGUUAGUCCAAGUCUUCGUAGAUUGACUUUGCCCUUCUAAUGCCGUGAUGUUUCAGUUCUCUCGCACCUCCCCUAUGCUGUUCCGCCUUAUUUUUUCUCUGUUUUAGAGUGGUAACUAAUGUUAAUGCCAUGGUAAAAUGAGGCACAGGGAGCUUAGAUUUUAGAUUGUUGGCAUCUAUAUCAAUAUCACAUCAAACAAUCUCAUGCAAUUCAUAAUCUAAUGAUUGUAUUUCAGUGCAACGCAAAAACCAAAUAUAUGCAGCACUUUCGUACUUUCCAUUAAGUUAAAUUAGAUGGUAUCAACUUUUUUUUAUCGAUUGAUGACAUAAUUGGCAAGACUAUUUAAAAAUCAAAGUAUUUCUAAAUAGAUAGUGUUUGUUUGCAAGUUUAUUUUAUUUUAUUUUAUUUUAUUUUUCUAAAUCAAUUUUGUGGUAAUUAACAUUCCAUGUUUCACAAUAGAAAACAAAAUCUCGCUAGAUCAGAGGUAUAAAGAUGUUCCAUUCUGAAAUUCAUAAGUUCUUAAAUCUUUUCAGGCAUAAAUCCAAGUGUGAAAAAAACCAACAUUUAAGAUUGAAGUUAUUAAUCGCGAUGACUUGAUGAGUCAAAAAACACUUUUGGAAAGUAUCGAAUUCCCAUUUGAGUAGCAUCUAUUUUCACAAAUCUAUUUAUUCACUUGCUAAAUAUUAAAUCAUGAUUUGAUCAUAUCACUUAAUGAAUCAAUUUUAGUAUACUUAUUUAAAUUACUUGUAAAUAACCUAGAUUUAUUUGUUAAACUUCAAAUGAUGAAGAGCUCAUGCUUAUUGAGCUUCCUCCUUUAGCUCAAAAGCUCAGGGAGAAGAGAAAAUAUGUGGGAUUCCAUUGCCUAAUUCUUACUCUUUUUAAAGGAAGAGAAAGACUUCUCAUACAAAUGUGGGCCAUAAUUAUUGAGACAUUUUUUCCUUUACCCUAGAAUACGUAGGGAGUCAUGGGCCAGUUUUGCUGCAAAAUUGGUUGGCAAGCAUGCUUCCUUGCAGCAUCAUUGCGGCCUGUCAACCGUGACAAAUAUUACGUUUCUGAACACGGAAAAUCACUCGACUAUGUGGUGCAGAAAUUUUGGGAUGAAAAUCUACUUUUGCCCCCAAAUAAUUCAUUCAAAGUCAAGUAAACAAAAGCAGACACGGAACUUCCAAAACAAGUUCGUUUCCCCCAUUCUAAUUAAGGUGAACUCCAGUCGGUCCAGUUUAAUGGGCUGAUCAGGCCCAGGCCCGGAAUAACUCUGAAGCAUAAAGCCUAGUGGAAUUAUCACGCUUGAUCUUCAUCAAAGCACUCCCUAGUGGUCAAUUGAAUUAAGAAAAUAUUACAUUUUAUUUCGGAGGUGAACCAUCCUUUGCAUUUAACCUGUCGUUAGUGUCAAAAAUUGCUUAUCACAAAACGUUUUAGUUGGACAUUAAAUCCAUGCAUUGUGCUGAUUAUUAUAUAAAACAUUACUAAAAUAGAGUACACAAAACCAAUGUGUAAGCACAGUCUUGUGGCGUAUUAAAACUUUGAGCCACCAACAAGCGUGGUAAAUAAGCUCAUGAACAUGAUGUGACCUAUUAGAUCUCAUUUGGAAUUUAACUCAAUUAGCAUUUCCACAUUCACAAUUGAACUCGAAAGCCUCUAUGAUGAUUGGGAAAAGUUUAGUGAAGCCUUUCUAAUGACUAUAAUGAUUAUAAAAAAAAAAAUAUUGACUCCCCCUGAAUUCAAGUAUGAAAGUUUUCUAUUUCAAAUAAUGUUUCGGAGGUGUGGCUCUUUGAUCUCUCAGUUAAUGCUUGUGGAUUAUCUAUUACAAAGGGGGAAAAAAGAGGCAAAAAUAAAAGAACUUAUGGACAACACGAGACUAUUCCAUGUUAAAAUUUGAGAAUUGGAAAAAAUUUGCCACGCUUCUAUUAAUUUGAAAUUAAAUGAUUUGGGUUGCUAUUUCAGAUUUACCUUGACAUUAGAUGAUGUCAAACCAAGUCCAUUUGCAGCUAGAAACAUUUUUUUAGUAUAAUUAAGAAUUGAAAUGGCUCCUCUUCAACUUCUGUGAAUCCAACUUAAGAGCCAUGCUUUACUGGAAAAACAAAUUGGACAUGCAUUUACCGAUGUAGAGUAUUAAUUUUCUUCACGCCACAAUUUUGUGUUGGUUAUUGUCAUAGAGGUGAUGCCAUAAGUGCUAAGAUACUUUCACACACAUUGUAACAGCUACUUUGAUGUAUAUAGUAUUAUGAAGUUAUCGUUCUCUUGCGUGAAGAAAGGAAAAAUGAUGCUUAGCUCUUUGUUGGUUGAUCUCCAACUUGAAAAGUUUGCUUUUUACAUGGAAAUGAACAAAUAUUGGACAGGGAAGAAAAAAGGGGAAAAACUCAAGUCUAAGUGCAUAUGGCACCAAAAGGAAAUCUGAUUUUGAUAAGACUAGAUAUGAAUCGUAGUUCAGAUUCAAGUUGAUUCAGUGAGGGCGACUGCAAAAGUCACCGAAUGGAUCAGUCUUUUCCUUUAGUUUUUGUCCUAUUUAAUAAAAUAAAAAAGUGUGGGAGGAUGUUGCAGAUGUCCAUGAUGGACACGACUUCUUGUAACACUAGAAAACCACUAGAAGACACUCAGGACCAAAGCAUGUUGUGAAAGAAGCACAUUGGGGCAUUGACCAAUUUCAAAUAUAGUAAGACAAAGCAAUAAAUUAUAAGAUAUCUAAAAAUCACCACAUAAUAUAUUGACAAAAUAAGGCACUUGGAAUUUAUAUAAUUUGACCCAACCUCACUAGGUAAGUUAAUUAGCAAAUCAAGCCAUUGAAACAUAUAAACCAAACCAAACCAAAACAAAGAAGAUCUGAACAAGGUUAUUUGCAGAAAUAUAUCACUAGUCAACAUGCAAAGUGCACAAAAAAGGAAGAUUUACAUAAACCUCUUUGUAAGUCAUAUGUUUAACAGGAUAAGAAGCACUUCUUAUCAGACAAAAAAAGUACUCAACAGGGCAGAUGUCCAUUUUUUUUUUCUUCCGCAGAAAUUUGCCAAGUUUGAUCAAGCAACUCCUUAAUGUGCUGAGUUUCCAAAUCUCCCGUGGUGAAGAAUGCCUAUUUGUUUCAAUUUCCUCCACAUUGAUACAUCAGAAACAUCAGGAUAGAGUUGCCAGAGAAGAUACGCAAAUUGUCUAGUGAUUCUGGUCAACCAGAUUACCACAAUGAUCUAAAUGAAAAUCCAUUAGUUUCUUCAAGCCACUCAGUCGGCCAAUCUGUCCAGUCGGUUGAGUUCGUUCAGCUCCAAAUUCCAGAUUUAGUCUGGUGGCAUCUUUAUCCACUUGUAGUUUCUCAAAGACUAGCGUUCAAGGCUUAUGAUGGUAACCAAUCGAGUGAGGAAGCUCCAAGAUCCCAGUUCCUUACAGAGAAAGCCUCAACAGGGAAGUCGGGUAACUGAUUGAAGGUUUUGUAGUCAGUGAGGAACGAUGGCAAGCACAGAGAAUUUCUAGACUCUUCAAUCCUUGACAUUCAAGCAUAUGAUUCAUUGAUGUCCCAUCAAUCAAGGGUUCUCUCAAACAUUCCAUUUUACUAGGCUCCUAGGGAGAUGGUGGAGAUCAAUCUUUCUAAAUUCACAUGUAUCUGAAAUCUAGCAUCUAACAUAACCAUUUUGACAUCGAAAGGUCCACCUGAUCUGACUGAAUUGAGGUCAUAUAGCAAUCUCUUCCAAGGCAGUAAGCCCAUGUCAGACUUUCCCCUUCCAUCUUGGUAGUUUGUAGAUGUACGUUCCCGAUAAGUUAGAGACUGUUGAUGUCUGUCCAUCUUGGUAGUUCUUACAAUAUUUUCUGUUCGUGUGAAGUCCUCCGAGAUGCACUAACCGAGACAUACUCCUUUGAUCAUUUUAUUCAAAUCAAUUCACUGUUCCCGCUGCUCCAUGGUUUAUAGCAGCAUCGUCAUAUGGACCACCCAUCUCCAGUGAUCUUACUUGUGCUUAGACUCCUCUGGAAGAAAUAUUUGAACAGAACAGCAGAAGCAACGAUGGUAGCAACUGUCACCACACACAGGACAACCUCAAGUGCAUCAAUCGUUUCACGCCAGCACAAGUGGUCCACCUUGGCAGAAACAACAAUUGUUGAGCUGCUGCCCCACGUGUCGGAUUCUGAAUGGUCUUUACCCUAAGCCUACGUGGAGGGUAAGACUCACCCAAUAUUUCCUCUGGAUCGGAAUCCGAAGUGACGAUCUGGAAUUAAAAUGGGAGGAGGAGAGUCGGAGAGGGAUGGUGGGAUAUUCGAAGUCGUAUCGGAGUCAGUGUCGGAAACUGGAGGAAGCAGAGGAGGGUUCUUUACGUCUUUUCGUAUUUUUGUUUUAAUUUCUUUUCACGCUUUUUCCUUUUUAUCUUUCGGAAUUUGGUUUUUUCCUUUCGGUUGCUCUUUUCCUUUUUCGCUACAUGCGAGUGGCCCGAACAUUUUCCGCCAGUAAGAGGGGAAAGGGGGAGGGGUCAAAAUUGUAUUUUCGUUUCCCCUGCUGCAGAGUUGAAGGCAACAGCGUCAGUUCCCGCGCGAGAUGGGACUUGCGGCUCGAGGAUUAGAGGCGGUCCGACCUGCCCUUGCUGCCUGACGCAACCAAUUCUUAACGUUGCAGUCUCAUGUACACUGUGGAAGAUUAAGUUCGAACCAAAACUAAGUUUACGUACGUAUACAGGCCUAUUAUUGCUGUCUUGCCAGCGUGCUAGAAGCCAGGAAAUAUCUCCAUAUGAGGUAGCGAUAUAUACAACCUCGGCCAGGAUUCGCUCACAAUGUGAUUCAAAUUAUUCAAUUCAUGGAAAAUAGUGUGACCUACCUAAUGUUAACGGUGCCAUGACAACAUUUAUGUUUCUUUAUUUCUUUUUUUUUGUUCCCCGGAACAUGUUUAGAACAGAAAUCUAUUUGGUAACGCAAUUUCAUUUUUCUAUUUCUAGAAUAUAUUUAUAUUUCAGAAAUAAAUUUGGAGCGGAAAUCAGAAGUUAAAAUUUUUAGCUUUUCUAUUUCUGAAACAUAAAUGAGAAAUCAAAAUUUUUCGGGAGAAUUACCAAAAAAGUCCUAAACCUAUUGCAAUUGUGUCAAUUCAGUCCUAAACCUUUUACUUUUGUUCCAGUUCAGUCCUUCCGGCCAAAAUUAGCCGGCCGGCGCUGACGUGGCAGCCGGCCGGUGCCGGCGAGCUUUUUUUAAUAAUUUUUUAUUUUGCAAAAACAAUAUUAAUUUUUUUCUUUUUUUCCCUUUUUUUUCCUCCUCCCGCCGGAUCGCCUCAGUCCGGCGACCGGCCAGGCUGGCCGGUCGUCGGAGCCCAAGGAAGGAGGAGGGAGGAGGAAAAAAAAAGGAAAAAAAGAAAAAAAUUAAUAAAAAAUUUUAAAAAAUCAAAUAUUAUUAAAAAAAACUCGCCGGCACCGGCCGGCUGCCACGUCAGCGCCGGCCAACUAAUUUUGGCCGGAAUGACUGAACUGGAACAAAAGUAAAAAGUUUAGAACUGAAUUGGCCAAAAAAAAAAGUUUAGGACUGAAUUGGCACAAUUGCAAUAGGUUUAGGACUUUUUUGGUAAUUCUCCCAAAUUUUUCUCAUCAUUCACUCUCAUCACCACCUGUCGCCCACUUGCCGCUCGUGGGAUGCUAGACGCCCACCGCCGGUUGCCGACCGCCCGCCAUCAGCCCUGACCACUAGCCACCGACCGCCAGCCACCAAACUCUAGCCACCUGUCGCCAACUGCCGGUCGCUGGAUGCCGAACGUCCACCGGUUGUUGGCUGCUCAUUGCCAAUCAUUGGAUGUUGGAGGCUCACCACCAACCACCGGAUGUCCGCUACCAACUGUCUGCCGCUCGACACCGGCCGUUGAAUGUUGGCCGCUUGCCACCCAUCGCCGACCUCUUGUCGUCGGACUCCGGACAUCGGACAUUGGAUGUCGAACUUUGGACGUUGGACGCUAGUUGCUGGUCGUCGGACUCUAGACUUCAGCCACUCGCCACCGAUCGUCGAACUCUAGCGCUGGACGCCGGACUCCAGACUCCGACUACCCACCGUCAGUCACCGGACGCCAAAUGCCGAUCGUUGGACGUCAGACUCCGACCACUGGAUGCCGAUCGUUAUUGCUUUGAGAAAUAAAAAUUUUAUUCUAUUAUCAAACGAAUUUUUAUUUCAGAAAUAGAAAUUUUAAAUUGUUAUCAGACGCGUUUUUUUGCUCAAAAACCCGUCCAUAGAAUAAAAAUUGAGAAAUCAAUUUAUGGCCAUAAAUUGAUUUCUAUUCCAGAAAUUUUGUUAUACGCACCCUAAGUCACCGCAUUUGGGGGUGGGCUACAAUUUUUUCACUUUCAUUGUUCUUUCUUUUUCAAAUUGUUUCACGUGAAUGAGUCGUGUAUGAAUUUGAUAAAAGCGCGAGAGGUGUAUAAAUUUAUUUCGUGCUUAUUAACACCUAAGUUUGACGAGUGACCGAUCUAUCAACACUGGCCAUAAAUGAAGAGAUUAGGGGAUUGUUCUCUGCAAAAAGUUAUUGUCACACCCUUCACGCUCUUGAAUCGCACCUUGUUCUUCACUUCCGUUGUUGUUUUGUGUACUAACUUCUCUGUAUUUUGGAAUAAGACGAAUUUUUAGAUUAAGCUUGAAUCUGAAAAUAUUUGACUAGAGAAGUUUGCCAUCAUAAUGAAGUAUUUGCAAUUUCAUAUACCUCCACUAAUAUAAAUAGACAAAUGAAUUAUAUCAAUUUUAAUUUGAGCGUAUAGUAACCAACUAAUUGAACUGUAGAGCACCCAUUUGCCCAACAGAAUGUCUCCUUCUCUUUGGCUAAAAUACAACAUAAGGCAUCCCCACGCAAUCUUUCUAAAUGUUCCGAUUUUAGCAAAACUUACUUCAGUGCUCUGAUGCACACGACGUAAAUCACCAAAUGUGACAUUGAAAAAGCCUGCCAACAAAAUAAGAUCUGAAGGGCAAAUCAGGAAAGAUCGUAAAGAAUCUAGAAUGGAACAUAUCGCAUUUGAGGGUGAUGGUUGUUCUGACAUGCUUGAUUGCUGUUUUGACAUGCUUCAUUGCUGCAAAGUGAGGCGAUACUCAAGCUUUUCAAGUUCAAGAGAUUGGAAAUGCUAUCAUCAGCUCGUCGCUCGGUAUGAAUAUGUAGACAGAGAAGAAUUUCUAGGAGUCUCGGCACUUGGUGUAUCUCAACACAUGUCGGUUUCAAAAUCUUCCAAGAUGAACAUCUCCAGAUAUCAUAGGAAUUUCUGAUUAGAAAAUUUUCACUAAGCUCUGCAUCUAUUCUUCUAGCUAUUCCUGCUUCCAUACUGCACUAGUUAUUGUUCUCAUGAUAGAGAACCUCAUCUUCAAUACUUUCAAAUACUUCAUGUUCCCGACCAACCAGGCAGCUUCUCUAUGUCCAUGUUCAAUUUAUCGAACUUAGCAAGUGAUUCCAAAUUCCAGAUUGAGUCUAGUAGUGUCUUUAUUGACUUGCAAUUCCUGGAAGACUAGUGUUCAAGGCUUACAAGGGAUCCACUUGAGUUGGGAAGCUCCACGAUCCCAGCUCCUCACAGAGAAAGCCUCGAUAGGGAAGUUAGGUGACAGAUUGAAAGUUUUAUAGUCAAUGAGGAACAAUGGGAAGCACAGAGGACCUGCAAGCUCUUCAAUUCUUGACAUUCAGGCAUAUGCUUUAUUGAUGUUAUACAGCAAUCCCUUUUUAAGGGAGUUAAUUCCAUGUCAGACUUUCCCCUUCCAUCUUGGUAAUUCGUAGAUGUAUAUUCCCUUUUAAGAUAGAGAUUAUCGAUGUUUGUCCAUUAAAACCAACAUGUGAAAUUGCGAAUCGAACAAAGUCAACGUCUAGCAAGCUAGUCGCAUAUCUUUCUCCCAAAUAUCAUGUACUUUUAUUCAUGUGAAGUCCACCAUCAGGUACUAACUGAGUUAUCCAAAGUUAGAUUCAUCUACUAGUAAGAAUACUUUGAGGGACCUUGUUUAGCUUUAUUAUACUUGUUUCAUCGUUUGAUUCCGUCAUUUCUCGGUUCACGCUGUUCCAUGGUUUAUAGCAGCAUCGUUAUUUGGUUUGCCCUCUCUAGUGAUCUUGCUGCUCUUAAUCUUCCCUGCUCCAUGGUCUAUAGUAGCAACUGUCGCCACACACAAUGCAACCACAAGUGGUGAAUCGUUUUGCACCAGUACAAGCGGUCCACCUCAGCAGAAACAACAAUUGUUGAGCUGCACGAGGAUUGGGGGUCGUCUGACUUGGCCUCCCCGCCCGAGUCGCAAUGGGUCAGGAUUUUUUCUUUUUUUUCCUUUGAUAAAUUAUAAAGUGUGGGAAGAGAGGACCAAUACAGUUAUCCAUUCUUGUUGUUACAUAAAGCGUUAUGUACAUUACAAAAUAUCUCCAUUAAGCCAUAACCACUCGAUUCAUCGACAAGUGUGCGAAUCUAUCACCAUAACUAAUAUGCCAAAAGCCUAAAAAUCUUUCUACAUAAUGUUGUGAAUAUCUAAAAUAUUGAGUGGUGAAAAGUCCACUCAUAACAUGAUUCGAACUCAUGAAUUAAUAGAAGAUGGCGUGAUCCCUUCAUCAUUGGGCUACUUUUUUUUUUUUCACUUUCAAAGUGAGCCUGAUCCAAAAAUGAGUGAUCUAUAAAUCUAUUUUGUGCUUAUAAAAUUUGAUUUAAGUCGAAUGAGGUGUUGAUGUGUUAAGGUUACCAAUAAAAGAAGAGGUUUGAUGACUGGUUUCUAUAAAAUUGAUUGAUUUAAUCUUCAUAGUUUUAUUGAGUUUCACUUAUUAUUUAGGGUUAAUACCUUGAAAAACCCCAAACUGGUACACUUGUGACAAAUUUAUCCCAAACUAUUUUUUUGACCGCAAAAAACUUCAAACUGGUAUAUCUUUGACAAAUUUACCCAAACUGGUACACUUGUGACAAAUUUACUCUCUGUUAGUUUUUGUUAAAUUUUAUUUUCAAAUUAUUAAGUUAAAUGAUACGUGACAAUUGACCGGUAUACUAAUUUAGGAUUUUACGCUCCGUUUGUUACCGUUUACAAUUUCUGUGAUUUUUUUUGUAGUAUUUAUCCAAUUUAGCAUAGGGUAUAUUUGUCACAAAUUUACCAUUUUGGGGGUUUUUUGCAGUCGAAUAAAUUAGUUUUGGGUAAAUUUAUCAUAAAUGUACCAGUUUAGGGUUUUUUAUAGUCAGUCGGGGUAAAUUUGUCACAAGUAUACUAGUUUGGGGUUUUUCAUGGUCAAAAAAAUAGUUUUGGGUAAAUUUGUUACAAGUGUAUCAGUUUGGGGUUUUUUAGGGUAUUAACCUUAUUAUUUAACUUCCAUCAUUUUGUUUUGUGCACUAACUUUUCUGUGCUUUUUAUAAACAUUUGACUGUGAAUAUAAAUCCGUGAGAGCCACCAAACAUCACGCAUGCCAUGCAUCAGGGUUCUUAUAUUAUUUUGUUUGCGUGAGCUAAUUGCGAUUUAAGGGGAAAAAAAAAUGUUCCACGCUCUUUGAUAAUUUGAAAAUGACAUUUUGUGACUUUUGUUGUAUAAGGUUAUAGACUAUUUUUACUUCGAACACAGGUGAUGAAAAAGUCCAAUGACUUUUGUUCUCAAAGAUUAUGGACCUUUUUACUUGUUUAAAUCUUUUACAUGUAAAGUAUCAACUCAUACAUCCAAUAAGCAAUUAUGAAAUGACGAUGGCAUCAUUCUAUAAGAUAGUGAUCAGUCUGAUCAUAUUCACACUAAAUAUUUUGUAAAUUCUAAAUAAAACAUAUACGUUCAUCUACAAAUAAAAACUAUCAAAUCCACUUCCAUAUAAAUUUUAAAGAAUAGAAUCGAUCUGUCAUGAUAAGUCACGUUCUGGAAUUCUCUCUCAACCCGAGAAAUAUGGGCUCCACAAAUAAGCAUAAUUCACUUGUCUCGCAUGUUGAAUAAUAUUCUUUUCAAGUUUGAAUAUUAUUGGCAAAGAAAAAGUUUGAAUAAUUCGAGUUAUUGGAUUGAUUCGAGCUUGGAAUCGGAAAAAUUUUACUCAAGCAGCUUGUGAUCAAAGGAAGCGCCAAAAGAGGAAGAGACAGAGAACGGAAAUUUGUCCAGGAGCACGCCUUAUUUUAGCCAAACUUCCUUCAUUGCCCUCACGGAAACGACGAAAUCACCGGACGUGACACCGAAAAUGCCCACCGACAGAGCAAGAGCCCGAGGUCGAAUCAGGAAAAUUCGCAAAUCCGUCGUCCUCUCCUUCCUUUCCCCCCCACCCAAAAACAAAAGCUCGCCGUAGCUUUCGAUCGCCAUCCGCCGCGAACAUCGGUACGGAGUCCACGAACGCUGCGACGACCAGGAUUCGAGGUUUGAAUUCGAGCAAUGCGCACGAAGAACGCAAUCGAUCUCUCCACCUCGCCGGGCGAUCGCGCCAUUUUGAUUGCCUGAGAUUGGAAUGAUGUUGUUGCGCGGAAGAAUGUGGAGUUGAGGGUGAUGGUUGUUCUGAAGUGCUUCAUUGCCGCGAGUGAAGGCGAGAGGUAAUUGCAAUUCGUGUUCAUGUAAUCAGUUACGGCUCUGAUCCUCCCACUUGAUUGGGAUUGGGAGUCUAGUAUCGAGCAUGUCGGUUUUGAGGUUGGACAGUGAGGUUUGUAGUGUGAAUUUGGCGGAUUAGGCACUUCAGGGUUGGGGGGGAUCGUCGACCGUGUUGUGGAGCUGUAGUGCCUGAUUUAAUGGGGCAUACUAUUACUGAAUUAUUUGGUUGGAUUAGCUAAGCUCUUGGAUUGCCGAGUUUGGAUCAAUACUACAACUGGAAUAUGGUCUGAUUGAAUUUCCAUAUAUUUGUUCGAUUCAAAUAUUUCAUCCCGCUGUUUCUACUUUGGGGAUAAAAUUUGUUGAGUGUCUCACAGUAGUGAUUGACUAUGGCUAUUCGGCCUUUCUCCAGUCGAGUAAUGGACUGUAGCUUGUAGGUUUUAGCAACUAGCUUUAUGGGAAAGAGGAGCCUUAUGCUUUUCACUUAUUCGCCUUUCGUUGCAUUUGAACAUAUAGUUCUUUAAGUUCACGAACAAGGAUGGCAGAAAUAUACUGAAAUAUUAUUUUGAGUUGAUGUUUCCUUGUGAAGUGUUCCUCUUACUUGAUUGUCGAAAUAGCUUGCUAGAGACAUAAGAAACUUGCUCCUUUGCUUGUCAUUAAAUGAGUUUUUGACCACAUUUUCAAUGUGAAAUUUUCUCAACUGGUAAAUGCAGAACUCAGAGUGAGGUCCAAGGCUUGUAAAGCUGUUUACAAUCGCACUCUUGCCAUGAUAUCGGCGGAGUAUGCAUCUGCUGUAAGUGUUCUUUAUAAGGAUUUUUACAUUUACCUAGAGCUUGUUGUUGUUAUUACUCUUCAGGUUUCACCAUUUAAAUACAAUAAUAUUGUAACUAGAUGCACAGCUUUUUAUUUUGCAUGUUUAAUGUCAGAUUUGACAGAACUUAGUAGUCGGACUUGUCCUAGAUGUGAUGGAAAGACCAAGGUAAUUUAAGAUGGUUUAAUAUGACAUUGUUGCUAAGAUUGCCUGAACAAUGGAUCCUCAGUACAGUAUUAAAUAGUCAAUUUUGUGGGCAUAUGCCGCCUCCUCUUAUUAGCUUCUAAACUGGUAGUUAAUGCCUUUUGAUAUGAAAGCUGGGGUUCAAAUUCAUUGGAUAUGAUAGUGGGCAUUCAGCACUGCUUACACGCAAAUCAUUUGGUUGCAGUGGCUUAAAAAUCUGCAAUGCUUGCGAUGCCUAUAUGUUUAAAUUGCAUCUAAUUGUUUAUAUCUAUUUCUAAACAUACAUAUAUGUUACCUGUAGGCAUACGUUGGGGUGGCCAAGGAUCUUAAUGCUGUGAUUAUAGCUUUUAGAGGUGCACAAGAACAUAGGUAUGCAUGUUAACUUUAGCAACUCUUCCCCUUACAAAUGACUUGCAAAGGUUUUGAUGAAAAUUUAGGCUAAGAAGAGCAGCCUCCUGUGAGUGCGUACACAAGACCCAUGGGUCGACUGUCCAUAAGAAGGGAAAAGGGUGAAUCAUUUCCACCAAGAUGCAAAAGUUACCUUCUUGUAAUUUUAGAUUGGUUCAUGAGAAGAUCACAUACUUCACUAAUUUUGUUCUGUGAAAAAUUCUAUCACCUUUCUUUGUCAUUUGAGCUUUUCAGGUAGUGAUUACUUCUAUUUAUGUCUACAGCAUACAGAAUUGGGUUGAAGAUCUCUACUGGAUAGUGGAAACAGCUUGACGUACUACCCUGGCAUGCAUGGUGCCCUGGAUAGCUCUAAAGAUGAUUAUGCCUCUUGCAAGCUGUGGAUUCUUCUCAUUUGGAUUGAGUUACAGUCUUACUCUAUUGAUUUCUGCUUGGGUUAAUCAUGGAUUUUACUAUUCUUAUCUUGAUAUGACAAUUCAACCUGGUAUUUUGGAUGCUGUUAUAAGAACCAAGGAUUUAUAAGAGGACAUCAAUGUCACGGUGACAGAGCAUUUUAUGGGAGGGGCUAUGGCAUCUUUUUGCGGAAUUGAUCUUGUGGUAAGAUAGUUAAAAACUGCUAUGGUCUGGAAUUGUGAAUUUUAUCGUUUUUUUCCUAUUGCGUUCUUCCAAUAUUCAGAUGAUAAUCUGUUAAGAGUCAUCUAGAAUUCUCUGUCAAAUCUGUGUUGAAGAGUCUAGACUCUUUAUGUGGAUCUUGAACUUUCUAUUGCUCUCAUAUUUAUAUUCACAAUUCAUCAUAGACAGCAUCUUGUUUUCUUUCAGUUUUGGUAAGUCAAACCAUAGACAAAACACAAGCAGAAUGGGGUGCAAAUAGCCAUUUACGCUAACCACCAAUUGUUUAAGUAUCUAGCAAUGUAAAUUAAGUCUUACCCAUAAAGCUAUGGAGCUUCAAGUUGGUUGAAUACCUAAAUAUAGUGGAUAAGGUUACUUCCAACUAAUCAUUACAAGGUUUACUUGCUGGAAAAUUUAUGGAGUUGUCGAUAUGUUUAUGGUCUGGACAUAUAACUUUUUAAAGCACUUGAAGCUCAAGUUUUAUGUCAUGUAAUCUUGAAGUGCUAAUGCAUUUUAAGAUAGAUUAUAUAUCAAUCCUAAAUGUGUGUUUGGUGUACUGUUUCUAUCUAAGUCUCUCUCUAAUCAAAAGAAGCAGCUCCUCUUUAGUAGGACUACAAGGCCAGAUAUGUUGUAGGCUGGAGCCAAUGUUAAGAUGUCUAAAUUAUGCCUUUUCCCUCAGCUUUAUUGGACGGAGUGUUCCAGGGUACAUUUGGAGGCACCUGUUGCUCAACUGGUACCAGAAAUGGUGCCCAAUCCAAAAUCAUGUCCCAUUGAUUCUCUUCUCCAUGACAAGUGGUGAUUUUUUAGAGUUAAACUUUAUCUUGAAGUCUGAUUACACUCAUGUUCACUUGGCCUAUGAUAGGAUCAUAGGUUGCAUGGACUUUAGACUAUACCCUUUCUCAAAAUAUUAGUAGCAAGUAUAACAUCUUGUCCUAAAACUUUUAAAUGAUUUAAAAUUUUAUUUUUGUUUACUGGUUUCUUGCUGAAAAUUUUGUCGAGCCAAUUGUGACGUCCUGCCCAUUCGUUGCGAUCCUUUUUAAGAUUGAGUUUCUCCUUCGCUACUUGUGACAGUAAGUUUUGUAGUUCAAGAGGCAUUUUCACCAUGAACCAGGAAUUUUUUGUUUAUGUUAUUAGCAGGAUGUGACUCACCCCACCAACAUUCAAGUGCUUCUUGUGGAAGCAAUUAAAUGCGCUUCUGUUGUAAAUUCAUGUCCAAUCCCACUAUUCCAUAUUAUUAAACACCUUUUUGUGGUGCUGAGGGUGGGUUUGGUUUUGUUGUGUGUGGGGUUUGGUGUUGGGAAACUUAUGGAUGGGAUCUUGAUGGAGUUAACACUAGACCUUCGACCCUUAUGGAGACAAAGGGCUGUCUAUUGUUCACCUUUGUAUAUGAAAUGCAAUUUAUGGUUAUUGAUGCAUAGUGCUUUUUUCCCAUCUUGGAAGGGCUAUUGAUGUAUUGACAUUCAAGUUAUUUGGCUGUCUAAUUAUGUGUGCUGAAACUGUCUUUUCCAGAUCAGCAUUCGCCUGAUUUACUUUACCGAAACACUUUAUUUCCUGGUUAAUCAUGAAGCACAGGAUAUUCAGGUUUUAACAUUUGGACAACUCUGUAUUGCCAAUGCAGUGUUUGCAUCUUACUACAGUGACUGCAUACCAAAAACAUUACGUACUCCUCCUGGACAAGAUUUUUUGUCUUAUUUGCCUCCGUACUAUUUUUGGUUCCCACAGAAGACGUACCAUCAAUUCCCUAGAGAGGUAUGGUGUUGAUCUUGACAGAAUAUCAAAUAAAUUAUGGGAAAUUGUUAGGCUGCGCAUGAUAAAAUUUUUGUUUCUUAAUUUCUCUAUUUCUCUGUUCCCGAAACAGGUUUAGAACAGAAAUCUGUUUGGUAACGCAAUUUGAUUUCUUUAUUUCUUAAACAGAUUUUUAUUCCAGAAAUAGAUUUGAAGAAGAAAUCAGAAACUAAAAUUUUAGCUUCUCAGUUUCUGAAAUAGAAAUUGAUAAAUUAGGGUGCGUUUGUUUGCGUUUCUGUUUAAAAAUUGUUCCAGGGAACAGAAAUAGAAAAAAAGUGUUUCUGUUCCGGGGAACAAUUUUUGAACAAAAAAACGCGUUUGGUAAAUUUGUUCCGGGAAUUAAAAAAUAAACAGAAACACGUUUGGUAAAUUUGUAUUAUUUGUAUUAUUUCUUUUAUUUUUUUAAUAUUUUUAAUAUUUUUAUUCUUUUUUUUUUCUUUUUUUCUUUUUUCUUCUUUUGGCCGGUCGCUGACCUCGGCCAUGGCCGGCGACUGGCCGACAAGGGCCGGCGGCCUCGCCGGAUCUGGGCGAGAUCGAGCUCGCCCAGCUCAGCGCGAGGUCGGCCUCGCCUUGGCUAGGCGAGCUCGAGCUCGCCCAGAUUCAGCGAGGUCGCCUGGCGGUGGCCCGGCGAGGCCGAGCCUCACCGGCCGCUGGGCGAGGUCGGCGCGAGGUCGGCCUCGCAGGGGGCCGGCGAGCCUCGACGUGGCUGGGCGAGGCCGACCCUCGCCAGGGGCCGGCGAGCCUCGCCGUGGCUGGGCGAGGCCGCCGUGCCCUCGUUGGCCGGUCGCCGGCCAUGGCCGAGGCCGGCGACCGGCGAAAGAAAAAAGAAAGAAAAUAAGAAGAAAAAGAAGAAGAAAUACAAAAGUGUUUCUAAGAUUUGUUUCAGAAAUAAGAAAUACAAAAUUUGUGUUUCUUAUUUAUGUUUCUUUUUUGUUCCUAGGAACAAAAGAACAAAAAAACAGAAAAAGUGUUUAAAAACAAAAAAAAGAAACAUAAACAAACAGACCUUAAUUUCUGGCCAGAAAUCAAUUUCUAUUUCAGAAAUUUUGUCAUGCGCACCCUUAAUGACUGAAUUUGAGGUUUGCUUCGCAUUUCUUUCAACUUGUCUAACAAGUGAAGUAUCAUAUAUUCCGGCAUUGUAUGUACUCUCUUUUUUCAGCUUAUAAAUUAUGACUGUCUUGUUUGUUUUUCUUCUUAACAAAGCAGGGUAGUUUGUAGGACUCAUUACGUUAUAAAUUUUUUUUUAGUAACUCUCGUUCUUGCAAAAGCCAUCAUGAGUUUUUCAUUUCGAUUCCAAAGUUUAAGACACAUAAUAAUGUUUAUUAUACUCUCUCUCUCUCUCUCUCUCUCUCUCUCUUACACACACACACACACACUAUGUAUGUCUACUAAUGCGUAUAAUUAUUAGUGACUAGCUCAAAGACAGCCACGGUUGAACAUAUUAAUGUGACAUGAAAAUGAUUUGAUUCCACCUGCUUCUCUAAUAACGAAUCAUACUCGUAACAGUUUUCAUGUAAUCGGAAUCUUCCCUUUAUUGUAGGUAUGGCUAUAUAACAUAGGAUUCGGUAGUUAUCAGGUUGAGAAAGUUUGUGAUACCUCAGGAGAAGAUGCAUCAUGCAGCAAGUGAUGAGCUAGUUUCAGUCGAAGCUACUUGUUCAAACAAUUAUUUUGUGGAUUUAUCAUGCAAGAUGCAAUAAGUCGUGAUGGACCAGCUUGUUCUAGAGAAUGUCUGUUCUUUGUUACUAGGAAUAUUUGUGGACAACUGAUCAGGGUAUUUUCCUGCAGAUUGGUAACCGGUAACAGCAUUGUGGACCAUUUAGUCUUUCUAUAGUGUGCAAUUAGUGGCUAAGACAUGAGAAUCGUGCAAAAUCGUCAUGGACACUAUUGACGGAAUGUGGAAGCGAAGAUGUCAAAGGUAGAUGUGUGAAUGUUGCAACUCUGACACUUGCAUGGUUAGGCAAUUAACCGGUUUUUAUAAGGUGAAACAAAGACUACGUUCACAGACCACUUCUCAAUCUAUGACACGUUACCUUCUCCUACAGGCACAUUGGCACAUAAGAUUUCUUGGCAGAACUAAGUACUUCAACUAUUUCCUCGUAGGGAAUUGUGCAGAUGAACUGUUAAAUCAAACCAUCUCGGAGACAGAUGAUGACUUUUGUCUUACAUCAUUUCCACUGGCAACCUUCGCAAAAUUUUUACUUUUAGGAGGUAAACAAUUUAUAUCAUCUUGGCUUUGAUAUGUAACAAUGAUCAUAUCAGCAUUUGGAACAAGAAUUGUAAGCUUUUACCUUCUUUUUCUAAUAUGCAGGAAUUAACAUUAGUGGAAACCUGAAAAGUAAAAAACUUGGGGGGAAACUUCUGCCACUGAUAAGAAGGGAAACAGAACUUUUGUCUUGCUGACAGGUACCUGUUCAAAACGUCAAAAGUGAGCAUUACCAAAGUGCUAAGUAAGCUCAUGGUGCUACACAAGUCAGGUCUAAAGUACAAUGCCAAAUGUUUACUAAUGUUUCAAAGAUCCAAUCUAGUUCAAAAGCAGAUACUCAACCAGGUCAGCCAAGCAACAUCUUCUUCAACAUGUACAAGCAAUUGUUCAAACUUUUCUUCACUAGAGUGCUUGAAGUUUUGCCCAUAAUACUGCGACAUCCUUCUCCUCAGUAACCUCUAUUAAGACCUCAUCCGUCAAAUUUAAUUCAUUUAAUAGAAUUAUGCUAUUUGCUUUUUUCAUUAGCUCUACCCUUUCAAAGGCUUUCAUGAUAAUAGGCAACUCAUCUUCGCCUUCCAGUACCUUGGCCAAAUCUUAUGUUAUCAAUAAAGCUCGCAUCUUGAUGCUUCAUAACACAAAAUUGUUACUCCCAUUAAAUUUCUCAAUUUCAGUUUUCUUCUCAUGAUUGCAAUAACAGAAUUUUCAGAUAAUAAUCAGACAAACAAAAUCUCCAAAUUAUAAUCAAGAAAUUCAACCCCAAGCUCUGAUACCAAUUGUUGGGAUAUAAUACGUGAAAACGACGGGAUCUUGCAAUUUAAGUCAAUGCGAAAUCGCCAGAGAAGUAAACAAGAAAUAAUAAGGAUACCAGAAAAUUUACGUGGUUCGAUUCAAGUAACGGUACCUACGUCCACGGGGAGAACUAGUAACAAAUAAUCCACUAUAAUCGGAGUAUCAGAGUUUACAAUCACUCAAUGAUUCAAGUGUUUUCCACAUUUAGAUUUAACCCCAAGUUCAAAGUGUUUAUAAAUAAAUAACUCACUUGGACAUAAACUCAUGGCAUAAAAUUACCACGUAACAAAACGCAGCUCUAUGUACGGCUUCGCGAGGCUGCAAAGACUUUGGCUUCAGAUAAACUCGCAGAUCGCGGCUUUCUUCUAAGCUUCGGAAGACGUACGUUCAGCGGCUCCUUCUUCUCGACUUGUACAUGCAGCAGCCAAGGAAAGAAAACCUCAUGUGAUGUCCGUUUAAAAUAUAUAUAUACGUGUGUGCCCAAGGUCAAAAGUUUGACCUUGGGCCCCACCACUUUAACUCCUUCACGUGCGGGGCUUCUUCCUUCGGCGGCAUCUUCCUUCUCUACGUGGGGGUGCAGCAGCUUACGAAAAAACGAAAGAAGACCCAAUUCUUUCUGCUUUUAUAUAUUUAUAUAUUUCCUCUUUUGUAGAUUUUGAAGAGUCCAGCGAAUUUCUUCUACUUGAAAAAUCUUUAUCAAUAAAAUUUGAUAUAAUAAAUCGUCAUCCGAAUUCAUACUCAAGACAUUGAUUUAACAGUAUCCGUGGUUGACAAAAGGAAGAUGUCUUUUUUUGCUGUGGGUUGAGGGUGGAGAGGAGACAGUUGCAGCUUAAGUUAAAAAGGGGAGUUUCUCCCUCGAAUCUAGAAAACGACAAUUCGUUUCUUAUUAUAGGUGGGGUUUUCCUUUCAUUUUUUCCAACCCAACCUUAGUUCAAUGAAAAAACAUACUUUAGAAUUAACAUAUGCAUACGUCCAAGCAAAAUUCAAUAUUGAAAAGACUGAAUUAUUCCUACUCAAAAACUUUAUUUAAGUCUCUCACUUCAUGUUUGAAUAAUAUAAUUUUCAGUUAGUUUUGAGUACUUUUGAUGGUGAGACUUUAGGAAUUGUGGAUGGACUUUUUUUUUUAGAGAAAAUGACAAUUCUUUUAUACAAAGGAACACAAGGUUAAUCGACCUCAUAAAUCAAGAUUCAUUUGGUCGUGAAACAUGAGAUUGUUUGUACUAAUCCGAUUGAAAAUUAAACUUACCUAAUUUUCCAAAUUCACAUAUAAAUCCUUUCAUGAACCAUUAAAUCAAAAUUAACCAAGAGUAGGUAUGUCAAAAAGCGAAAUAUCACCAAAAGAUGAAUUAUAAUAAUAUUAGCAAACAAAUAAUCAAAAUAUUACCAAAUAAUCCCACAAAUGCUUUACUUCCCAAAUGGAAUUUAAAAUUCUCUCAACUUGCCAUAAUUUUCUUUUCUUAGGCUAAAUAAUAAGCAUCUCCAAACAUAUAUCCUCUCCAUGGCUAAAUAAUAAGGAUCUCCGAACAUAUAUCCUCUCUAUAUAUAUUACCCUAUCUUUCUUUCAUCUCGAGAGUGUCGUUUGCAAAAGUUUUUAUGAUUGUUCCGCACCGUAAGUGAUGAUGGACGCCGCCACAGGGGAACAUGACCGUAUUCCCUUCUUCCUCCUCGUCGGAGCCCUGCACGCUGCCGCCGCUGCCGCGAGAGCUCGCAGGCUCCGCCGCAUUCCCAAGCCUCUGGUUCAUGUCAGCUCGGUUGGAUUCGUCCCUCUGAAUGACCACCGAGUCGCUGAAUGCGCUUGGAUUCGUGCGCAAGCAUGUCGAGAUCGCAGCUCCUCCUCCUCUUUUGCUGCUCAGUCCCUCGGUUUUCGCAGGUAGCGUGCUUGUUGUCGUCCGUUAGGCUUUUCUUUUUUCGGUGCUGAGGAAUCUCGGCGUGGAUUGUAUAUGCCAGACUGAUCGGUUCUUGGUCAGUAGGGGGCCUUCUUUAGGUUGAGUUUGAUGUCUAAAUAUGGGGCGGCAGGUGGAGAAUUUGAUGAUUGACGAGGAAGUCUGGAUAACUAAUUCGAGUGAUGUGUACCUGGUGGAGCAGUCGAGUUGAAGCAGAGGGAUGAUUAUGCUGUCAGGAUUGUGCUUGUUGAUUGAGACACCGUAUUUUUUUAAUCAUGUUCGUCGUGUUUGCUUUGUAUAUUUGAUAUUGGAGAUGAUUAUGUAAUAGAAUGAAUUGCGUCGUUGUUUCUUCUAGUCUAGCACUUCAUGUUCUUCAAUGUCGGUUCUGGGUUGAAUUAGUUUGUUGAUACAAAACGGAGCUGCAUUUCUCUUGGCGGUAUAAGGUUUUGAGGGAUAAGUACACUAAUAGUGUCAUAAGUUGUGUACGAUACUCACUUUGGUGCCAAAAGUUUCCGUCGGAUCACUUAAAUGCCAAAUUGAAGAAAAAACAAUCACUUUGGUGCCACCGGCGAGAAAUUCCGGCCAAAAUGAUUACGUGGCUUUUAUAUUUAAAAAAAAAAUCAACAUGGCUUAAGAUUGUCCACGAUGGAUAGCAUAAAACGACACCAUUUUCCUUUUUUCAUAAGAAACGACGUCGUUUCUUGUCAUCCACUGUGGAUUCACAUAAGAAACGACACCGCGUUGCUCCAUAACAAAAAACGAUGUUGCUGAAGAGGAAGUAAAAUAGGGUUCGUAUACAAUUCUCCUCGACGCCGGCCGUAGCUCGCUCACCCACCGUCGUUCACCCACCGUCGUUUGCUCGCCUGCCAUCGCUCGCUCGCCGUCGCUCAGCCACCGCUAUAGUUGCGCCGUUGUUCACGAUCAUUCAGGUUUGUCAUGUUCUCUACGUGGAUCAAUUUUGCGAAAAAUUUAAGGUUCCGAUGGGCAAGUUAGGGCACGGUAGGCAAACUGAGGGCUCGGCUUAGGAGGAAAGUAGUGGGGAAAGUGGUGGGGAUGUCACUUUUAUGGGGACGGAAUAGAAAAAUUAAUUCUUCCAUCGUUCGUUCGCUUUCUGUUGUGGGGACCGAAUAGAAAAAUAAGGUGCAGAGAAGCUUAACUCGGAGGAAAACAGUGGUGGGACCGAAUUUGUUUGUUUAAUUAAUUGGACUGCUUUUGUGGGGGACCGAAUGUGAAUGUGAUUGAAUUGAAAAAUGGGUGGUGGGGACCUCACUUUGUUUAUUUAAUUCAAUUUCUUUUGUUUCUAUAAAUGCACCGAAUUGGGAAGAUUUUAGUCGCAUUGUUCCUUGACAACAAAACGACAAGGACCUACAUGUGAAGUUAUCGAUUCUGUCAUGUGGUUCCAACAAAACGAUAAUGAUUAUUUUUUUUCAUUGGGUGUAGCAUUGACAUGGACGUGAAUCAGAUAGGCGUCAUUGUUUGCUAUGGUGGAGAGUUUGUUAUUGGCACUGAAGAUUGGGAAUAUAGUGGUAGAAAUGAUGGUACUAUUUAUGUCAAUGUUUAGAAGCCAUCAUAUAUUGAUUUUCUGAGGGAUUUUGUGUAUUUUUUACGAUGUAAAGUGCAAAAAUUACAUUACUGUGUUCCUAGAAAGGAAUUGAAGGAUGGGUAUUAAGGAUAUCAUUUACCAUUAUCUUCACAGUGAAGAAGUUAAGGUAUUUGUUGAGUAUUAUAGUGAGGAUGAGGAUAAGGAUGGGGAUGGGGAUGAGCAGACCACCACUGAAGGAGGAGAAGUGAGGGAUCAUGUUCAAGCGAGUAAUUAGGUCGGGGAUGAGUUUAGGUUAGAUGAAGCACAAAAUGAGAGGGAGAUAAGUCAUAUUGAUAGAGAUGAACAAAGAGGGAGAUGUCCUGAAAUCUUGGGUGAAGAUUUGAGUGAAGAUGUGGGCGAUGAAGACUUCAUUGGAUUAGAAUGAGAAAUUGUUUUAUCUAGUGAAUCGGAAGAUGAAUGUUUGGCUUUAGUAAAUUUCCCAAGUGACGAAGAUGAUGAUGAACUCCAUAGUCAAGACAAAAACAAAAGGAAUUUCUGAGAAAAAAACUUACAGCUUCAGCAAAAAGGCCCGAGCUAGUAAAUAGGGAUGGAGAUCCAGUUGAGGGUAAUAGAAGUGAAGAUGAAGAAAGCUGUGUCGAUGAAGUUGUUGGUUCGAAAAAUGAGCUUGACAAUAAUGAUGAAGAAUCUGCUCCUCGAAAAAAAAGUAAGUACCAUUGCUAUGAUCCGACUGCUAAUAAAUCUGUUUUGUUGGUGGGCAUGAGAUUUGACGAUGCCAAACAAUUCAAGGAAGCUAUUGUGAAGAACACAAUUGGUGAACAGAGGAGCGUUAAAUUUAUUAGAAACACGAAGGAAUUUGUGAGAGCUAAGUGCUCACAACCUAAUUGUUCGUGGAAGCUCUAUGCCGCACUUAGUAAGAAUAGGUCAUUCCAGAUUAGGUCCUUUUAGGAGGAGCAUACUUGUCCAAUUAUCUUUAACAAUAAAAGGGUAACAAGUGUGUGGUUAUCAAAGCAUUUUUUCAAUACUAUCAAAGCAAUGCCCGAGAUCAAGAGUCUUUAAUUUCAACAGUUAGUUAAGGAGCAAGUAGGGGUUAAUGUAUCGAGGAAUCAAUGUAAGAGAGCUAAGAUGAGAGUGAUGAAGAUAUUGAUGUGUGGGUAUAAGGAAGAAUAUGCGCAUGUAUGGGAUUAUGCUAGUGAAUGCAUAUUUCAAAACCCAUCUAGUAGAGUAUAUGUAGAGGUUGUGGAGAGGCCACUCCCUGAUCUUGGGCCUAGAUUUGAUAGAUUUUAUAUCUGUUUUGAUGCAUGCAAACGGAGCUUCUUGACUGGUUGUAGAAGAGAUAUAGGAUUGGAUGGAUACUUUCUAAAGGGUUUAUGCAAUGUAGAGUUAUUGGUUGCUGUGGGGAGAGAUGCCAAUAAUCAAAUGUUCCCGAUAGCUUGGGCGGUGGUAAAGAUAGAGAACAAGGAUAUUUGGUCCUAGUUCCCAAAAAAUUUAAUGGCUGACCUUGAGAUAACCGAUGGGGAAUGAUGGAUAUUCAUGAGUGACCAAUAGAAGGUAAUUUCAUUAUCAAUUAAUUCACUCCAUUUUAAUAUUAAUCACUUACAUAUUUUUCUUAACUUAUAUUUAUUGGUUUGAAUUUUUGUAGGGACUUAUUCCUGCAUUGGCUGAAUUGAUGCCAUAUGUUGAGCAUAGAAUGUGCGCGAUGCACAUAUAUGCAAACUGGUCAAUGAACUUCAAAAGAGAUAGGAUGCAGAAGCAGUUUUGACAGAUAGCAAAGAGUACGAAUAUGGCUGAUUUCAUAUUAGUCAAACAAGGAUUGUUGCAGCUGACAAAGAAAGGUUUUGAUGCACUCUUCCAAACAGAAGCUAAGCACUGGUGUCGAGCCUUCUUUAGCGAAGAGUUCAAAUGCGAUAUCAUUGAUAACAAGCUUUCAAUGGUAGAAUUUUAGAGGCCAAGUGCAAAUAAAUCAUCAGCAUGCUUGAUGAUAUUCGAGUUAUGAUUAUGACUAGAUAGCAUAAGUAACAAGAUGAGGCUACAAAAUGGAGUAGAGACUGUACCCCUAGGAUUGUGAAGAGAUUUGAUGCAAAUAUUGCUGCUAGUAGGUUCUACCAUUUAGUUUGGAAUGGAGAUAAUGGAUAUGAGAUUAUUCAAAAUCAGGAUAAGUAUGUUGUCAACCUAGAUAGAAGAAAGUGUUCAUGCCGAGCCUGGCAACUAAAUGGAAUUCCCUGUGCCCAUGCCAUUUGUGCUAUUCAGAUGAAGCAAAAAAAACCCAGAUGAUUACCUACAUGAUUGGUACAAAAAAAGUUCAUACCUUGCUUCAUACCAAUUCAUGAUGCAGCCUAUCAGAAGCAGCAAAUUUUGUGAGUCAACAAAUCAUGAAAGCCCUCUACCUUUAUCGCUAAAGAAGCAAAUAGGAAGACAAAAAAAGAGACGAAGAAUGCAGCAAGAAGAGACAUAAAGUCAAAGGAUGAGUAGGACUGGAUCAAAGAUGAAAUGCUCCUAUUGCCGCAAGGAAUGGCACAAUAAGAAAGGUUGUGAGCUGAAAAAGCAGCAUCAACAGCAAGAUGUAAUAGCUGAUUCAGUGCCAGGGACAGGACCUACUAAGAGUUUCUUGUUAGGCAUAUUGAAGGGAGGACAGAAGGCCCUGCUGUAAUGCCUACUGAAGGGAAAACAGAAAGCCAUGCUGUAAGGUAAGUAUCAUCUUUGUCUUAGUAACUUUACAGUUCUUAUUCGAUAGAGUUUGAUGAUUGACCAUGUGUACUGGCUUCUCUUGUGCUUUUCCUCUAUCAUGCACUUGUAAUUUGAGAAGUUUUCUCCAUUUGUUUCCACCGUGAAAAUGAGUAAAUGUCUAAUUAUUCGUUGUAGUUGGUCAUAAUCUUAAUACAGUACAUUGUUGUAAGGCCUACUAAAGGGCCAGAAAAAGGCCCUGUUGUAGGCUCAAGUGUAGGGACAAGGACUGGAAUAGGCAGGACAGCAACAACAACAACUGAGUCCACUGUUGAGCAAACAAGAAAAAAAUAUCUUGUAAGUUUUACAUCGUUGUGUUUGGUCUUUUAUGAGCUAAAAUUUACAUUUGUUAUGUGUUUCUCAGGUGAGAAGACGAGCAACUGCACAAGUUACAAAGAUUGCUACAAGGAUUGUUGUUGUUGAAAAUGAUGCACCACAGCGAACAAGAGGGGCUCUUGGAAAAAGAUUAAAGCAAUAUGGUUAUGGGAUUUACACAAAUGAACGUACUAGAAUGACUAUUUUGAAUGUAAGAUUUAUAAGUUUUAUGCAUUUAAUUUGUUGUACUUCAAUUCAUUUGGUUGACAAUAACAAUAUCACUAUGUUCUUAUAGCCUGGGAGAACUUCGGAGGUACUUCUCUCUCAAAGUGGGCCAACUCAAGAAUUAAGGGCGCAGCCAAAGAAGAGUGCUCCAAAGAAGAAGAUGACAGCGGAUAUAGCUGCGAAAUAGCCAUCCAAAAAGAACCCAACACCAGUUCCAUCUCAACCAACAAUUGGGAGCGGUAGUAAUGAUAUGGACCAACACAUGACACGUGCUAGAACAAAAAUAGCCGCCAUAAAAAACAAGGAAAAAGAAAAUGAGGUGACAGAAAGCCCAGUUAAAGAACCUGCACAUCCAGUUCGAAAGAGUGCUCGGAUUAUGAAUCAAUUCAAAGCUCCAAGAGGAAAAAGAGAUCAUGGUGUUGUCAAUAUUUACUAAUGGGAGGGUGCUGGACAUGGUCUCUUUUUAUGUGAUGCUGGACAUGGUAUCUUUUCAUGUUUUCUUUUUUUAGGAGUGUGCUGGAUAUUAUAUCAUUGAUGGUAGUUGCUGCAUGCAUAUUGCUAUUGUUUUUUUUUUUUUUUAAGAGAGUGCUGAACUUUCGAUGAUUGUGGAGUGAAGUUAGACAUGCUUUUCUUUUCUUUUGUAAACAAUAAAUUACUGUUAAUGGCAACUACAGGAAUGAUUAUUCAUUUUCUCUUGUGUUGGUUUCGGUUAGAAUGCUAGCAAGUCAGUUAUGCUGUAUAUUUUAUUUUUGAUGUUACUGUAAUGUUGUUGUUGCUGCAAUGUUACUGUUGUUGAUUGAAAUUGUGGAUUAUAAUGAAUUUGUGGGGUUCUGAGUAUAUGUGUUGCUACAAGAAUACUUUGGGUGCUGGUACAUCUUGUUACAUCAACACCUAUAUGGGCUGGUGCAAGAAGACCAAUAACUCAACUAGUGCAAGAACAAGGUGCAUUUGGAAUGUGACGUUUGGCACUAACAUGGUCUUUUUUAAAAAACUUGUACAACAUAAGUAAUCACUUUGUAAUCGUGAUUGGCACUUAAAUGAUCACUUUUAUAAAACUUGGCACUCAAGCGAUCACUAUUUACAACUUAUGGCACUGAAAUGGUCAAUCGUGAAUUUGCCACCAUCUUUUAAUUUCGGCUAGUUUGCAAUUGCAACAAACCAGCAAACUAGAAAACUAGCAAACCAGCAAACCAUUACCAAAUAAAAAAUGUAGCAAACCAUUACCAAAUAAAAAAUGCAGCAAAUCAUUACAAAAUAAAAAAUGGUUAAUAUCCUAAAAAACCCAAAACCAGUACACUUGUGAUAAAUUUACCCCAAACUAUUUUUUAAGUUAAAUUAAAUGUGACAGUUGACUAAUAUAUCGAUUUAGGAUUUUAGGCAUUGUUUGUCACAGUUUACAAUUUUUGUGAUUUUUUUAUAGUAUUAAUCUAAUUUAACGGAAUGUAUAUUUGUCACAAAUUUAUCAGUUUGAGGUUUUUUGUAGUCGAAUAAAUUAGUUUAGGAUAAAAUUAUCGUAAAUGUACCAGUUUAUGGUUUUUUAUAGUCAGUUAGGGUAAAUUUGUCACAAGUGUACCAGUUUUAGGGUUUUUUAUGGUAAAAAAAAUAGUUUUUGAUAAAUUUGUCAUAGGUAUACCAGUUUUGGGUUUUUUUUUAGGGUAUUAACCCAAUAAAUAAAUGCAGUAACCAUUACUAAAAGCUUUCAAUGCAGCAAACCAUUACCAAAUAAAAAAUGCAGCAAACCAUUACCAAAUAAAAAAAAUGCAGCAAACCAUUAUCAAAAUUUUUCAAUGCAGCAAACUAUAACCAAAUAAAAAAUGUAGCAAAUCAUUAUAUUUGAAGCAAAAAUUAAUCAAAACAAAUAUUGACAAUACACAACUAAACAAAAAAACUUUUAAGUGCUCACAACUAAUACAUUUCAAGUCCAAUCUUGCAUUUCUACCGAUAUAUUACAGCAACAAAAUAUUUUGCUCCAUACAAAAAUUGCAGCAAACCAAAAAACACAUUUUAUUUAUAAAUAAUUCAAUACAAGUGCAUAUUCCAUGUCUUCGACUAUGGUAGACAUACAAACUUCUUCUCAUUACUCACUUUACCUUUGAAUAAACUACCCAAGAGAAAAAGAACACAAUCAACGCUUGAUAAAAGUUUCUUCCAAUUUUUAGCCUUGAAAUCCCCCUCUUCAAAUGGUCCACCAAAUAUGUUAAACCCUUCAUUUGAGCUUGCAUUGAGUCGACAUCCUCCAACUCAUCCAUUAACAUAGGUGGAAGUUGAUUUUGGCUUUCAAGUAACUCCAAUAUCAUGUAUGUCGCUCGAUCAAAGAAUUUCCUAUCAACUCAUUUGAAGUAUUGGCACUUCGAGCCUUUUCUAUAUCUGCCGCACCCAUGGAAUCUUCUCCUGGGAUUCAAUCGAGUCCAAGAUGUUCUUCUCGAACUUGGUAACCCACAAUAACAGUAACACUCACCAUCUAAUUCGCCUUUUUUUAUAGGAAUGUGAGCCGCUGUUAAAGCUUUUGUCAUCCAUUUGCAAGAGCGAGUUGAUAACUUCAGGAGAAAAUUGAAGUAUGCACUCAAAAUGGUCAAAUUGGGGAUUUAGAGUUUUCAACUUCCGAUUCUAGUAGAAAUUGGGGAUUUAGGGUUUCUUAUGUGGGGGAAAAUGAUAAAAAGCAUCGUUUUGUUCUUUGUAUGCUGAUUGUAUUCUCUAGCGAUCCACGUCGGCAUCAAAAAUUAAUAAAAAACUGCCAUGUCAGAUUUCCGGUCAACCAAAUCGGCGAUGGCACCAAAGUGAUCGUUUUUCAAAAUUUUUGGCACUUAAGUGAUCCGACGGAAACUUUUGGCACCAAAGUAAGCGCCGUACACAACUUAUGGCACAAUUAGUGUACUUCUCCCAAGGUUUUGAUGUGAUUGUCGUUGGAAUUUACAGGGCCGUCUCGUGGCAAUAGAUUGCCUGCUUCCCCUUGUUUGAUAAUUUCUAGUUUACCGUAUUCUUCUGAAGCAAGUGCUGAAAUGGAGGAACCCAUAGGAUUUUUUGCUUUUUUCCAUCUAAUGUGUCUUGACACAUCGUGGAGUUCUUUUUCUGAUAUUUGGUUCUUGUAAUAUUAUGCAGAGACCGUGAAGGAGAUGUAUGAUAAAAUUCUUGAGUCCGCUAAUAUGAAAAGAACAAUGGCUCCAAACGCAUGGACGUGGUCGAUGAUUGAAAAUUGCAAGAACAGAGAGGAUAUCAGAGCUUCUCUUUGAUGUCUUGCAGAACCUACGUAGAUUUGUCUGUUGACUUCUUGCUCCAUUUGAGAAUUAAAGUUUUAGUUUGUGAGCAGUUGACAAACCAACUUGUUUUUUUCUUUCAUUGGGCAGAUUGUCAAAUCUUCAAAUUCAUGAGAAUUUUAACUGCAACCUUUGUCGGAUAGUCACAAAAGCAUGAGUGCAUGCAAGGGCUCUUGAUUUUGGGGAGCUUUAUCUACACAAGUUGUGUGCCAAGUUCAAAAAUUUUAUAUCUUGCUAAUAUAUUCACCCGAUUCUUCUUCUUCAUUCGAUUGUUGCUAUGUACCCUAUCAUUAGCACAAUCAUUUUGUUGUUAUGUUGUUUGCUCUCACAUGAUCUUUUUACCUAAAGUCUGUCAUGCUCGGAGAACAUAUUCAGUUGCUUAUGAAAACUUUUGACUAUCGCGCUGGUACCGGUAGCUAGUUAUGCUUUUUUGUUUUUUUUCCUUGAUGCAUCAAUUAUGUAAACCGGAAUUUUGUCCUACACGGUUGCUACACGUCUAUUAAGUGUGGGUAUUGAAAUAACAUGACACAUUCUUGCUAAUAGUUUUUCACGUUUGAAUGUGUAAAAGCACAUUCAAUUUAAAGUACAUAGGACAUUGUUAAAAAUGUAUUAACUUGUCUUGUGUGAGUAACAUGUUAACUUGCUCGACAUGCUUCAAUGUGUUUAAGUGGUAAAAAGGUCAAUUUAUUUUACAUGUACAAACUUGUUAACUCAUUGAUGACUCAGACAAUUUUAAGCUCAAUCCAACUUAGUAUGUGUCAAACACUUAUUCUGUAAACAGGUCUUUUCGCACAUUGCUGGCUCUGUAGGACUCUGAUUUAUUGAAUGACACCUCCACUUCAAGUUAUUGAAUUCAUUGUUGAAGCUUGGCAAAGAGCAUUCACUUUUUGCGGACUUGUUUUUAUGAACAUCAAGCUUCAGUAGUUGUCAGUUCAACCUGUUUCUAGUAAUUAAGCUCUUCAUAAUUUUCAAGCAAAAUAAAUCAAAUCAAUCUGCAGUUCCAAAGUGUAGUUCAUGUUAGGAGAUUGCAGCAAUUAAUUGUCACUGGGAGUACAUGAUUUAAUCAGAACCUAUAUCUGUAAAUCCUUAUUUAGGCUAAGAAAUUAAUUCGCAUGGUGCACUUAGUACUUGAUGAUAGAAACUAAGGGUUGACAAAAUUGUAGGUAAGAAGGCCUCGUGGGAGCAUAAUGUCUAUGGAUUGACCCCUACGAUUGGCUAUGCAAACCAUCUUUUGGUAAUGAUGAAGUGUAUCUAAAUCAAAAAAAUUCUUUUUUCCAUUUGUUUUAUUUACACAAUUCUUCCGCUAAGUUGGGGUAUUGCAAUGCAGCAAUAUGCUAAAGAGCACAAAGAUGCCACUCUCAGAAGAAGAAUAACUUGCCAUUGCAACCCAGCACAGCUGAUAGUGUUUUCAGGUUCACUUCCGUGCUGUUUUCCUGAGAAUGAUGUCAUUAUCAUGUAGGAAGCCAUUAUUGCACUUAAUUGUGUGAAAUGUACUACAUAGUUAUCAAGCAAUUUAUCCAAUUUAUAAGUGUCUUUUAUAUAUGAUUUAAUCAACUUGUUUUUAUUUUGAAUCAUUUUGUCUGCACUGCUACUCUCGAUCUAAUAGUUUGCUCAUGUUACUUGACAUCCUUUAUUUCCAUGGAAAAAUUUUGCAGCAUUUGUGAUGAUACAGACAAUUGGGGGUUGCUCACAAAGUAUUCAAAGAGAUUUGUCAAAAAGGGAGUGAAUCUGCAUAAAGCUGCAUUUGACAUCUGGAUGGAGUUUGCUGCAAAAGUAGGUGAGAAACACUCGCUCUGUCUCCCUUCACUGCUCUCAAGCCCUUGCCCCUCAACAAUCUUAUUUUCCAUUUCUCCCCACAAAUAGUUCUCUCAUCUAGGUCCCGCCACUUACUACAAAAGAUGGGAUGUGCUAGAAUAUUUUCUUACUGUACAAUGAUUUCUUUCUCUCCUUAAGCAAAAGGGUAGAAAUAAGAAUUGAAAAGAAUUUUCACUGCGCCAUGUCUUUCAAUGUCUUUGUUUCUUUAAUUGUUCUGAGAUUAUGCUUCUUUAUCCUAUUUAGUGGUUUGACGAAAAUUACCCUUUUCAGGAGACAUUGAAUCUCUAUGGAAAACUGAGAAGUUAAGAUGUGAGUCCAUGAAGCAGCAUACCAUGGGCAGUGGGUUCUCAUGUGCGAAGGUAGUUUACAAACACAAACUGUUGAAAUCACAAAUAUCAGACCCCGAAAGCACUAGGUCUUCUUGCAUUAGAAAAUCUGAUAAUGGGAAAAUAUUACUAUUGCGAUACAGAUCAGUACAAAGUUCUUGGUAAACCAGGUGAGAGGUCUAUGGCCAAAAAAAGCGGGAGUUAAUGCUUGAAUAAACCAAAUUUUGGCUCACAUCCUAGGACAUGAAGCACCUAUGGGCAUGAGAAUGCUCAUUGUCAUCACACGAAGGAGAUAUAACUACUUUUUUCGGUAUUUGGAAGCAUUUAUUGUGGCUUUUAGCACUCUGGUUUAAGAUUAAAAUUUAACCGACUGUCAUUUACUUGUUUUGUGGCAAACUAAAUGGUUUUAUAUUCAAUUUUUUGUGCAGGGAUAUUUACUUGAAGGCAAACCUGAGGAGGCUGCUACAGUCAUUCGCGUCUUGAAUCAGGUGCUCCUCACUUCUCAGAGCAUCUAUAGCUAUUAUUAAUAUGCUCAUCAUCACCAUCUGGCAUGAUUGCAAUCCUAAAUUACCUCAGCCUCUGAACUAGUCAUUCAAUUUUCCAUAUACUGUCAAGGAAUGAAGCAAUUAGUGGAAGAUAUACGGAAUUGUCCCCCGAAAUGUGCUCAGAAAAAUUACCAUGACAUAUCCUCUCUCGAGGGGGACUGGGUGAUUUGGGUUUCGUAUUUGGUGCCUACUAUACUAUUGAAAUAACACGAGUUAGUUCCAUGGAUCCUAAUAGAGUUUGAAAGAUCAUCUCAGACUCCUCCUGAAUUGAAUAAAGUUGGAAAGACACCAAUGUAGGCUCUGUUUGUUCAGAUGUCGCUUCUUAGGUGUCGCAAUGUGAAUGCCUUGGAUUGAUGCCAGAGUAAACCUGAUGCUAAGAGGUCCAGCAUCAUGGUUGAACUUCAAAAGCUUGUCAGUGAGUGGCUUUUCGAGGUCAUCAAAAGGAAGAAAGAAGAUGACCGCAAGGUACUUCCUUUGACUAAAUAUCCAUCACUUUGGGUAGAAGUAGAAAUAUUGCCUGUUUGGAGUUAUAUAUUGCUCUGGUAAUGUUUGAAGAUGACCCGUUGCUGGAUGUAUAUAUGCUGCUUUGAACUAUCUCAAAAUUUUUAAAACCUCUCAUUCUUUUCGCUCAUGUAGGCAUUGGCUGCUUCUCUCAAAUCCGAUAUCCCAGCCAUGGUUAGUUCCUUAUUAAACACGGGCUUGCAGGUGAAAGCGAAUAACCACCGAAGGCACCCUUUGUUAAAGUAUGACAGAAUUGGAGAUUGAAUGCACUAGCUGCAGAUCUGUCUCCUAUGUGGACCGCUAAGGUUGCCAUGUAAGUUUAAACCGAUUCCGCUGAGAAGCAAGACAAGCGCGGUACUCACGUCUCGAGCAACAAGCAUCUGAAGUUCUCUUGUAAAGGUCCCUGAACCAUGAAAAGAUCUGCUCCUUCUUGAUUUGAAUGCUGUCACUUCUGUACUUUCGGAUAAUGAUUUUUUUCUUUCCCAAAAAUAUCUGAAUGUAUUAGAGACGAUAGGUGCAUCAUCAGCAAUUGAAUUCUGAGAACAACCUCGGAUGACUAGUUUUUGCUGAGAGGACUCUUCUGGCUCACAAAUUUUAGAUUGGACCAAAUGGGCAGUUAAGAGAGACAAUUGAUAAGGUGGUCCUUUCAAUUUCAAUCUGAUUUGGCAGCGUUUUGUUAUAUUUCUGACAGAAUUUCGCUGUCCAAAAUUAAGAGAGUGAAUUUUAUGCCGACUCAUUCGAUCUUGGCAUACAGCGACCACCAUUGUUUCCUGAUUUAAUCGGAUUGAACUGUCCAAUCGUGGUGCCAGAGUGCAUAACAUAAAUUACAUGCCUUUUUACAUCAUGAAAGAUAACGAAGAACCUGAAUUACCAGAUUUGGCUUUGGUACCCACAUGCGUAGGUGCGUGCGUGCGUGCGUGCAUUUUGUGCAUAUAAGGUGUAAAAGAGGUGACAAACGCAAUCCUCUAGAAUUAAAACAUGUGCAUUAAUCGUGCGCAAGUUUUAGCAAUGAAUUGACAUAAUUGUAAUAGGUGUGACUUUUUUGAUAAUUUUUCCGUAUUCACACUAAAAAAUUUAGGAUUAUAAUCAGAUUGUAUAGGAUUGAAUUUGAAUUUAUACAAUAAGCUUAUGACUGAAUUUACGAUUCUCCCAACUCAAAUAAUUCUCCCCCUCUUCUAUCUCCUCUCCUCAUUUGUAUAAAAUGGGCAAUGAGGGUUGGCUUAGGUAGUGGAAGGGAAACCAUCCUCCCAAUGACCAUCCUGGAGAAAGUCCACCCAAAUUCAAAUCGCAGGGGAAGAAAACAAACCUCUUCUCACUUUGAAUCACCACACUGAGUGUUGAUUUUAGCUCCUUAAAAUCUUCCUACACAUCCAACCCCUCGGGAUCCUAGCAUCAAGAGACAAUCCUUCCGGAUUAUAAGAGUGAGAGUAGAAGUCACAUCCUAUGAUUUCCAAUCUUUCGCAAGACAUGCAAAUAGAUUUGCGUAUGGUUAAUAUGAGAAAAGAGCUAUCCUAUACACUCGCAUUUAGUUGAUAAAAAGGUUGAUCAAUUUGUAGAUGACAUGCAGCGACUUAAUUUCCAUUCACAUAUAAAUAACAUGUAGCCCAUCCUAGGUUGUGUCAAAGCCCCAAUACAUGUAUUAGAUACUAUGCCAUCUCAAUCCGAAAAAGCAAAAGGGACAUAUUGAUGUUUUCCAAUCAUCACACCUUGAGAAAAGACGACACAUUUUUUACUCUAGCAGGUGAGACAUCCUUCCGACGGUAGUCUCGGAAGAUGAAUCUUGCUUCCGAUCUCCAUAAUCUAGCAACAAUGAUGGUGAUUCCACUGGACUAGUGAGGACUACUUUUAUCUUCCUCUCCUUUAUGUACUUAUCACUUCCUUUAUCAAACAAAAAAUCUAAAAGAAAUUUCUCGAGUUACUUAACCCGAAACAUUAUGGAACAUAUAUUAGUAAAACUUGUCAUGUCAACAGUGAUGUCCUCUUCAUCUGUAUCAGGAACUUGUCUCUGCACCGCAGGACAGGUGGAGCUACUUGUGGUGCUUAACAUGGUAACUGCAUCAAAUAGAAGAUAGGAUGAAAAGCUACUCCAAUUUUUUUGAAAUAUCAGGACAUAGCUUCUGAGGCCUAUCACAGUUUCCCUUUAUCUAAGGUAUAUUAGACUACUAUGGCGGGCAUUCAGAAUCUUAUUCAAAGAUGAUCCUUGCUGUAAUGCGACUGACUCCACCUUAAGCAGUUCGUACCCCAGCAACAAUAUAGUCCAAUUGACAUGUCAUGGCAAAGAAAUUGCAGAAGAAUCUUUUAGCCGAUUCAAGUACCGUGGGCAUGUCCCUCCUCACAAGUAUGUUAGGGGCUCUAAUAAGUAUGUGACAUGAUAUUCCAUGGACUUGAGCUACACGAUUUCGAAUCAGAUGCUCCAUUGGGCUUGAUGAUGCCUACAUUCGGCCACACACAGUAUUUCUUCAAAGACGUAGACUUAACCCAGAAUGCUUUGGAUCUCUAGUAUAGAGUUCAUAUUGUCUCUCCCCAAUAGAGAGCUUUAAAUGCACUGGUGUCCUACUCUGAAAAUUAAAUUACAUCCACAAAUACAAGAUUGAAAGGAAAUUGUUCACCCGCCAUAACCUGAAAAGAGUAAAGCAUGAUCAUGGUGAAAGAAAAGGUCCAAAAAAUCUUCCCCUUGAAAGCAACAUAUCGAUCAGUCUUGUUGCCUAACAGAAUCGAGCAUGAGCUUUGUUUACCCAACUCAACUACAUAGACACGAAGAAGAGGCUUCAGAUAUAAGAACUUAACAGGGUACGUCACGAUAGCAGGAUGUGAUGAAAUGUAACAUUGUACAUUUUCUUUGAAGAUAUAAUGUAGUAAUGCAAUCUCGAUGGAUAUUCCAAAGAACUUACAAGAGAAGACAACUCCUAGUAACUACGGGGUACAAUGGAAAUGAACAUUCAAAGCCUGAGAUUAAUCCUGGGAAAAAUGGAAAAGUAUGGAACAACAAACUUUGAUUUACAUCACAUGAAGCAAGGACAACGUGAUAAGUGAAUUCAAGCAUCCCAUGGAAUUCUAUUGGCACCGGCAGCUUCUACUGAUUCCAGUUCUGCCACAACUAUAGUCCUGGAAGGCCACUCGUUAGGAGUCAUUUGGAGGCAUUGUAAAGCAAGCUGUGCUAUUUGGAAUGCAGAAUCUAUAUAUGUAAGGUAUAGGGAUGGUAUAAAUUUGGUUCCCAUUUCCUGCAGGCUGCAAACAUCGUGAGCCACCGGCUUCUUCCAAGAUAUCCAGUGUUUCUUUUUUGGGUAAUUGGAGCAUCUGCAGAAAUGAAAAGUUAUGUAGGCAAUACAACUGUAGAUUCCAUGCCAAAGGAUUUAAGUAGCUAAAAGGAAAACACACCUCGUAUUUCAUAGAGGGGAUUAUAGUGAACCUCACACCAGAAACUCAACCAAAACUCUGCAUCAAUUGAAAGUAAGGUUAACAAAAGGAAAAACUCAAAAAAUAUGGAGUUUCAAAAGACCAGUUGCACAUUGAACAAAAGCAACAGUAGAUCAAUUGCAAAUGUUUACACCUAGGUUUAAAAUCAAUCAAAUAUAUAUUGAGCUGUACCCAAGCAGCUGUCCUAAGCAAGCAAAAGAACAGAUAUUUAAUUUCCCAGAUGAACAACAAGCAAAGCAUCACAAAGGAGGGUCUAUGCGUAUAUGUAUGCAAGAAACACUCUUUUUUCCAAGACAAAUGAGAAGUAAAAUAUCAACUUCACAUUCAUCACAUUGCACUGACUGAUCAUUUGACCCAACAAAACAACUAUGAAGAAGACUAGCAAGCAAUACCCAAGACAGAGGGAACUUAUAAAUCCGAUGGCCCAACAAUAAUCAAGCUAUCAGUAUCAAGAGGUUUUAGACCUCCUUCAGGCUCUCCAACAUCAACCAAAUAAGCAUUGAACAUCAAUGACUCACCGGAACAAUUAACUUCAUCAUUCUUCAAAAUUAUGCAUUUUGACAGCUGCUCGCUGCCAUCAUAGGGCAUUACCUAUCAUAUAUCCGACCAUCAAUCACAGCAUGGACUAAUCUACUCCAAACAAGCUCAAUCACGGAGAGUAUUACAACCAAAAGCACAGAACAUAACAAUCCAUGAUGAUAGAAAAAAUGAAACCCUAGGCAGCAUCGAGCUGCUGCCAUUAAGUUUGAUCAAGCAAGCCAAAUAUGGGGGAAAACGGUAAUAAAUCAAUAGCCACUGCAAUUUUGACACAGAUUAGCCAAUCAAACCAAAUCAUGUCCAAGCCCAAUCAAAGGCAACUAAAUUGCCCACCAGGUUGAGCUGGACAUCACUAGAAGAGAUUAGUAGUGAAAGCAAAGGUACCUUGCUGGUGGAGGUGCAGAGUGAGAGGAAGCCGUCGCAAUAGACCUUGCGCUUCAGCUUCUGCUUCAGGUGCUUCUUGAAGGUGACAUUCCAGCACACACAGACUCAAGCACAUAACUCAUUUCAUCAAACACCAAAAUUGCACAUGAUCACCAAACACUGGACAGGCAAAACUUAGAUGGUUCACACUUACACGAAGCAUAAUUCGCACACUAAUUACAAACACAAUCCAAAAGCAGUUCAGGAUUGAAAAAGAAAACAAGAGCACAACACCGAUCCGCUCCUAGAACCUGUAUUGCCGGCUCAAAAUGCAGGCGUUGAGUCCAUCACAGAGCUGAAAGCUCUGAUGUAUUCAUCCGUGGGAUUCUGCUGAGUCCGGAUGUUCUGUAUAAGGGCAACAAGGAUGGUGAUGCCAGAUUUCUGUCCCUCAAGAUUCCGUUUGAUGCGAUGUUCAUUUUCCUAAUCAAAACUCCAGAGUUAGAGCUUAAGCUGGCAGACUUGAAAUCCAUAUCCUAGGUGCAAUUUCUCCCUCUUAACCCAACCUUGAUUGAGGAUGAGGACCACAAUACCAAUGUGUGCGCAGAAGCUCUCCCUGAUGCUCAUAGAGUUCAACUUGACUAAAAUUUCUGAGAUUCUACACCCAAAGACAGUCAGCCAUUGCUUCAGAUUUUCACUUGGUGAUCUGUCCUGUGCAAAUGUGAAUGAUGUUGAGCUACGGGUGGCUCUGGCAUCGACUCCAGAUAUGGAUCCCAAGUUGCUUUCUCAGCUGAAAGUAGCACAGCGGAUUGGAAAUCUUUUGGAGUUUGUACAUGGGAAGAAUUUGGAAGAUUUUCUCAAAUUGAUGCUUGGCUUGUGCAAAGCUCUUCUUUUAUGAUCACCAGGUUCCACGAAAGUUUUCACGUACAUGGAAGAGCCAACACUACCUGAUGAAAGUUCUUCUGAGGCAGCAAGUAGCAUAUGACACAUAGCUGACUCUGGUGGCAGUGCCAGUGUUUUCCUGGAAUUGAGUGGGUCUCAUGACAGAAACAAUGCUGAUAAUGCUUAUGAAUGCACAGUUCUAGUACUGAAGGCGGCCCCAAGGGAAGGUGCUCUCUUUUCCUUACCAAUCUUUUGUAAGUGAGUGCAAUUCUCAAGUCUCGGCAAGACAGCCUCCUUCUCUACUGGUACAGCAAAUGCUGCAUUCUAUCAGUUACAACUGUAGGCGAUGUUUGCUGCAUAGAAUGAUCUUUGUCAGUGUGCCCGUCAAAGAUUGCUAUGAUUGAAGGCAUCAUUGCUGAGAUAAAAUAUUCUGGUGCUGCUGUUCAGCCAGUGCUGCCACACUGGUAAUCUCCGAAUUCCAGUGGCUCCCUCAUUUAUGACUUCUCCAUAACAUUUGCAAAUCCCACUAAGAAGCACACCUUUCCUGAAAAAUAAACUGAACUUAAGCAUGGCAAUACAGAGUGUCUAUCUACUUCAAAGUCACAACAAUGAGUUGAUUGUGCUGUAAAGUCCUAGAAUGAGAACCAUAGUUGUAUGACCUUCCAACACACAUUCCAUCUAUUUGUUUACAGCAUAGCAAAUUUAUCUCCCAUGCAAAGUGAGGUUAUCAAUUUCAAAAUAUGUGUGAAGCAGCAAAUCAACGACGAUCUCUAAUAAGUUGUUACAUAUCAAAUAAAAAUGAUGCAAUCGACAUGCAUAUGUCACGGACCGAGAGAAGGCCGAUCCGUGAGGUUCCCCGAGGACGACCCCGACUCGUCCAUGGAAGACCUCCUACUCCAACUCGGGUUCCCAUCAAAGCUUCUCCCUGAAGCUUCCAAGGGAGGACGACACCGUCAUUUUGCCUGACUCUAGAAGCUUCCGUUAUUUAUGUCGGUAGACGGUAGUUAAAUAUUUAUGUCAGUAGUUGAGGCGGUGCGAUCUCGCCCGUCAGAUAAAAAGUAGAUCAACGGAUGUAAACCGAGGCCCUCAACUAUAAAAAGGGGUGCCCUCCUUCAUUUGUAAUCACCCAACAUUUCAGCAAUACAAAGUUCAUUUCCUUCCAGAGCUCCUCUCUCUUACUUUCUCUCUCAACGAUUCGGGUAAGCGAGCGGGUUAGCGUUCGAUCGAGCAACGCUUGGCCCGGGUAGUCCAAAAUCGCCCGAGUCGCCGCGCGGUCAUGAUCCCAAUUGAUCGGCCCGUGACAAGUGGUAUCAGAGAAAAAUAGAGAUUCGUUUGAGAGACCAAGGAGCGCCAACUGUUCGAAGGAAUGUCGAGCCAAGAAGCUGUCAUGGUUGGAGAGACCGUGCAAGUCCAAGAGGACCGCGGUCGUGGAAAGAAAAGAGACGCCUCGAGGGACGUCAUAGCUGUGUUCGAUGAGAAGAUCGCGAAUGUCCGGAGCGCUGUGCACGAACUCAUGGAAGGUCUUGACGACGUGCGAGACCGGAUCAUGGAGGUUGACAGUUCACUCUGUGAAGACUUCACUUCAUGCAUCAAUGAAGCUACCGCGCCAUUACACGACAAGGACGAAACCCUUGAAGCAUCGAUCGAUGUGUUGAAGGAGCGUGUCCAAGUGGUCGAGGAAGAAGCUCCGCGUAGGGACGAGGUCGAAGCCAUGAAGGCCGAGAUCCAAGAGCUCAAGACCGAGCUUGCCCUGUGCAAACUAAGCAUCACCAAUGGUGCUGUGCCGAACCAAGCGGUGCCCAAAAUUGAGGCGCCAAAGCCGAAAGAAUUCAAAGGCGAACGAUCCGCCAAGGAGGUGGACAACUUUGUUUGGAGCAUGGAACAAUACUUCGGUGCCGUCAACAUGAACGACGAGAUGACCAAGGUACGAACCGCGUCAAUGUUCCUGUCUGAUACGGCAAUGCUUUGGUGGCGCAAUAGGUGUGACGAGGUUAGACGAGGCGCUGAUCCCGUGUGCACAUGGGACGACUUCGUACGAGAGUUCCGGGACUACUUUUUCCCCCAGUUCGCUCAACAAGAGGCCCGUAGCAAGCUCCAUCCCUCGAGCAAAGAGGCACGAUCCGAGAGUACGUGAAGGAGUUCACCAAGCUCAAACUCUAGAUUCGCAACCUGAGCGAAGAGGAGGCUCUCGGAGCGUUCAUGGAUGGAUUAAAGCCAUGGACACUUCUCGAGCUCAAGAGACGGGACGUGAGUAGCCUGGCGCGUGCGCUGAGCGUGGCCGAGUCGCUCGUCGACCUCACCAAGACCGAACCAAGGAGUCGACAAAGAGAUUGGAGGACUGAUCGACCUUGCGAGGAUGAAGCUGGAAGAAACACUCCCCGGGCUGCGCAUGAUCAAGGCGGUCGAGCCAAAGCAUGGGGAGAAGGGUCUUCAAAGCCAGCCUUCCAAAAGGGUAGACCACCGACAGACUACGCGAGCAGGUUUGAUCAACCCCCGCCUUCUCCUUGUUUCAUUUGCCAAGGUCCGCACUGGACCCAAAAGUGCCCAAAGAAGGGUCGAAUCAACGCCCUCCUUGCCAUCGAGGAAGAAAAGGAGGAGUCCAAAGAAGACCGACGACAAAUCCGACUUGGAGCCGUGAAGAUGAUCAACUCCGUCCAAGCUCGGUCCCCAACCAAAGGAAAAGAAGCUGCGUCGGACAUAGAAAUGUUCUUCGUGCAAGUCAACGUGUGCGGCCGAACGCUACACGCCUUGGUCGACACGGGUGCGUCGAACAUGUUCAUGUCAAAGGAAGUGGCAAAGGCCUUGAACCUUCGCGUGGAGCCGACCGAGAACACCUUCAAGCCAAUCAAUUCGGAAGGCGUCCAUGGCGUAGGAUCGACUUCGAAUGUGGACGUCAAAAUUGGCGAUUGGAGGGGCAAAAUGGAUUUCGAGGUAAUCCCGCUUGACGAUUACGAUCUCAUUCUUGGUAUGCAAUUUUUCAAUAGUGUGAGAUCCAUGAUCGACAUGAGGACCAAAUGCCUCGUGAUUCUCGAUCCGGAUUACCCGACGACGGUCCCAAUGAUCAAAGGGAUGGUCGACACCAAGACCAUCGCGUCGAUCCAACACCUCAACAAGAGCUUGAAGGCCGUCAUGCGCAUCAACAAGUUUCCAAGGUGAAGCCGAAGGUCAAGUUGGAUCCUACUCCAACAAAUGCCAUGCCAAUCCAAGCGCUCUUCCCCGAGGUUGAGUACGCACCGCAUGCUCCGUCCAAGCCAAAGGCCGAGUCACGUGCCAAAUCCGACUUCAUCAAUGAAGGUUGCGGUCCGUCAUAUGAGAGCGUCCGCACCAAAUGAAACAAGAACAAGAGAGCCCGUGCCAAAGCCCGUGCUCGUGCCAAGAAGGCCAACCUCCGAGCUGUGAGCGACGAGGGCGUCGCUCGAAUGAGUGGGGGAGAAUGUCACGGACCGAGAGAAGGCCGAUCCGUGAGGUUCCCCGAGGACGACCCCGACUCGUCCAUGGAAGACCUCCUACUCCAACUCGGGUUCCCAUCAAAGCUUCUCCCUGAAGUUUCCAAGGGAGGACGACAUCGUCAUUUUGCCUGACUCUAGAAGUUUCUGUUAUUUAUGUCGGUAGACGGUAGUUAAAUAUUUAUGUUGGUAGUUGAGGUGGUGCGAUCUCGCCCCUCAGAUAAAAAGUAGAUCAACGGAUGUAAACCGAGGCCCUCAACUAUAAAAAGGGGUGCCCUCCUUCAUUUGUAAUCACCCAACAUUUCAGCAAUACAAAGUUCAUUUCCUUACAGAGCUCCUCUCUCUUACUUUCUCUCUCAACGAUCCGGGUAAGCGAGCGGGUUAGCGUUCGAUCGAGCAAGGCUUGGCCCGGGUAGUCCAAAAUCGCCCGAGUCGCCGCGCGGUCACGAUCACAAUCCCAAUCGAUCGGCCCGUGACACAUACCUCUAGGAGAAACCAUCCUAAGAAAAUGUAGCAAAAAAAGGCAAACGAAACUUGGAAAAGAACACAAAUACUUGUACAUAAUUAAGAGCCCUCUGGCUGUUCGGAGGCAUCAUAAUUUAAAUACCUUCAUUAGAUUUUCAGGCAAGAAUCCGCUAAAAGGUCAUUAAAAAGUGCAUGCAAAACUUCUCUGUUCAUAUCUAUGAAAGAAUUUGAUUGCCAAAAAAGGAAAACAUUGGUACUUACCUCAAUUUGUUUAAGGUUUGAACACAAGGGAACAAUUUGUGGUCGUGCAUCAAAAAGCUUCCAAGUGCAACGUGCACUUAUUCAUCUUCUUGCCCAUUAUCCUCUUACAUAUCUUAGUAUUCUUGUUACAUAUCUCAGUAUUCUUGCCCAUCGUCCUCUUACAUAUCUUUGUAUUCUUGCCCAAACCAGUAAUUUGUCUUCUUCAUCAUCUUAUCCCACAAAUUUGAUUGACUUCUCCGAGCAAAGCCGAGAAAUUUCCUCCGCUGCUAAUUUCCCACAACGUCUUAUUGUAACCUCUUGCAGUCCCUUCAAGCUUGAUAGAUCAGACAACUUCUGUAAAGAUCCACACCAUUGAAUCCACAAUGUUUUCAAAGAUUGAGGUAGUUCGCCUUGAAUCUCAACCAGAUUACCGCAGGAUUCAAUGUUCAAGUAUUCCAAAGAUUGGGGUAGUUCAAUCUCAACCAGAUUACGACAAUAUUCUACUGAAAGAUAUCUUAUUCCAUCCAUAUUGCUUAGAUCAGGGAUCUGUAUAUUCAAACCUUUGAUUGUGACCCAUCGCAGUCUCUUCAAGCUUGACAGCUCAGGCAACUUCUGUAAAGAUCCACACCAUUUAAUCCGCAAUGUUUCCAAAGAUUGGGGUAGUUCGUUUUGAAUCUCAACCAAAGAUCCACAGCUGUCAAUAUCCAAUGUUUCCAAAGAUUGGGGUAGUUCGCCUUGAAUCUCAACUAGAUUACCGCAUGAUUCAAUAUACAAUGUUUUCAAAGAUUGGGGUAGUUUGCCUUGAAUCUCAACCAGAUUAUGACAAGAUUCUACUCUAAGAAGUGUUAUUCCAUCCAUAUUGCUUAGAUUAGGGAUCUGCAUCUGUUUAAUGCCAGAAAGCUGCAACCGAUUUCCACUUAAAUAUUCAAAAACCUGAUUGCCACUAUGCACAUACACAUAAACAUGUGUCUUACCCAUUAUGCUGAACGGAUCGGGGAACUUUUGUAACGAAUCACGGGAACCAAUUUUAAGUUCAUCCAAAAAUCGUGGUAGUUCGCCUUGAAUCUCAACCAGAUUACAACACCCCGAUACUGUAAUACGCCUUAGCUUGUUUAACUUGCUUAGAUCAGGUAGCAUCGCCAGCUGUACGACGUCCCGAAGGCGGAAAUCUCGUAGGUUCUCCAAACAACCAAGGCCUUCAAUCUUUGCAACUGCAGAGCAGCAAAUGUCGAGAUCCGAUAGUUUCCUCAAAUUCGAUAGAUCCAUCGAGCCAAGUGAGUCGCAACCAGAGAGACGUAAGACGGAUAAACUUGAGGGAAGCCUCAGGAGGAGAGGCGGAUGAGGAGGGAGGCUGAGGUCUAUCGAUGAGGCGGUCCCCCCGAAAAAGCACAGUAGCAGAGAUUCCAAUUUGCUUAAGUUCCCAAUCCACCAUGGUAUCCGUUUUUCCAGGAGCCCAUAAGAUUUCCCAUCACAGUUAGGUGGGCCAAAGCCCAGAUGCAAUACCUUUAAGUUAGCGAGAUUUGAGAGAUCUGGAAACGUGUCCACCCUCAACUCCUCCACUACUAAUUCGAUGAGACUUUCAGGAAACCUUGGUAGGGCGUGUACUCCCGGCCAUCCCAAUAUCUUUUCCCAUGAACGCCCGUAUAAGCAAUAGCCACUUAUUGCGUGGGCAUGCGUGACAUGAUUAUAACGGUCGGCGAUUUCCAUUCCCUUGACCUUCCCCAUCUUCUUACAAGCAUCAUUGUUCGUUCUGUUUUCGAAACCAUUCUGCAUCUUCAUUACUUUCAAAUUCUUCGACAUUCCAAUGGAAUCGGGUACUUCUUCGAUGCUCGUAUGACUUAUGUCCAAAGUUAGCAAAUCCAAAUUUCUAACCAUCUUUGGAAGCCUCUGAAGAUUCCAACAAUUGCUUACAUCUAAGAAAAUUAAGCGUUUCAACUGACAAAUUGAUUCAUCAAUUUCGAUUAAUGAUUCACAGCCUGAUAAGAUCAAAUGUUCUAAAUUUAAAUGAGCAAAGAAGUUGGGGGUUCUCUCCAAGCAUUGGCAAUGGGCCAGAUUCAGAACUUUCAAAUUCUUAAUCCCCUGUGAAAGAAAAAUCAUGCACAGAUUACUUUCAAAUUUAAUGAGAUAGAAGAACAAGUAUCGUCUAGCAUAUGACAUACCUUCAUGUGGCUCCACCCUUUCCAAUCAUGAGUAAUUUCACUCCGAGAUAGAUCAAGGAUAGUCAAAUUCUCUACGGAGAAAUUUGCAAUCUCAAAUGUUGGGUGAAUAUUAUGCCAAGAAAGCCAGCGUACUUCUGGAAGGAGAUUUGAAUCCAAAACAUCAGUUGGAAGAACACUUGAUGGCCCUUUGUGCUGAAGAAGCAUCUUUUCUACACAAAAAGUUUGCUCCGAGUCAUCAACUUCAAGGAACCUUAGCCUUGAUAGGCUCUUAAAGUCAUUGUAGGUAAAACCAUGCUGAUGGUCCAAGCGGAGGCGAAGAGCUUCAACUUUUUUCUUCGUCUGCCCAAAGGAAAUUUUUUAAAAACAAGAGAGUUGAAGGGAAACACAUUUAGCCAAAUUCACUAUUUUAAGGGACUGAGUUGAGUACUACCGUUCCAUUAAUCUUAAAAAAGCAAAAAUGUCCAUAAGUAACUUGGAAAUUAAUGCACAGGGGAUUUUACCUUAGGGCUCUUCAACAAAUCCAACGCUUUCUCACGAUCCCACACCCUACUUUGUUUAUUUAUAUUGGUUUCUUGACAAACUAUUUGUCUUCCAAGGUCUCUAAGUUGGUCGUGCAUCCACACCUUAUUAUCCUCUUUAAUCUUUACCAAAGACAUGUUCUCCAAAACAUCCAUGGCAUAUUCCGGAUGGAAUUCAAAUUCCCAAAAAUGAACUACAAUGUCUUUAUCAUAUCCAAUUAAAAGACAAGCUAUAUCAAGGAACUUUUGCUUUUCCUUUUCUUCUAAUUCAUCAUAACUUAUUUUCAAUCUACUCUGGACAUCCUUAUGAGGAUCACUUUCCCACUUACGUAAUUCGAAAUCCCACUUUUUCUUUUCAGUAGUGCAAGAUAAAAGUGAACCCAUGAGCUCAAGAGCUAGUGGAAGACCUCCAGCAAUUUUUAUCGCCCUCUCGGAUUGGUCGAUAUACUCGUCCAAAGGAUGAUCUCUUCUAAAGGCAUGUUUGCUAAAGAGUUGAAGAGAUUGAUCGUGAUCCAUGCCCGAAAGCUCAUAACAACUGUCCACUUUAAGAACAUCAAGAACUUCUUUGUUUCUAGUAGUAAUAAUAAUUAUGCUCCCUUUACCAAACCAAUCACGCUCACCAACAAGUGCAUCGCUAUGAUUCUUUUCAUGUACAUCAUCGAGAAGGAGGAGGACUCUUUUGUUAGACAACCUGGCUUUGAUGGUAUUAAUCCCAUCAUCAAUGUUUCUUAUAUCGGUGCAUUUGUCUUUGAGGAUGUCGGAGAUGAGCUGAUUCUGCAAAGAUUCAAUGCCCUUGCGUUCUGACAUUUCACGAAUGCUGGACAGAAAGCAACAACCCUCAAAUUUUUCUAAAAGCUGAUUGUAGAUGAUUUUGGCAAUUGUCGUCUUUCCGAUGCCACCCAUCCCAUGAAUUCCUAUAAUCCGUGUUUCACUUGUCUGAGCACCUAUUUGUUCCAUGAUUUUACCCACAUGGUCGUCCAUAUUGACCAAGUUGUUUGAUACCACCAAAUAAGCCUUUUUCAACUCAUUGAAAACCUUCUGCGUGAUUGUUUUUGCAAGUUGACCUUCUUGCCUAUUGUUUGUUGAAAGUCAAAAGGCAAUGAGUUAGAAAAUUGAGUUAAGCCAAACUAUGCUCUGACAAGACCAAAUUCAAAACUACAGACCUAUUCUAAAUGCGUUCCUCAACGAUUUAUACCGUUUUGAUAAACUAGCACUAGAACUUAGGGUAAAUGAAUGACCUGAACUAACGAAAAAUGUUUCUUGUUGGGAAUGAAAUGGGACAAAAAUUGGCAUUGUGAUAUUAUUUAGCGUGAUUUUGCUGCAUAAUUUCAAUUGCAUACAAUUCAAUUUCAACAAGACUAACACAAAUCUAGAAAAGAAACCAAUUAAAAUGCAUCGAGUUUAAAGAUAUAAGGCACAUGAGAUGGAAUCCUAAAAGCAGUCACCUGUUGGGCAUGCUUUGCAGGUCCCAUCCAUUUACAUCCGCGACUGUAGUGAGAGCAUUCUUCCACUCUGCUAUAGUCUUUUCAUCAUAUCGCCCCUUUGUUUUGUGUGAAACAAGAGCUUUUUUAAAACUCCCGAUUUGGUGUCGAACCUCCGAAGGUGUCACAUCAUAAAAAAUGGGCAUGAUCUUUUGUCCUUCAUUUGUCUGGUGCUUGACCAUCUGAACUAGCUCCUUGAGACACCAUAUGCUAGAGGCAUAAUCUUUUGAAAAAAUAGGUAUUGAGAUCCUUGAGUGAUUGAUUGCUUCAAGAAGUUCUGGGGCAAACUCUUCUCCAAUGUGGAGGUCUUUGUCGUCCUUAAAUGUGCGGAUUCCCACAUUUGUAAGGCUAGUGUAGAGGUAGUCGGUAAAACCUGAUCGUGUAUCUAGCCCUCUGAAACUCAAGAAUACCUCAUAGUCAUGUCCGGAUGAUGUUGCAGUUUCCUCAACUUGUGGUGUAGUGCAAGUACGAGCAGCCCUCUCUACGAUACCAUUCUCUGUAGCUGAAUCAUUAUCUGUACUGCCCUCCACAGCGGUCUAACCUGCUCUUUUCUUCAGGAAUCCUUUGAACAGGAUGGCAGAGAGAGAUAUGGCAGCAAUUGUCACCAUACAGGGCAACCGCAAGUGCUCAAGCAUUUUGUGAGUUAGCAAAGAGAAUGUUUUUAGUUAGAAAUACAGGGGAUGGUGGAACAACAGAGAUGAGAGGCAGCACUUAAAGGUCAGGAUGGAGUAACGAGCAACGGCGAGCCCGCGAUGGCGAGAGACCGCCAGAGAAAGAGUAGAGAGUGAGGCGAGGGCGGCCACUGAUGCUGCGACGGAUCGGCAACGAGGCUGCAACUGCAAGUGAGGAAGGGCCGAAGGCGAGGCGGAGGAGGAGGAGAAGGAUCGAGAGGAAGAGGAGAGGAAGGGGGUCGUGUGGCGAGGAGGAGGAGAAGUAUCGAGAGGAAAAGGAGAGGAAGGGGGUUGUGCGGGUGCGGCGAGCGGCGAGAGGAGGAGGAGAAGGGGGCGCUAGCUAGGGUUUUGGAAACUCAAAAAGAAUAAAAUAAAGAGGCUGAUGGGGGUGAAGUGACAGCCUGUCACGUGGGUGGGGGAGGGGAAAGGCAAGCUGGUUCAUGAUGGACCAUUGGUAGUCCAAGUCUUCGUAGACUUUGACUUGGGUCAAUCAUUUGUUUCAGUCUUCUUGCACCACCCACAAGCUGUUUUGUCUGAUUUUUUUUCUCUUUCUAAGAGUGGUAGCUCAUGCUAAUACCACGUUAAGACGAGGCACAUGGAGCUUAGGUUUUGGAUUGUUGGCGUCCUUAUCAAAAUCACAUCAACCCAUCUCACGCAAUUCUUAAUCUAGUGAAUGUAUUUUGAUGCAAAAUUAUAUGUAUGCAACACAUUCCAUUUCUAUUUAGUUAAAUUAGAUGAUUCCAACUUUUUCAUUGAUUGAUGACAUGAUUGACUAAAUUUUUAAGAAAAAAGUUUUUUUUGGACAUAUAGUGUUUCAUUGCAAGUAUUUUUCUAUUUUUUGAAUUGAUUUUGUGAUAACUAAACAUUCCAUGUUUCAUAAUAGAAAACAAAAUCUCUCUAGAACUGGAGGUGUAAAAUUGUUCCAUUUUGUAAUUCAAUGUUCAUAAGUCUUUUCAAGCAUAAAUCCGAGUUAAAUCCGAGUGUGACAAAAAAAAAUUAAGAUUGAAGUUAUUAAAUCACAUGACUCAAUGAGUUAAAAGGAAGAAUCUUGGGAAGAAUCAAAUUUCUUGAAUUGAGAUUGAUGGAAGAUCGAAUAUGUUCUCUGAUAGCUUUAGCUUUCAUUAUCACUCCACUGAAAUUUUGUUUUAGUAAAACCAAAAUCUCGUCCCAAUUUUUUUUUUUUUUUUGAAAUUAGACACCAUCCAUUUGAAUCAAAAUUGAGCUUCCUCCAUUAGCUCAAAAGCUCGGGAAGAAGAGAAAAUAUGUGGGAUCCCAUUGCCUAAUUCUUAGUCUUUUUGAAGGAAAAAAAAGACUUCUCAUACAAAUGUGGGCCUUAAUUAUUGAGACAUUUUUUCCUUUACCCUAGAAUAUGCAGAGAGUCAUGGGCCAGUUUUGCUGCAGAAUUGAUCGACAAGGAUGCUUCCUUGCAGCAUCAUUGUGGCCUGUCAACCGUGACAAAUAUUACGUUUCUUAACGCGGAAAAUCACUAAACUAUGUGGUGCAGAAAUUUUGGGAUGAGAAUCUACUUUUACCCCAAAAUAAUUCAUUUGAAGUCAAGUCAACAAAAGCAGACACGGAACUUCCAAAACAAGUUCGUUUCCCCCAUCCUAAAUAAGGUGAACUCCGAUCGGUCUAGUUUAAUGGGUUGAUUAGGCCCAGGCCCGGAAUAGCUUUGAAGCAUAAAGCCUAGUGGAAUUAUUGGGCUUGAUCUUCGUCAAAGCACUCCCUAGUGAUCAAUUGAAUUAAGAAAAGAUCACAUUUUAUUUCGGAGGUGAACCAUCCUUCGCAUUUAACCUGUCGUUAGUGUCAAAAAUUGCUUGUCACAAAACGUUGUAGUUGGACAUUAAAUCCAUGCAUUGUGCUGAUUAUUAUACAAAACAUUACUAAAAUAGAGUACACAAAACCAAUGUGUAAGCACAGUCUUGUGUCGUAUUAAAACUUUGAGCCACCAACAAGUGUGAUAAAUAAGCUCACGAACAUGAUGUGACCUAUUAGCUCUCAUUUGGAAUUUAACUCAUUUAGCAUUUCCACAUUCACGAUUGAACUUGAAAGCCUCUAUGAGGAUUGGGAAAAGUUUAGUGAAGCCUCUUGACUAUAAUGAUUAAAAAAAAAAUAUUGACUCCCCCUGAAUUCAAGUAUGAAAAUUUUCUAUUUUAGAUAAUGUUUUCGGAGGUAUGACUCUUCGCUCUCUCAGUUAAUGCAUGUGGAUUAUCUAGCGGAAAAAAGAGGCAAAAAUGAAAGAACUUAUGGACAACGUGAGACUAUUCCAUGUUAAAAUUUGAAAAUCAGAAAAAAAAAAUAGCCACACUUCUAUUAAUUUGAAAUUAAAUGAUUUGGGUUGCUAUUUCAGAUUUACCUCGACAUUAGAUGAUGUCAAACCAAGUCCAUUUGCAGCUAGAAACAUUUUUUUAGUAUAAUUAAGAAUCGGAAUGCCUCCUCUUCAACUUCUAUGAAUCCAACUUAAGAGCCAUGCUUUACUUGAAAAACAAAUUGGAGAUGCGUUUACGUUGUAGAGUAUUCAUUUUCUUCACGUCGCAAUUUUGUGUUGGUUAUUGUCAUAAAGGUGAUGCUAUAAGUGCUAAUAUACUUUCACACACAUUGUAAUAGCUACUUUGACGUAUACGGUAUGAUGAAAUUAUCGUUCUCUUGCAUGAAUAAAGCAAAAAUGAUGCUUAGCUCUUCGUUGGUUGAUCUCCAACUUGAAGAGUUUGCUUUUACAUGGAAAUGAACAAAUAUUGGACAGGGAAGAAAAAAGGGGAAAAACUCAGGUCUAAGCGCAUAUGGCACCAAAAGGAAAUCCGAUUUCGAUAAGACUGGAUAUGAAUUGUAGUUCAGAUUCAAGUUGAUUCAGGGAGGGCGACCGCAAAAGUCACCGAAUGGGUCAAUCUUUUCCUUCAGUUUGUCCUAUUUAAUAAAAUAAAAAAGCGUGGGAAGAUGUUGCAGAUGUCUAGGACGGACACGACUUCUUGUAACACUAGAAAACCACUAGAAGAUACCCGGGACCAAAGCAUGUCGUGAAAGAAGCACAUUGGGGCAUUGACCAAUUUCAUAUAGUAAGACAAAGCAACAAAUUAUAAGGUAUCUAAAAAUCACCACAUAAUAUAUCGACAAAAUAUGGCAUUUGGAAUUUAUAUAAUUUGACCCGACCUCACUAGGUAAGUUAAUUAGCAAAUCAAGCCAUUGAAACAUAUAAACCAAACCAAAACAAAGAAGAUCUGAACAAGGUUAUUUGCAGAAAUAUAUCACUAGUCAACAUGCAAAAGUGCACAAAAAAAGAAGAUUUACAUAAACCUCUUUGUAAGUCAUAUGUUUAACAGGAUAGGAAGCACUUCUUAUCAGAUAAAAAAAGUACUCAACAGGGCAGCUGUCCAUUUUUUUUUUCUUUCGCAGAAAUUUGCCAAGUUUGAUCAAGCAACUCCAUAAUGUGCUGAGUUUCCAAAUCUCCCGUGGUGAAGAAUGCCUAUUUGUUUCAAUUUCCUCCACAUUGAUACAUCAGAAACAUCAGGAUAGAGUUGCCAGAGAAGAUACGCAAAUUGUCCAGUGAUUCUGGUCAACCAGAUUACCACAAUGAUCUAAAUGAAAAUCCAUUAGUUUCUUCAAGCCACUCAGUCGGCCAAUUUGUCCAGUCGGUUGAGUUUGUUCAGCUCCAAAUUCCAGAUUUAGUCAGGUGGCAUCUUUAUCCACUUGCAGUUUCUCAAAGACUAGCGUUCAAGGCUUAUGAUGGUAACCAAUCGACUCGGGAAGCUCCAAGAUCCCAGCUCCUUACAGAGAAAGCCUCAACAGGGAAGUCGGGUAACUGAUCGAAGGUUUUGUAGUCGGUGAGGAACGAUGGCAAGCACAGAGAAUUUCUAGACUCUUCAAUCCUUGACAUUCAAGCAUAUGUUUCAUUGAUGUCCCAUCAAUCAAGGGUUCUCUCAAACAUUCCAUUUUACUAGGCUCCUAGGGAGAUGGUGGAGAUCAAUCUUUCCAAAUUCACAUGUACCUGAGGUCUAGCAUCUAACAGAACCAUUUUGACAUCGAAAGGUCCACCUGAUCUGACUGAAUUGAGGUCAUAAAGCAAUCCCUUUUAAGGCAAGUCCAUGUCAGACUUUCCCCUUCCAUCUUGGUAGUUUGUAGAUGUACAUUUCCGAUAAGUUAGGGACUUGUUUGUCCAUCUUGGUAGUUCUUACAAUACUCUGUUCGUGUGAAGUCCUCUGAGAUGCACUAAUCGAGAUAUACUCCUUUCAUCAUUUUAUUCAAAUCAUUUCACUGUUCCCGCUGCUCCAUGGUUUAUAGCAGCAUCGUCAUAUGGACUACCCAUCUCCACUGAUCUUACUUGUGCUUAGACUCCUCUGGAAGAAAUAUUUGAACAGAACAGCAGAAACAACGAUGGUAGCAACUGUCACCACACACAGGACAACCUCAAGUGCGUCAAUCGUUUUGCGCCAGCACAAGUGGUCCACCUUGGCAGAAACAACAAUUGUUGUGCUGCUGCUAUUGCUCCUCCUCCUCGGAGGCAUGGGACGACGCCUGCUGGUUCCAGCUUGGUCGUCACUGCUCGUUCGAAAGAGAGGCCGAAUCGGAAUCCGAAGUGACGAUCCGAAAUAAAAAUGGGAGGAGGAGAGAGUUGGAGGGGGAUGGUGGGAUAUUCGACCUGGCCUUGCUGCCUGACGCAACCAAUUCUUAACGUUGCAGUCUCACGUACACUGGAAGAUUAAGUUUGAACCAAAACUACUCAGUUCACGUACGUAUACAGGCCUGUCAUUGCUGUCUUACCAGCGUGCUAGAAGCCUGGAAAUACCUUCAUAUGAGGUAGCAAUAUAUGCAGGAUACAACCUCGCCAAGGAUUCGCUCACAAUGUGAUUCAAAUUAUUCAAUUCAUGGAAAAUAGUGUGACCCACCUAUUGUUAAGUCACCGCAUUUGGGGGUGGCCUACAAUUUUUUCACGUUCAUUGUUCUUUCUUUUUCAAAUUGUUUCACAUGAAUGAGUCGUGUAUGAAUUUGAUAAAAGCACGAGACGUGUAUAAAUCUAUUUUGUGCUUAUUAGCACCUAAGUUUGACGAGUGACUGAUUUAUUAACACUGGCCAUAAAUGAAGAGAUUUAGGGAUUUUUCUUUGCAAAAAAGUUAUUGUUACACCAUUUACGCUCUUGAAUCACACCUUGUUCUUCACUUUCUGUUGUUGUUUUGUGUUCUAACUUCUCUGUAUUUUGGAAUAACAUGAAUUUUCAGAUUAAGCUUGAAUCUGAAAAUAUUUGACUGGAGAAGUUUGCCAUCAUAAUGAAGUAAUUGCAAUUUCAUAUACCUCCACUAAUAUAAAUAAACAUUAUACCAACUAAUUGAACUGUAGAGCACCCAUUUGUCCAACAAAAUGUCUCAUUCUCUUUGGCUAAAAUACAACAGAAGGCAUCCCCACGAAAUCUUUCUAAAUGUUCCGAUUAUAGCAAAACUUACUUCAAUGCUCUAAUGCACACAACGUAAAUCACCGAAUGUGACAUUGAAAAUGCCCAUUGACAAAAUAAGAUCCCAAGGGCAAAUCGGAAAGAUCGUAAAGAAUCUGGAAUGGAACAGAUCGCGUUUGAGGGUGAUGGUUGUUCUGACAUGCUUGAUUGCUGCAAAGUGAGGCGAUACUCAAGCUUUUCAAGUUCAAGAGAUUGGAAAUGCUAUCAUCAGCUCGUCGCUCGGUAUGAAUAUGUAGACAGAGAAGAAUUUCUAGGAGUCUUGGCACUUGGGGGUAUCUCAACACAUGUCGGUUUCAAAAUCUUCCAAGAUGAACAUCUCCAGAUAUCAUAGGAAUUUUUUAUUAGCAAAUUUUCACUAAGCUUUGCAUCUAUUUUUCUCGCCUUUUAUGCUUCCAUUUUGCACUAGUUAUCAUUCUGAUGACAGAGAACCUCAUCUUCAAUACUUUCAAAUACUUCAUGUUCUCGAUUUCAAAAAAAAAAAAAAAAAAUACUUCAUGUUCUCGACCAAACCAGGCAGCUUCUCUAUGUCCAUGUUCAAUUUAUCGAACUCAACAAAUGAUUCCAAAUUCCAGAUUGAGUCCAGUAGUGUCUUUAUUGACUUGCAGUUCUUGAAAGACUAGUGUUCGAGGCUUACGAUGGAUCCACUUGAGUUGGGAAGCUCCACGAUCCCAGCUCCUCACAGAGAAAGCCUCGAUAGGGAAGUUAGGUGACAGAUUGAAGGUUUUAUAGUCAAUGAGGAACGAUGGGAAGCACAGAGGACCUGCAAGCUCUUCAAUUCUUGACAUUCAGGCAUAUGCUUUAUUGAAGUUAUACAACAAUCCCUUUUUAAGGCAGUUAAGUCCAUGUCAAACUUUACCCUUCCAUCUUGGUAAUUCGUAGAUGUAUAUUCCCUUUUAAGAUAGAGAUUAUCGAUGUUUGUCCAUAAAAACCAGCAUGCAAAAUUGCAAAUCGAUCAAAGUCAACGUGGCUAGCAAGCUAGUCACCAUAUCUUUCUCCCAAAAAUCAUGUACUUUUAUUCGUGUGAAGUCCUCCAUCAGGUACUAACCGAGUUAUCCAGAGUUAGAUUCAUCUACUAGUAAGAAUACUUUGAGGGACCUUGUUUAGAUUUCUUAUACUUGUUUCAUUGUUUGAUUCCAUCAUUUCUCCGUUCACGCUGCUCCAUGUUUUAUAGCAGCAUUGUUAUUUGGUUUGCCCUCUCCAGUGAUCUUACUUGUUGCUCUCAGUCUUCUCUGCUCCAUGGUCUAUAUUAGCAACUGUCGCCACACACAGUGCAACCUCAAGUGGUGAAUCAUUUCGCACCAGUACAAGUGGUCCACCUCAGUAGAAACAACUGUUGAGGUGCACGAGGAUUGGGGGUGGUCUGACUUGGCCUCCCCGCCCGAGUUGCAAUGGGUUAGGAUUUUUAUUUUAUUUUAAUAAAUUAAAAAGUGUGGGAAGAGAUGACCUACGGUUUUCCAUUCUUGUUGUUACAUAAAGUGUUAUGUACGUUACAAAAUAUCUCCAUUGAGCCAUAACCACUCGAUCUAUCGACAAGUGUGCGAGACUAUCACCAUAACUAAUAUGCCAAAAGCCUGAAAAUCAUUCCACGUAACGUGGUGAAUACCUAAAAUAUUGACAAGUGAAAAGUUUACUCAUGACAUGAUUCGAACUCAUGAAUUAAUAAAAGAUGGCAUGAUCCCUUCAUCAUUGGGUUAUCGUGCUUGGGGUUGGAUUGCGAUUGCGACUUUUUCAUGUUCAAAUAUAUAUAUUUUUUGUGCUUAUAAAAUUUGACUUAAGUCAAAUGAGGAGUUAAUGUGUUUAUGUUACCAAUAAAAGAAGAGGUUUGAUGACUGGUUUCUAUAAAAUUGAUUAAUUUACUCUUCAUAAUUUUCUCUUGAGGUUCACUUAUUAUUUAACUUCGACCUUUUUGUUCUGUGUACUAACUUUUAUGUGCUUUUAUAAACAUUUGACUGUGAAUAUAAAUAUGUGAGAGCCACCAAACAUCGAGCAUGCCACGCAUCGGGGUUCGUAUAUUAUUUUGUUUGUGUGAGUUAAUUGCGAUUUAAGGAAAACAAAUCUUCCACAUUAUUUGAUAAUUUGAAAAUGACAUUUUGUGACUUUUGUUGCGUGAGGUUACAAACUCUUUUUACUUUGAACACAGCCGAUGAAAAAGUCUAAUGACUUUUGUUCUCAAAGAUUAUGGACCUUUUUACUUGUUUAAAUCUUUUACAUGUAAAGUAUUCAAUCCCAAUGAUUGUAUAACUCAUAUAUUAAAUAAGCAAUUAUGAGAUGACGAUGGCAUCAUUUUAUAAGAUAGUGAUUGGUAUGAUCGUAUUCGCACUAAAUAUUUUGUAAAUUCUAAAUAAAACAACCCAGCUCAAACUAUUGCAUAUACGUUCAUCUAAAAAUAAAAUUAAAAACUAUCGAAUCCACUUCCAUAUAAAUUUUAAAGAAAAGAAUUCAUCCGUCCUAAUAAGUCACAUACUCAAACUCUUUUUCAACUUGAGAGAAGUGGGCUCCACAAUCCACAAUUAAGCUCAACUCACUUGUCUUGGAUGUUGAAUAAUAUUCUUUUCAAGUUCGAAUAUUAUUGGCAAAGAAAAAGUUUGAAUAAUUCGAGUUAUUGGAUUGAUUCGAGCGGAAAAAUUUUACUCAAGAAGCUUGUGAUCAGAGGAAGCGCCAAAAGAGGAAGAGACAGGGAGAACGGAAAUUUGUCCAGGAGGACGCCUCAUUUUAGCCAAAAUUCCUUUAUUGCCCUCACGGAAACGACGAAAUCACCGGACGUGACACCGAAUUUGCCCGUCGACAGAGCGAGAGCCCGAGGUCAAAUCAGGAAAAUUCGCAAAUCCGUCGUCCUCUCCUUCUCUUCCCCCCACCCAAAAAUAAAAGCUCGCCGUAGCUUUCGAUCGCCAUCCGCCGCGAAAAUCGCUACGGAGUCCACGAACGCUGCGAAGACCACGAUUCGAAGGUUGAAUUCGAGCAAUGCGGACGAAGACCGCAAUCGAUCUCUCCACCUCGCCGGGCGAUCGCGCCAUUUUGAUUGCGUGAGAUUGGAAUGAUGUUGUUGCUCGGCAGAAUGUGGAGUUGAGGGUGAUGGUUGUUCUGAAGUGCUUCAUUGCCGCGGGUGGAGGCCAGAGGUAAUUGCAAUUCAUGUUCAUGUAAUCAGUUACUGCUCUGAUCCUCCCACUUGAUUGGGAUUGAGAGUCUAGUAUCGACCAUGUCGGUUUUGAGGUUGGACAGUGAGGUUUGUAGCGUGAAUUUGGCGGAUUAGGCAUUUCAGGGUUGGGGGGAAUCGCUGACCGUGUUGUGGAGCUGUAGUGCCUGAUUUAAUGGGGCAUACUAUGGCUGAAUUAUUUGGUUGGAUUAGCUAAGCUCUUGGAUUACUGAGUUUGGAUCAAUACUACAACUGGAAUAUGGUCAUAUUGAUACAAAUAUUUCAUCCUGCUGUUUCUAUUUUGGGGGUAAAAAUUUGUUGAGUGUCUCACAGUGAUUGACUAUCGGCUAUUUGGCUUUUCUCCAGUCAAGUAAUGGACUGUAGCUUGUAGGUUUCAGCGGACAAGCUUUAUGGGAAAGAGGAGCCUUAUGUUGUUUACUCAUUCGCCUUUUGUUGCAUUUGAACAUAUAGUUCUUUAAGUUCACGAACAUGGAUGGCAAAAAUAUACUGAAAUAUUAUUUUGAGUUGAUGUUUCCUUGAAGUGUUCCUCUUACUUGAUUGUCGAAAUAGCUUGCUAGAGACAUAAGAAACUUGCUCUAUUGCUUGUCAUUAAAUGAGUUUUUGACCACAUUUUCAAUGUGAAAUUUUCUCAACUGGUAAAUGCAGAACUCAGAGUGAGGUCCAAGGCUUGUAAAGCUGUUUACAAUCACAUUCUUGCCAUGACAUCGGCGGAGUAUGCAUCUGCUGUAAGUGUUCUUUAUAAGGAUUUUCAUAUUUACCUAGAGCUUGUUGUUGUUAUUACUCUUCAGGUUUCACCAUUUAAAUACAAUAACAUUGUAACUAGAUGCGCAGCUUUUUAUUUUGCAGGUUUAAUGUCAUAUUUGACAGAGCUUGGUAGUUGGACUUGUCCUAGAUGUGAUGGAAAGACCAAGGUAAUUUAAUAUGGUUUGAUAUGACAUUGUUGCUAAGGUUGCCUGAAGAAUGGAUCCUCAGUACAGUAUUAAAUGCCAAUUCUUCUGAUGAGAUUUUGUGGGCAUAUGCUGCCUCCUCUUAUUAGAUUCUGAACUGGUAAUUAAUGCCUUUUGAUAUGAAAGCAGGGGUUUGAAUUCAUUGAAUUGAUAGUGGGCAUUCACCACUGCUUACACGCAGAUUAUUUGGUUGCAGUGGCUUACCAAUCUGCAAUGCUUGCGAUGCCUAUAUGUUUAAAUUGCAUCUAAUAGUUUAUAUCUAUUUCUAAACGUACAUAUAUGUUUCCUGUAGGCAUACGUUGGGGUGGCCAAGGAUCUUAAUGCCGUGAUUAUAGCUUUUAGAGGUGCACAAGAACAUAGGUAUGCAUCUUAACUUUAGCAACUCUUCUCCUUACAAAUGACUUGCAAAGGUUUUGAUGAAAAUUUAAGCUAAGAAGAGCAGCCUCCUGUGAGUGUGUACACGAGACCCAUGGGUCGACUGUCCAUAAGAAGGGAAAAGGGUGAAUCAUUUCCACCAAGAUGCGAAAGUUACCUUUUUGUAAUUUGAGAUUGGUUCAUGAGAAGAUCACAUACUUCACUAAUUUUGUUCUGUGAAAAAUUCUAUCACCUCUCUGUGUCAUUUGAGCUUUUCAGUUAGUGAUUACUUCUUUUUAUGUCUACAGCAUACAGAAUUGGGUUGAAGAUCUCUAUUGGAUAGUGGAAACAGCUUGAUGUACUACCCUGGCAUGCAUGGUGCCCUGGAUAGCUCUAAAGAUGAUUAUGCCUCUUGCAAGCUGUGGAUUUUUCUCGUUUGGAUUGAGUUACAGUCUUACUCUAUUGAUUUCUGCUUGGGUUAAUCAUGGAUUUUACUAUUCUUAUCUUGAUAUGACAAUUCAACCUGGUUUUUUGGAUGCUGUUAUAAGAACCAAGGAUUUAUAAGGGGACAUCAAUUUCAUGGUGACAGAGCAUUCUAUGGGAGGGGCUAUGGCAUCCUUUUGCGGAAUUGAUCUUGUGGUAAGAUAGUUAAAAACUGCUAUGGUCUGGAAUUGUGAAUUUUAUCGUUUUUUUUUCCUAUUGUGUUCUUCCAAUAUUCAGAUGAUAAUCUGUUAAGAGUCAUCUAGAAUUCUCUGCCAAAUCUUUGUUGAAGAGUCUAGGCUCUUUAUGUCGAUCUUGAACUUUCUAUUGCUCUCAUAUUUAUAUUCACAAUUCAUCAUAGACAGCAUCUUGUUUUCUUUCAGUUUUGGUAAGUCAAACCAUAGACAAAACACAAGCAGAAUGGGGUGCAAAUAGCCAUUUAUGCUAACCACCAAUUGUUUAAGUAUCUAGCAAUGUAAAUUGAGUCUUACCCAUAAAGCUAUGGAGCUUCAAGUUGGUCAAAUACCUAAAUAUAGUGGAUAAGGUCACUUCCAACUAAUCAUUACAAGGUUUACUUACUUGCUGGAAAAUUUAUGGAAUUGUCGAUAUGUUUAUGGUCUGGACAUAUAACUUUUUAAAGGACUUGAAGCUCAAGUUAUAUGUCAUGUAAUCUUGAAGUGCUAAUGCAUUUUAAGAUAGAUUAUAUAUCAAUCCUAAAUUUGUGUUUGGUGUACUGUUUCUAUCUAAGUCUCUCUCUAAUCAAAAGAAGCAGCUCCUCUUCAGUAGGACUACAAGGCCAGAUAUGUUGUAGGCUGGAGCCAAUGCUAAGAUGUCUAAAAUAUGCCUUUUUUCUCAGCUUUAUUGGACAGAGUGUUCCAGGGUACAUUUGGAGGCACCUGUUGCUCAACUGGUACCAGAAAUGGUGCCCAAUCCAAAAUCAUGUCCCAUUGAUUCUCUUCUCCAUGAAAAGUGGUGAUUUUUUAGAGUUAAACUUUAUCUUGAAGUCUGAUUACACUCAUGUUCAUGUGGCCUAUGAUAGGAUCAUAGGUUGCAUGGACUUUAGACUAUACCCUUUCUCAAAAUAUUAGUAGCAAGUAUAACAUCUUGUCAUAAAACUUUUAAACGAUUUAAAAUUUUAUUUUUGUUUACUGGUUUCUUGCUGAAAAUUUUGUCGAGCCAAUUGUGACGUCAUGCCCAUUCAUUGCGAUCCUUUUUAAGAUUGACUUUGUCCUUCGCUACUUUUGACAGUAAGUUUUGUAGUUCAAGGGGCAUUUUCACCAUGAACCAAGAAUUUUUUGUUUAUGUUAUUAGCAGGAUGUGACUCACCCCACCAACAUUCAAGUGCUUCUUGUGGAAGCAAUUAAAUGCGCUUCUGUUGUAAAUUCAUGUCCAAUCCCACUAUUCCAUAUUAUUAACACCUUUUUGUGGUGCUGAGGGUGGGUUUGGUUUUGUUGUGUGUGGGGUUUGGUGUUGGGAAACUUAUGGAUGGGAUCUUGACGGAGUUAACGCUAGACCUUCAAUUCUUAUGGAGACAAAGGGCUGUUCUAUUGUUCACCUUUGUAUAUGAAAUGCAAUAUAUGGUUAUUGAUGCAUAGUGUUUUUUUCCCAUCUUGGAAGGGCUAUUGAUGUAUUGACAUUCAAGUUAUUUGGCUGUCUAAUUAUGUGUGCUGAAACUGUCUUUUCCAGACCAGCAUUCGCCUGAUUUACUUAACCGAAACACUUUAUUUCCUGGUUAAUCAUGAAGCACAGAAUAUUCAGGUUUAAACAUUUGGACAACUCUGUAUUGGCAAUGCAGUGUUUGCAUCUUACUACAGUGACUGCAUACCAAAAACAUUACGUAUUCCUCCUGGACAAGAUUUUUUGUCUUAUUUGCCUCCGUACUAUUUUUGGUUCCCACAGAAGACAUACCAUCAAUUCCCUAGAGAGUUUUGGUGUUGAUCUUGACAGAAUAUCAAAUAAAUUAUGGGGAAUUGUUGAUGACUGAAUUUGAGGUUUGCUUUGCAUUUCUUUCAACCUGUCUAACAAGUGAAGUAUCAUAUAUUCCGGCAUUGUAUGUGUCACAAAACUGAUUAGAGAACCCGCAGCAAGUAGAAAGAGAGAAAGAAGGAAGAGAGAAGGAGGAGAAAGAGAACGUAAAAGAAAGAAAGAGAGGGCUGUAGUUUUUCUGUAAUCAGAAACCCUACACCCAUUGUAUUUAUAUUGAAUAUAAAUUGUAUAUAACAAUAAUAUCCUUAUGUAAGUAAAAAAGGAAAUAAAACUCUGAUAAUAAAGGAAACUCAAUUAAAGUAACUUAACACUCCCCCUCAAGCUAGAGCAUAUAGGUCACCCAUGCCUAGCUUGGAACAACCAACAACAAAAGCAGGAUGAAAUAAUGCUUUGGUAAACAUAUCAACAAAUUGAUCUCUAGAGGCAACGUAAGGAGUAGCAACCAUAUUCUGCUUCACAGCAUCACGAACAAAGUGACAGUCAACUUCUAUAUGUUUAGUUCGCUCUUGAAAAACAGGAUUCCCAACAAUAUAAAUGGCUGCUUGAUUAUCACACAUCAUGUCAAUAGGUUGAUUAAUAGAAAAUCCAAGCUGCUGGAGAAGAGAUUUUAACCACAACAAUUCAGCCACAGUAUGUGCCAUAGCACGAUAUUCAACCUCUGCACUAGACUUGGCAAUGGUAGUUUGUUUCUUACUUCUCCAAGUAACCAAAUUACCACCAAUAAAAGUGCAAUACCCAGUUGUAGACCGUCGAUCAUAUGUUGACCCAGCCCAAUCAGCAUCAGAAUAGCCAACCAAAGUGGAAGAACCAUUAGAUUUAUAAAUGAGUCCCUUACCAGGAGAGCUUUUAAGAUAUCGAAGAAUGCGACAUACAACAUCCCAAUGAGCUUUCUUAGGUGACUCCAUAAACCGACUCACCACGCCAACAGCAAAAGAAAUAUCGAGACGUGUAACAGUAAGAUAAAUUAGUUUCCCAACUAGACGCCGAUAUUGAUGCUUGUCUUCAAUUUCUUUUCCAUCAUCAACUCCAAACUUUUGAUUUUGAUCCAUAGGAGUAUCAACUGGCUUGGAAGCUAGUGUACCUGUCUCAGACAAAAGAUCAAGAACAUACUUUCGCUGAGACAAAUUAAUACCUUUUUUACUUCGUAAAACUUCAAUUCCCAGAAAAUAUCUAAGAGUUCCCAAGUCCUUAAUCUGAAAUUGCUGCUGAAGAAAUGAGUUAAUCUCAAAAAUGCCAGUCACAUCACUACCAGAGACAAUUAUAUCAUCCACAUAUAUCACAAGAAUGACUACCCCCGAUUCCUUCUUGCGAACAAAAAUAGAAUGAUCAGAAUAAGAUUGGUGGAAUCCACAUCUGGAAAUCACCGAACUGAAUUUUUCAAACCAUGCUCUUGGAGACUGUUUCAACCCAUAAAUUGCCUUAUGUAGCCGACAUACUUUACUACGAUUCUCCCCCUGAGCAACAUACCCAGGAGGUUGCUCCAUAUAUACUUCUUCAGACAAAUCACCAUAAAGAAAAGCAUUUUUGAUAUCUAAUUGAUAUAAUGGCCAAUCGAAAUUCACAGCAAGAGAAAUAACAACACGAACAGAGUUGAGACGUGCCACAGGGGAAAAAGUCUCAAAAUAAUCCACUCCAUAAGUUUGAGUAAAACCUUUAGCAACGAGUCGAGCUUUAAGACGCUCGAUUGAGCCAUCCGGAUUGUACUUGAUAGUGUACACCCAACGACACUUCACCACAUCUUUCCCAAGGGGAAGAUCAACUAAUGACCACGUUUGGCGAGAGACUAGAGCUUCCAUUUCCACAUCCAUAGCUUUCUUCCAUUCAAGGCGAGACAAAGCCUCAGUGGUAGAAGUAGGGAUUGUGUGAGUUUGUAAUGAUAGAGCAAAGUCAUGUAAUGGAGAAGGAAUAUGUGAGAGAGACACAUAACGCUCAAUAGGGUAAGCCAAAGAGGAUUUUUGUGUGCAAGACCGAGUACCUUUGUGAAGGGCAAUAGGAAGAUCGUCUGGACUAGGAGACAAGGAGGAAGAUUGAUUGGAGGGCAUUGAAGAGCUUGAGACUAGUGGUGCCGUAGACUGCUUUCGCUGCUGAUACACCUACAAUGGAGGAAAUACUAGAGACGGACUAACAGAAUCUAAGGAGAUUUGUUGUGGGAUAGGAGGAUCAGCUACAAUGUCAGUUGAAAACUCUUUACCCUCAGUAGAAUAGUAUGGUGUGCCCUCGAAAAAAGUAACAUCAGCACUAACAUAUUGAGUAUAAGUUGUAGGAUCAUAACACCGAUAUCCCUUCUGUGUAUGUGAAUACCCGAGAAAAAUACAUUUAGUAGCACGAGGAGAUAGUUUAUCAAAACCGGAACGUAGGUUAUGAACAAAACAGACACACCCAAAGACACGCGGGGUAAGAGAGAAUAACGGCUUGUCAGGAAAUGCAACACUGAUUGGUGACUGAUGAUUGAGGACAAUGGAAGGCAUACGAUUUAUGAGGUAACAUGCGGUAAGGACAGCAUCACUCCAAAAUGAUUUUGGCACAUUCAUAUGAAAUAAGAGUGAACGAGCAACUUCUAGAAGGUGACGGUAUUUUCUCUCGGCCACACCAUUCUGCUGAGGGGUAUAAGUACAACUUAUUUGAUGUAUAAUGCCAAGAUUAGAACAAAACAAAGAAAUUGAUUUCUGUGUAUAUUCUAGAGCAUUAUCUGUUCGCAAAAUUUUCAGGGAUGUAUUAAACUGAUUAGUAACCUCACGAUGAAAUAAUUGAAAAACAUGUAAAAAUUCAGAGUGGUCAUGAAGCAUAUAGAGCCAUGUUAAACGAGAAUAAUCAUCCACAAAAAUAACAAAGUACUUAAAACCAUUUCUACUAGCAAUACGGGAAGGUCCCCAGAUGUCCGAAUGAACAAGUUCAAGUAAAGUAGAUGCACGAGAAUCACUACGACUAGGAAAUGAACUACGAUGAUGUUUCCCAAGUUCACAAGCCUCACACUCAAGAGUAGAAAUUGAUUUACACUCGGGAAUUAUUUGUUGUAACUUAAAUAAAGAUAAAUGCCCUAAACGAGAAUGCCAUAAUAGGGGGGUAAUAGAACUAGCAGCUAGACCAUUGGCGUCAGCAGUGGAGAGACCAUUGAGAUAGUAGAGUCCAUCACAUUCAUGUCCUCCACCAAUCAUCUUCUUUGUCUGAAGGUCCUGAAAAAUGCAAUGAGAUGGAUAAAAUGUAACUGAACAACUAAAAGCUUUAGUUAACUGACUAACAGAUAACAAAUUUAAAGGAAGUUGGGGGACAUGUAAAACAGAGGACAAAGAUAAGGAAGAUGUAAGUGAAACAGUCCCUGAUCCAACCACUUGAGUCGAUGAACCAUUAGCUAAAAUAACUUCGGAUGAAGGACUAGAAUUAGUGUGGGAAGAAAAUAGUUCUUGCUUACCCGUCAUAUGACUAGAAGCCCCCGAGUCAAUGACCCAAGAGGCGUUAGGAGACAAAGUAGAGAAAGAGGCCAUGUUACCUGUACGUGCAAGAGUAGCAGUGGAUGAGAAAUUGGAAGCCUCUAGUUGUUUGACACGUUUGAUGAGUUGUGCAACCAUAUCAUCUCGAGUCGUAGACUCAGAAGAACUACCCCCAAGUGGAAGAGAUGGGUUCAUGUCGUUGUAAGACACAUUUCGAGCACUCUCUUCAGACAUAGCAGCAUUUGCAAUAACCUUGGCCCAACAAGUGUCAACAAUAUGACCGAAUUUGCCACAGUGUAUACACUGACGGCUAUCUCGAUCAGAACUUUGUCCACUACGUCCACCACCGCGACUACGAUUUCCCCCGAAACCACGACCUCUAUUGGAAAAUCCACCACGACCACGACCACCACUACUAGCCACAAAUGCUGAAUUGUCUUUAGAUGAAGUAGAAGACGGAGGGAUAAUGCGCUGAAUUCGACAAAAUGCUUCAUUCAUAGAAGGAACUCUCUCUCCAGCAAGAAGCUGACUCUUCACAGGCUGUAAGUCAACAUUCAAGCCAGAUAGAAAUUUGGCCACUUGAAAUUCAGCUCGUUGUGUCUUUAGUCUCUCAAGAUUAGUAGUGAUGGGCUGAUAAAGAUUGAGUUCUUCCCACAUACCUUUCAAAGCACUAUAAUAUUCUCCAAGAGAUUUGUUUCCCUGUUUAAAAUUAAAAAUCUUCUCAUAUAGUUCAUAAACUCUAGACAUAUUUUUGUCUUGUGAGUAACUCUCCAUAAGAUCAUCCCACACUCCUUUAGCAGUUGUGUGGAACAUGACAUUAGCAGCGAUGGAUGGUUCCAUGCUAUUCCAUAACCACACCAGAAGUGUAUCAUUCUCUCUCAUCCAACCAUUAUAGUCUCUAGAAUUUUCAUCAGGAGGGUCUCUGGUAAGAUAAUGAAGUUUCCCUUUGGCAUUAAUAUAGACCUUCACAGCUUGGGCCCAUAACAAGUAAUUGGAGGAUCCAUUUAAUUUAAUAGUGGUAAUUUGAACGUUGACACUAUUUGUAGAAGCCUUAGUAUCACUCAUGAUGAUAAUCUCAAUAUAAGUAUAUCUACCACUAAUCAAGGAGGCUGAAACUUUAGUGCAAGUAACAAAGCAGCAACGCUAAUGUAUAAUCAGAUGUAAUUGGCUUCAUCAAUUAACCAAAGGGAUGCUGAAAACUCAUAAAUAGAGACUGCUGUAUAGAAGAAAAUAUCUGACUAGAAAUCUCGAUUCAAAUAAUUAUAUGUUUGACGGAAAACCAGCAAGACUAGUCAACCAUAAUCAAUAGAAUAUUCUGAUUCUUGAAUCCGCUGAUCAGCAAGUGUUGUAAUCCAUGUUCAUAAACCGAACCUGAUGAAUCCGAUAUCUUCUGAUCUCAUAUGUAUCGAGACUUGAAGAGAAAACAGAUAAAAAUUGCAGCUUUAGGUGGCUACGCACCAGAGAAGAAGUAGAGUUACUAGGGGACUCUCAAACCAGCAAUAUGAUUAAGUAAUCAGAUAGUUAGACCUACUCUGAUACCAUGUCACAAAACUGAUUAGAGAACCCGCAGCAAGUAGAAAGAGAGAAAGAAGGAAGAGAGAAGGAGGAGAAAGAGAACGUAAAAGAAAGAAAGAGAGGGCUGUAGUUUUUCUGUAAUCAGAAACCCUACACCCAUUGUAUUUAUAUUGAAUAUAAAUUGUAUAUAACAAUAAUAUCCUUAUGUAAGUAAAAAAGGAAAUAAAACUCUGAUAAUAAAGGAAACUCAAUUAAAGUAACUUAACAGUAUGUACUCUCUUUUUUCAGCUUAUAAAUUAUGACUGUCUUGUUUGUUUUUCUUCUUAACAAAGCAGGGUAGUAUGUAGGACUCAUCACGUUAUAAUUUACUUCAUGAUGAGUUUUUCAUAUCAAUUCCAAAGUUUAAGGCACAUAAUGAUGUUUAUUAUACUCUCUCUCUCUCUCUCUCUCUCUCUCUCUCACACACACACACACACACACACACACACACACACACACACACACACACACACACACACACACACUAUGUAUGUCUACUAAUGCGUAUAAUUAUUAGUGACUAGCUCAAGGACAGCCACGGUUGAACAUAUUAAUGUGAGAUGAAAAUGAUUUGAUUCCACCUGCUUCUCUAAUGACUAAUCAUACUAUGUAUGUCUACUAAUGCGUAUAAUUAUUAGUGACUAGCUCAAGGACAGCCACGGUUGAACAUAUUAAUGUGAGAUGAAAAUGAUUUGAUUCCACCUGCUUCUCUAAUGACUAAUCAUACUCGUAACAGUUUUCAUGUAAUCGGAAUCUUCCCUUUAUUGUAGGUAUGGCUAUAUAACAUAGGCUUUGGUAGUUAUCAGGUUGAGAAAGUUUGUGAUACCUCAGGAGAAGAUGCAUCAUGCAGCAAGUGAUGAGCUAGUUUCAGUCGAAGCUACUUGUUCAAACAAUUAUUUUGUGGAUUUAUCAUGCAAAAUGCAAUAAGCCGUGAUGGACCAGCUUGUCCUAGAGAAUGUCCUUUGUUACUAGGAAUAUUUGUGGACAACUGAUCAGGGUAUUUUCCUGCAGAUUGGUAACCGGUAACAGCAUUGUGGACCAUUUAGUCUCUCUAUAGUGUGCAAUUAAUGGCUAAAACAUGAGAAUCAUGCAAAAUCGUCACGGACACUAUUGACGAAAUGUGGAGGCGAAGAUGUCAAAGGAAAUCUUAUGCUUUCCAGGAAUCCUUUUGUUUCUGCAUUGAGGCCGCAUUCAGACUCUGAUGCCAAGAGGAAAUUCAGUUGAAAUGCUCCUGGGUCAGUACCUGGAUUCUCAAAGAUCAUCAGGGACCUUUGUGAUGAAGUUUGGUCACAAAAUGCAUUCCAUCGAUCUGUUGUCCAUAUCCAUCACAAGAUACAGAGGAGCUCUACUCUAAUUUACUCUGAAUGUAAAUAGCACAAAGUUGAAGGUAUCAUCCUUGUAAAUACAACUCCAUGGUUUCAAUUGAAUAAAUAUGUUCGCAAGUUUGCCUGUCAAUCUGUUAUUGGGCUUGGGGCUUUGUUACCUGACUUGAUGUGUGGAUGCUGAGCUGAGCUACAUUCAUAGUUGAAUGACGCAGCUAUUUUCCCUUGGUUUAAUGUGUUGAAGAAAUCCUUGAAACUGUAAACAGAAAAGACAAUCGCCAGAGAUGACCAAAAGCUAGUUUGCUAGACAUGGUUAUACUGUUUCGAUAGGAUAUUGCAGCGUAAUUUCACUGUGACAAAGUCAACGAUGCCUGGUGUACACCGUCCAUUCGUUUCCAAUGUACAGCCAAACAGCAGUGUGGUUUUGUGCUCUUCAGUAUCUAAUGCAUAAUGUAAGGUUCAUCAGUGAUUUCGUGGAUGAUUCCGACAAUUUGUUUUCAAUAAUCUAACCGCAGCGAUUGAGAGUCCACUGGGGAAGAAUGGACACAAAACAUCAGAUCCCUAUCCGAAAUUAGGACGGGCACAUGCCCACAUUGUCAGGCAUAUCGGAGAUAAAGAUGUCCACUGUUAAUGAUUGUUCAAAUAAGUUUUAGCACUAGGCUCCAAACUCAUCAUAGAGUACAAUUUAGGAAAAAAAAAGAAUGGCUCCUCAUAUCUAAGCACGAAAAUUGGUUCUUUAUGUGCUGCGACGCUCUCAAAAUUUUCUCUGUCAAGGACUUGCGGACAUCGUGAGACCAUUAGUCUAUAGGAAUUUCAAGCUCAGAAUAAAAUACUGAUACACUGCUAUACAUUUGAUAUGUCAAAACAAAAAAUAAAGCGCCAAUAUUGUGGUCAUUAUUUCAAGUUUAGCUCAACCGCAUUUGAACAAGUAUAUUUGUUCUAAGUCCUUUAAAAUCUAACUCUGCGACUCUAUCAUUAUGAUUUGACAUGUGAUUCAAGGUCCUCUUGUUUUCAACUUCUACUUCUGAUGAGUGUAAAACCACAAGGCGAUAGCAACAAGGGGAGUGAUAUGUAGGAACAACGAUCAUCUCUCCAACCCCAAUGCGCACAUAAAAAAUCCCAUAAAUCACAUCCAGUAGCUCCAACCCUUGAGUCUGUUCUCUGUUUGACAAUUUUUGGUGUCAAGAACCGAACUACAUCACUGUAAUUUUACGUAACUAAGGUAUAAAAGCUGCUUAAGAUUAGUUAUGGGAUUCUCGCGAUGCUGCUUCUUCGAUUCAGUUGCUCUUUGCUACUUCUCCGGUUGCUAAAUGAGCCACAAUUUCCUGCAAAGAAACAUAGUUCCAUUAACUUUGUUAAGAGUUAACCAUCUCAAUCAGAAAACCAGCUCAAAAAGUCCGUCUGAGAUGUUUGUACCUCUUGGUCUCAACGUCAAUGUUUAAUGCGUAGUAAAUGUAUCAAAAUCAAUGGAAAAGAAUGGGUUGUGUAGAUUAGCGUGAAUAUAAUCCACGUCAAGACAUAUGUCUGCGAACCUGUACAUGUGAUCUUAUGAUCCCGAAUACAUGUAUCUAUUAUUCUAACUCAGCAGUUAAAUUCUCGGAAGAGUCAUUCAAGUACAUCAUCAGGAGCAGAGUCAUUUUCCUUCUUCCCCAAUUCCUCUUCCUUUUCCAGUCCAGUUGGAUUCUUCUCUUCCACCACCACUUUAUCUUACUCGCCCUCCUUCACACGUUCAUGCCGAGGCAAGUUGUACUCGGAGGAGAGGCCCUCAGACACGAUCCCUUCCGGCACUUCCUCGUCUCUUCUGGGAGAGAAGUAAUGAUCCGGCGAGUCGUGGGAUGUGAACCUCCCUGGCUCUGCCUCUUCCUCUUCUACUAGCGGUUCUGUCUCCGGCUCUAGCUCCUGCUCCAGCUCAAUCUCCUUUUCUUCCUCUACACGCUUCUCUUCCUCUCUGUCUUCAUCCUCGGCCUUUGUUUCUUCUUCUUCUUCGUUCUCUUCUUCUUGUUCAGACUCGGGAUGUUCAGUUAUGUCCUUAACAUCAGCCGCAUUUUCUGUAUCCUGGCUCACCGCAUUAUUGAUUUCUUGUUGCACGAGUAAUGCCGCACCUCUCCCAAUUGCUUCCAUCUAAAUAACGUUCUGUUCCACUUGUUUGUUCUUCUCGGGAUUGGCGCUCGAAACUCCUACUUUUGACUCCCCGCAACCCAUUGUCAUAAAAAGGAACGUCAAUCGAGAGGAAUUUGAUUGGGGUAUUGAUUCUCUCUGCCUUUGUGCAUCAGAUUGAAAUGAAGUUUCGGCUUUUGUCUUCUUUGCCCGUUGCAGUUUUGAUUUGCUGAAGCGGGUUGUAUCCGUGGUUGACAAAACGACAGAUCGUUUCUUGUUAUCGGUGGGGUUUUCCUUUCUUUGUCUUUUUUUUUUUUUUCAACCCAACCUUAGUUCAAUGAAAAACAUACUUUACAAUUAACAUAUGAUGCAUCCAAGCAAAAUUCAAUAUUGAAAAGACCGAAUUAUUCCCACUCAAAAACUUGUUUAAAUCUCUUGCUCCAUGUUUGAGUGAUUUAAUUUUCAGUUGGUUUUAAGUGCUUUUGAUAGGUAAGAAUUUAGGAUUUGUGAAUUGACAUUUUUCGAGAGAUAAUGACAUUCUUUUAUAAAAAGAAACACAAGGCUAAUAGAUGUAAAAAUGUAGAAAAUGAUAUAUAUAUAUAUAUUUAUAUUUUUUAACAUCAAUCGGCCUCAUGAACCAAAAUUCAUAUGGUCGUCAAACAUGGAAUUGCUUACACUUAAUCACGUUGAAAAUUGAACUUAGCCAAUUUUUCAAAUUCACAUAUAAAUUAUUUUCUGAACCACUAAAUCAAAAUAGACAAAGAGUAAAUAUGUUAGAAAGUGAAAUAUCAUAAAAAGAUGAAUUAUAAUAAUGUUAACAAAUUAACAAUCCAAAUAUUACUAAUUAAUCCCACAAAUGGUUUACUUCACCAAAUGGAAUUUAAAUUUCUCUCGAGUUGCCAUAAUUUAUUUUUUCCUUAGGCUAAAUAAUAAGCAUCUCCAAACAUAUAUCCUCUCUACAUAUAUUACGCCAUCUUCUUCCAUCUUGAGAGUGUCGUUUGCAAAAGUUCUUUUAAUUGUUCCACACCGUAAGUGGCCAUGGACGCCGCCACAGGAGAACAUCAAACUUCAGUAGUUAUCAGUUCGAGCUGUUUCUAGUAAUUACGCUCUUCAUAAUUUUCAAGAAAAAUAAAUCUAAUCAAACUGCAGUUCCAUGGUGUAACUCAUUUUAGGAGAUUGCAGCAAUUAAUUGUCACUGGGAGUACAUGAUUUAAUCAGAACCUAUGUCUGUAAAUCCUUACUUAGGCUAAGAAAUUGAAUUGCAUGGUUCACUUAAUCCGUGAUGAUAGAGACUAAGGGUUGACAAAAUUGUAGGUAAGAAGGCCUUGUGGGAGCAUAAUGUCUAUUGAUUGACCCCUACAAUUGGCUCUGCAAACCAUCUUUUGGUAAUGAUGAAGUGUAUCUAUAUCAGGCAAUUCUUUUUUCCAUUUGUUUUAUUUACACUAUUCUUCUGCUAACUUGGGGUAUUGCAAUGCAGCAAUAUGCUAAAGAGCACAAAGAUGCUAACCUCAUGCAGGAAGUUAUGAAGCUUUUGAAGAAGAAUAACUUGCCAUUGCAACCCACCACGGCCGAUAUUGUUUUCAGGUUCACUUCGGUGCUGUUUCUCCUGAGAAGGAUGUUAUUAUCAUGUAGUAAGCCAUUAUUGCACUUAAUUGUGUGUUAUGUACUGCAUAGUUAUCAAGCAAUUUAUCCAAUUUAUAAGUGUCAUUUAUAUACGAUUUAAUCAACUUGUUUUUAUUUUGAAUUAUUUUGUCUGCACUGCUACUCUCGAUCUAAUAGUUUGCUCAUGUUAUUUGACAUCCUUUCUUUCCAUGGAAAAAUUUUGCAGCAUUUGUGAUGAUACAGACAAUUGGGUGUUGCUCACAAAGUAUUCAAAGAGAUUUGUCAAAAUUGGAGUGAAUUUGCAUAAAGCUGCAUUUGACAUCUGGAUGGAGUUUGCUGCAAAAGUAGGUGAGAAACACUAGCUCUGUCUCCCUUCGCUGCUCUCAAGCCCUUGUCCCUCAACAAUCUUAUUUUCCAUUUCUUCCCACAAAUAGUUUUCUCAUCCACGUCCCGCCACUUACUACAAAAGAUGGGAUGUGCUAGAAUAUUUUCUUCUGUACGGUGAUUUCUUUCUCUCCUUAAACAAAAGGGUAGAAAUAAGAAAUAAAAAGAAUUUUCGCUGCGCCAUGUCUUUCAAUGUCUUUGUUUCUUUAAUUGUUCUGAGAUUAUGCUUCUUUAUCCUAUUUAGUGGUUUGACGAAAAUUACCCUUUUCAGGAGAUUUGAAUCUCUAUGGAAAACUGAGAAGUUAAGAUGUGAGUCCAUGAAGCAGCACACCCUGGGCAGUGGAUUCUCAUGUGCGAAGGUAGUUUACAAAGGCAGACUGUUGAAAUCACAAAUAUCAGACCCUGAAAGCACUAAGUCUUCUUGCAUUAGAAAAUCUGAUAAUGGGAAAAUAUUAAUAUUGCAAUACAGAUCAGUACAAAGUUCUUGGUAAACCAGGUGAGAGGUCUAUGGCCGAAAAAAGCGAGAGUUAAUGAUUGAAUAAACCAAAUUUUGGCUCACAUCCUAGGACAUGAAACACCUAUGGGCAUGAGAAUGCUUAUUGUCACAACACAAAGGAGAUAAUAACUACUUUUUCGGUAUUUGGAAGCAUUUAUUGUGGCUUUUAGCACUCUGGUUUAAUAUUAAAAUUUAACCGACUGUCAUUUGCUUGUUUUGUGGCAAGCUAAAUGGUUUUAUAACCAAUUUUUUGUGCAGGGAUCUUUACUUGAAGGCAAACCUGAGGAGGCUGCGACAGUCAUUCAUGUCUUGAAUCAGGUCCUCCUUGCUUCUCCGAGCAUCUAUAGCUAUUAUUAAUAUGCUCAUCAUCACCAUCUGGCAUGAUUGCAAUCCUAAAUUACCUCAGCCUCUGAAUUAGUCUUCAAUUUUCCAUAUACUGUCAAGGAAUAAAGCAAUUAGUGGAAAAUAUACAGAAUUGUCCCCCAAAAUGUGCUCAGAUAAAAUUACCAUGACAUAUCCUCUCUCGAGGGGGACUGAGUGAUUUGGGUUUCAUAUUUGGUGCAUGCUAUACUAUUAAAAUAACACGGCUUAGUUCCAUGGAUCCUAAUAGAGUUCGAAAGAUCAUCUCAGACUCCUCCUGAAUUGAAUAAAGUUGGAAAUUCACCUAUGUAGGCUCUGUUUGUUCAGAUGUUGCUUCUUAGGUCUCACAAUGUGAAUGCCUUGGAUUGAUGCGAGAGUUUACCUGAUGCUAAGAGGUCCAGCAUUGUGGUUGAACUUCAAAAGCUUGUCAGUGAGUGGGUUUUCGAGGUCAUCAAAUGGAAGAAAGAAGAUGACCGCAAGGUACUUCCUUUGACUAAAUAUCCAUCACUUUGGGUAGAAGUAGAAACGUUGCUUGUUUGCAGUUAUAUAUUGCUCUGGUAAUGUUUUCUCAAUCGUUCCCUUUGCUGGAUGUAUAUAUGCUGCAUUGAACUAUCUCAAAAUUUUUAAAACCUCUCAUUCUUUUCGCUCAUGUAGGCAUUGGCUGCUUCUUUCAAAUCCAAUAUCCCGGCCAUGGUUAGUUUCCCUAUCAAACACGGGCUUGGAGGUGAAAGUGAAUAUGGAACAACUAACCACCAAAGGCGCCCUUUGUUAAAGUAUGACAGAAUUGGAGAUUAAAUGCACUAGCUGCAGAUCUGUCUCCUAUGUGGACCGCUAAGGUUGCCAUUUUAAUUUAAACCGAUUCCGCUGAGAAGCAAGACAAGCGUGGUACUCACGUCUCGAGCAACAAGCAUCUGAAGUUCUCUUGUGAAGGUCCCUGAACCAUGAAAAGAUCUGCUCCUUCUUGAUUUGAAUGUUGUCACUUCUGUACUCUGGAAUAAUGAUUCUUUUCUUUCCCCAAAAAAUCUGAGUGUAUUAGAUACGAUAGGUGCAUCGUCAGCAAUUGAAUUCUGAGAACAACCUCGGAUGACUAGUUUUUGCAGAGAGGAUUCUUUUGGCUCACGCAUUUUAGAUUGGACCAAAUGGGCAGUUAAGAGAGACAAUUGAUAAGGUGGUCCUUUCAAUUUCAAUCUGAUUUGGCAGCCUAUUUUGUUAUAUUUCUGACACAAUUUCGCUGUCCAAAAUUAAGAGUGAAUUUAAUGCCGACUCAUUUGAUGUUGGCAUACAGCGACCGCCAUGGCUUCCUGAUUUAAUCGGAUCGAACCGUCCAAUCGUGGUGCCAAAGUGCAUAACAUAAAUUACAUCCCCUUUUACGUCAUGAAAGAAAACGAAAACCUGAAUUACCAGAAAUGGCUUCGGUACCCACAUGCGUGGGUGGGUGGGUGGGUGGGUGCGUGCAUUUUGUGCAUUUUGUGCAUUUAAGGCGUAAAAGAGGCGACAAAUGCAAUCCUCUAGAAUGAAAACAUGCGCAAAUUUUAACAAUGAAUUGACAUAAUUGUAAUAGAUAUGAGACUUUUUUGGUAAUAUAGGACCAAAUUUGAAUUCAUACAAUAAGCUUACGACUGAAUUUGCGAUUCUCCUAGCUCAACACCUUAAGCAGUAAUUAAGCUCUUCAUAUGUUCACCUGCCAUAACCUAAAAAAAGUCAAGCAUGAUCAUGGUGAAAGAAAAGGUCCAAAGAAUCCUUCCCUUGGAAGCAAACAAUCGAAUCAUUCUUGUUGCCUAAAAGAAUCGAGCAUGAGCUUUGUUUACCCAACUCAACUGCAUAGACACGGAGAAGAGGCUUCAGAUAUAAGAACUUAACAGGGUACAUCACAAGAGCAGGAUCUGAUGAAAUGUAACAUCGUACAUUUUCUUUGAAGAUAUGGAAAUGAAUAUUCAAAGCCCAAGAUUAAUCCUGGGAAAAAUGGAAAAGUAUGGAACAACAAACUUUGAUUUGCAUCACAUGAAGCAAAGAACCACGUGAUAAGUGAAUUCAAGCAUCCUGUGGAAUUCUAUUGACACUGGCAGCUUCUACUGAUUCCUGUUCUGCCACAACUAUAGUCCUGGAAGGCCGCUUGUUAGGAGUCAUUUGGAGGCAUUGUAAAGCAAGCUGUGCUAUUUGGAAUGCAGAAUCUGUAUAUGUAAGGUAUAGGGAUGGUAUAAAUUUGGUUCCCAUUUCCUGCAGGUCGCAACAUUGUGAGCGACCAGCUUCUUCUAAAAUAUCCAGUGUUUCUUUUUCAGUAAUUGGAGCAUCUGCAGAAAAUGAAAAGUUAUGUGGGCAAUACAACUGUACAUUUUAUGCCAAAGGAUUCAAGUAGCUAAAAGGAAAACACACCUUGUAUUUCAUAGAGGGGAUUAUAGUGAACCUCACACCAGAAACACAACCAAAACUCUGCAUCAAUUGAAAGUAAGGUUAACAAAAGGAAAAACUCAAAAAACAUGGAGUUUCAAAAGACCAGUUGCACAUUGAACAAAAGCAACAGUAGAUCAAUUGCAAAUGUUUACACCUAGGUUUAAAAUCAAUCAAAUAUAUAUUGAGCCAUACCCAAGCAGCUGUUCUAAGCAAGCGAAAGAACAAAUAUUUAAGUUCCCCAGAUGAACAACAAGCAAAGCAUCACAAAGGAGGAUCUAUGCGUAUAUGUAUGUGAGCAACACUCUUUUUUCCAAGACAAACGAGAAGUAAAAUAUCAACUUCACAUUCAUCACAUUGCACGGACUGAUCAUUUGACCCAACAAAACAACUAUGAAGAAGACUAGCAAGCAAUACCCUAGGCAGAGGGAACUUAUAAAUCCAAUGGCCCAACAAUAAUCAAGCUAUCAAUAUAAGUAUCAUCAAGAGGUUAUAGACCUCCUUCAGGCUCUCCAACAUCAACCAAAUAAGCAUUGAACAUCAAUGACUCACCGGAACAAAUAACUUCAUCAUUCUUCAAAAUUCUGCAUUCUGACAGCUGCUUGCUGCCAUCAUAGGGCAUUACCUAUCAUAUAUCCGACCAUCAAUCACAGCAUGGACUAAUCUACUCCAAACAAGCUCAAUCACGGAGAGCAUUACAACCAAAAGCACAGAACAGAACAAUAUGUGAUAUAGAAAAAAUGAAACCCUAGGCAGCAUCGAGCUGCUGCCAUUAAGUUCAAUGCUGCUGCCAUUAAGUUCGAUCGAGCAAGCUAAAUGAGGGAAAACUGAUGCAGCCCGCAUUGAAGAACAACUCUCUCGACCAAGAAGAUCGGCCCGCAUUCAAGCUCGACGAAACCGAGAAGCCGUAACAAUAUCUUGAGUCCAUUUUGGAAGCUUGAAAUACACCUUGGGAGCUCGCGUGACGUGCAGAGUGAGAGGCAGCUGUCACAAUAGACCAUGCGUUUCAGCUUUCCAUGCUCUUUACUAUUUCGUGACAUUCCAGCACACGCAGACUCAAGCACGUAACUCAUUUCAUCAAACACCAAAAGUGCACACUGGACAGCCAAACACUGGACAGGCAAAUCUAGAUGGUUCACACUCACACGAAGCAUAAUUCAGCACACUAAUUACAAACACGAUCCAAAAGCAGUUCAGGAUUGAAAAAGAAAACAAGAGCACAACACCGAUCCGCUCCUAGAACUUACAUUGCCGGCUCAAAAUGCAGGCGUUGAGUCUAUCACAGAGCUGAAAGCUCUAACGUAUUCAUCCGUGGGAUUUUGUUGAGUCUGGAUAUUCUGUAUAAGGGCAACAAGGAUGGUGAUGCCAGACUUCUGUCCCUCAAGAUUCCGUUUGAUGCGAUGUUCAUUUUCCUUAAUCAAAACUCCAGAGUUAGAGCUUAAGCUGGCAGACUUGAAAUCCAUAUCCUUGGUGCAAUUUCUCCCUCUUUACCCAACCUUGAUUGAGGAUGAGGACCACAAUACCAAUGUGUGCGCAGAAGCUCUCCCUGAUGCUCAUAGAGUUCAACUUGACUAAAAUUUCUGAGAUUCUACACCCAAAGACAGUCAGCCACUGCUUCAGAUUUUCACUUGGUGAUUUGUCCUGUGCAAAGGUGAAUGAUGUUGAGCUGCGCAUGGCUCUGGCAUCAGCUCCGAAUAUGGAUCCCAAGUUGCUUUCUCAGCUGAAAGUAGCAUGGCGGAUUGGAAAUCUUUUGGAGAUUGUACAUGGGAAGAAUUUGGAAGAUUUUCUCAAAUUGAUGCUUGGCUUGUGCAAAGCUCUUCUUUUAUGAUCACCAGGUUCUACGAAAUUUUUCACGUACAUGGAAGAGCCAACACUACCUGAUGAAAGUUCUUCUGAGGUGGCAAGUAGCAUAUGACAUAUAAUGGACUUUGGUGGCAGUGCCAGUGUUUUCCUGGAAUUGAGUGGGUCUAAUGACAGAAACAAUGCCGAUAUUGCUUCUGAAUGAACAGUUCUAUUUCUGAAGGCGGCCUCCAGGGAAGGUGCUCUCUUUUUCUCAGCGAUCUUUUGUAAGUGAGUGCAAUUCUCGAGUCUCAGCGAGACACCCUCCUUCUCUACUGGUACCAACGAAUGCUGCAUUCUCUCAGUUACAACUGUAGGAGAUGUUUGCUGCACAGAAUGAAAUUAUGAUUGAAGGCAUCGUGGCUGAGAUAAGAUAUUCUGGUGCUGCUGCUUUAGCCAGUGCUGCCACACUGGUAAUCUCGGAAUUGCGGUGGGUCCCUCAUUUAUGACUUCUCCAUAACAUUUACAAUUCCCACUAAGAAGCACACCUUUCCUGAAAUGAAAAAUAAACUUAACUUAAGCAUAGCAAUAGAGUGCCUGUCUACUUCAAAGUCGCAAUAAUGAGUUGAUUGUGCUGUAAAGUCCCAGGAUGAGAACAAUAGUCAUAUGACCUUCCAGCAAACAUUCCAUCUAUUUGUUUACAUCAUAACAAAGUUAUCUCCAAUGCAAAACGAGGUUAUCAAUUUCGAAAUAUAUGAAGAAGGAAAUCGACAAGGAUCUCUAAUAACUUGGUACAUAUCAAAUAAAAACGAUGCAAUCGACAUGCAUAUCUCUAGGAGAAAUCAUCCUAAGAAAAUGUAGCUAAAAAAGUCAAAUCAAACUAGGAAAAGAACACAAAUACUCGUACAUAAUUAAGAGCCCUCUGGCUGUUUAGAGGUAUCAUAAUUUCAAUGCUUCAUUAGAUUUUCAGACAAGAAUCCGCUAAAAGGUCAUUAAAAAGUGCAUGCGAAACUUCUCUGUUUAUAUUUGCGAAAGAAUUUGAUUGCGAAAAAAAGGAAAACGUUGGUACUUACCUCAAUUUGUUUAAAGUUUGAUCACAAGGUUAGAAUUUGUCUUCUUCCACAAAUUCGUUUCUUCAUCGUCUUCUCCCACAAAUUUGAUUGACUUCUCCAAGCAAAGCCGAGAAAUUUCCUCCACCGCUAAUUUCCCACAAAGUCUUAUUGUAACCUCUCGCAGUCCCUUCAAACUUGAUAGAUCAGGCAACUUCUGUAAAGAUUCACAGGAUUCAAUAUCCAAGUAUUCCAAAGAUUGAGGUAGUUCGCCUUGAAUCUCAAUCAGAUUAUGACAAGAUUCUAUUGUAAGAAGUGUUAGUUUGUUCCAAUUGCUUAGAUCAGGGAUUUGCAUCAGUUUAAAGCCACGAAGCAGCAACUCAUGUCCACCUGUACAUUUAAACAUCUGAUUGCGAAUAUGCACAUAAACAUAUGUCUUACCCAUUAAGCUGAACAGAUUGGGGAACUCCCGUAACGAAUUGCAGGAAUCAAUUGUAAGAUAAUCCAAAAACCGCGGUAGUUCGCCUUGAAUCUCAACCAAAUUACCACAACAGGAUACUCGAAUAUACCUUAGCUUGUUUAACUUGCUUAGAUCAGGUAGCAUUGCCAGCCGUCUGACUUUGUCAAUGUGCAAAUGUCGUAAGUUCUCCAAACAACCAAGGCCUUGAAUCUCUGCAACUGCAGAGCACAAAAUCGAGAGAGACGAUAGUUUCCUCAAAUUCGAUAGAUCCAUCGAGCAAAGUGAGUCGCAACCAAAGAGACUUAAGGAGGAUAAAUUUGAGGGAAGCCUCGGGAGGCGACGCGGAUGAGGAGGGAGGCUCAGGUCUGUCGAAGAGUCAAAUGAGUCAAAUGAGUCAAAUGAGUAGAAUGAAUCGAAUGAGUCGAAUAAGCCGUAUAAGUCGGUCUCCCCUAAAAAGAGUAGUUCCAUGGAUUCCAAUUUGCUUAAAUUCCCAAUCCACAGCGGUAUCGGUUCUUCCAGAAGCCUAUAAGAUUUCCCAGCACAAUUAGGUGAGCAAAAGAACAGAUACAAUACCUUUAAGUUAGCGAGAUUUGAGAGAUCCAGAAACGUGUCCACCCUCAACUGCCCCAGUUCUAAUUCGAUGAGACUUUCAGGAAGCCUUGGUAGGGCGUGUAUUCUCACCCCUCUCAAUCUCAAGAUCCUCAAGGAUUUAUUCUCGUAGAUGCAAUCACCAAUUUUCAAGUGUAAACACUUGUUAUGAUAAUCCUUGCAGACGACUUCUAUUUUUUCAAGCUUCUCCAUCAUCCAAAAGGCAUCGUGUAUUUUGCUUAUGACACUUAUCUUCAUCUUCACUACUUUCAAAUUCUUCAACUUUUUGAUGGAAUCGGGUAGUUCUUUGAUGUUCGUGUAACUUAUGUUCAACUCAAUCAGCGAUUCCAAAUUCCCGAUUGUCUCCGGAAGCCUCUUCAAACUCCGGCAUCUUUCUAGAGAUAGGUAUUUGAGGCUUGCAAGAUCUCUACACAGCUCAUCCGGCAGCCUCUGAAGUCUGCUACAAUUGCUUACAUCUAAGAAAACCAAGCGUUUCAACUGACAAAUUAAUCUAUCAAUUUCAAUUAACGAUUUAGAACCCGAUAGGAUCAAACAUUCUAAUUUUGAAUGAGCAGAUAAGUCGGGGGUUAUCUCCAAGAGUAGGCAAUGGGCUAGAUCUAGAACUUUCAAAUUCUUAAUCACCUGUAAAAGAAAAAUCAUGCAAAGCUUAUUUUUGAAUCUAAUAAGGCAAAAGGAUAAGUAUUGUCUAGCAUAUAACAAACCUUCAUGUGACUCCACCCUUUCCAAUCAUGCGUAAUUUUACUCCAAGAUAGAUCAAGAAUAAUCACAUUCUCCAUGGAGAAAUUUGUAAUCGCAAAUGUUGGCUGAAUAUUAUGCCAAGAAAACCAUUGUAAUCGUGGAAGGAGAUUUGAAUUCUUCUGGAAUACAUUAGUUGAAAGAAUAUCUAACGGCCUUGUGUGCCAAAAAUGCUCAACUUCAAGGAACGUUAGAUUGGGUAGGUUCUUGAAGUCCUCAUAGGUAAAAUGAUGCUGAUCGUCAAACUUGAGAUGAAGAGCUUCAACUUUUUUCUUCAUCUGUCAAAGAGAAAAAUUUGAAAAACAAAAGAGUUGAAGAGAAACACAUUUAUCCAAGUUCACUGUUUUAAGGGGUUGAGUUGAGUACUUAUAUUCCUUUAAUCUUAAAAGAGCAAAAAUAUUGGUUGAGUAGGUUGUGACGGUGCUAGAGAACACAAAAAUAAUUCCCUCCUUUUGAAAAGAAAAUGUCCAUAAGUAACUUGGAGAUUUAUUUUUAUAGGGAAAUUUACCUCAUGGCUCUUCAGCAGAUCCAAUCCUUCCUUGGGAUUCCACACACAACGUUGCUUCUCAAUUUUCAUCUUACUUUCUUGACGAACUAUUUCUCUUCCGAGGUCUCUAAGUUGAUCAUGCAUCCACAAUUUAUUCUGUUCAUCAAUUUUUAUCAAAGACAUGUUCUGCAAAACUUCCAAGGUUGCUUCUGGAAAAAGUUUAGAUGCAUCCCAAAAAAUAACUACAAUGUCUUUGCGAUAUCCAAUGAAAUGACAAGCUAUAUCAAGGAAUAUAUGCUUUUGUCGAGAAUCUAAUGCAUCAUAACUUAUUUUCAGCUUAUUUUGAACUUUAUCAUGAGGAACACUUUCUAACAAGUUCAAUGUGGCAUCCCACAUUUCCUUAACUUUGCUGGAUAAAAGUGAACCUAUGACUUCAAGGGCUAAUGGAAGACCUCCAGCAAUGUAUAUCGCUCUGUUGGUAUGGUUGAUGUACUCGUCUAAAGGAGAAUCUCUUCUAAAGGCAUGUUUGCUAAAAAGUUGAAGAGAUUGAUGGGCAUCCAUGCUCGUAAGCUCAUACAUCCAGUCCACUUCCGGAACAUGGAGAACAUCUUUCCUUCUCGUAGUAAUAAUAAGUUUGCUUCCUUCACCAAACCAAUCAUGCUUGCCUACAAGUGCAUCCAUAUGAUCCUUUUCUUCCACAUCAUCAAGAAGAAUGAGGGCUUUGUGAGUAGGGAACCUAUCUUUAAUGGUCUUAAUCCCUGCAUCAAUGUUUCUUAUAUCCACCCAUUUCAUCUUGAGGAUGUCGCAGAUGAGCUGCUGCUGCAAGUACUCAAUGCCCUUGAGCUUUGACGUUUCACGGAUGUUGGAAAGGAAGCAACAAUUGUUGUACUUGUUGGAAAGCUUAUUGAAGAUGAUUUUGGCAAUUGUUGUCUUUCCAAUGCCACCCAUCCCAUGAAUUCCUACAAUCCGCGUUUCACUUAUGUGAGCACCUAUCUCUUCCAUGAUUUUACCCACAUGGUGGUCCAUAUUGAUCAAGUUGUUUGAUACCACCAAAUAAGCCUUUUUCAACUCAUUGAAAACCUCCUGGGUAACUGUUUUCGCGAUCUCACCUUCUUCCCUAAUGUUUGUUGGAGGUCAAAUGGCAAUGAGUAAGAAAAUUGUCUUGAAUCAAACUAUGUUUCAACAAGAACAAAGUGAAAACUGAAGACCUAAGUGAAAUGUAUUAUAUAAGGAUUUACUCCAGUGUAGAUGAAUUAGCAUCGAUACACAUGAUUAUUGAAUGACCUAAACUAGGAAAGAAAAAAAAAAAGGUUGUUUGGUUAUGUGAUUUUUAUAGUAUAAUUUCAAUAGCAUAAAAUUCAAUUUCAACAAAACUAACACGAAUCUAGAAAAUAAACCAAUUGAACCACAUCAAGUUUCAAUGAUACAAGGCACAUCAAAGGAAUGAUAGAGGCAAUCACCUGUUGGGGAUGCUUUGCAAGUCCCAUCCAUCUAGUUCCCCAACUGCAUUGAGAGCAGCCUUCCACUCAUGUAUAGUCGCUUCAUCAUAUCGCUUCUUGUUUUCAUGUGAAAGAAAGGCCUCUUCAUAACACUUAGUUUGGUGUCGAACCUCUGAAGGUUCCACAUCAUAAAAAAUUGGCAUAAUCUUUUGUCCCCUAAUUUUUUGGCACUUGACCAUUUGGACUAGCUCCUUGAGACACCAUGCACUAGAGGCAUAACCCUUUGAAAAUAUAGGUAUUGAGAUCUUUGAUUCACUAAUUACUCGGAGAAGUUCUGGGCCAAAAUUUUCCCCCUUGCGAAGCUCUUUGUCAUCCUUAUAGACGCGUAUUCCUGCAUCUAUCAUACUAGUGUAAAGGAAGCUAGUAAAACCUCUUCGAGUAUCUUUUCCUCUGAAACUCAAGAAUACUUCAUAUUCAUAUCCUGAUGAAUUAACCAUUCCCUGACCUUCUGUCGUAGUGUGAGUAAAAGAAGCGCUCACUGCUAUUCCAUCAUUUUUACAGGUACGUUGUUUUUUUGCACUCCUCUCCAUUGAUUUCACUCGAUCUGAUCUUCAAGAAAUACCAAACAGUAUAUCAGCAAAAGCAGUGGCAGCUAGAGAUGGAAAAUGUUUAGAAGCCUAACUCGUAAAUAUUGAAGAUCUCUGUAGGUCAUUAAACUUAGUAGCCGGGAUAAGCUAAAUAUGCAGAGUGUCAUGGGCUAGUUUGCUACAAUUGUUUAAUAAGAAUAAUUCAUUGUAGCAUCACUCUCACUUGUCAAAGUUGACAAUGCAUGUGAACAUAGGAGUAUUAAAUCUCAAGGGGCGUUUUAACACCUUAAGGAGUUUUAAAUCUCCUGGGGAGAACGUUGACAUAGCACAAUACAAAGUUUUCAUUUUAAAUAAAAUGGCUCGCUCUUCUCAAAUCUUGAGAACAUAAAUUAUUCCCUAGGAGUUCUAAAUCCUAAGGGGAGAACAUGAACAUGCUCUCAUUUGACAUAACACAAUGCAAGGCAUUCUUUUUAAAAAGAAAAUUUCCACACUUCUCGAAUUUCUACAACAUGAAUUGUUUCUUCUUAAUGUCACUUUUGCAAAUAUGACCACCACUCUCUCUAGAAUAAAUCAAAAUAUUAACCAGAGUUAUUCAUGUGGUGGGAUAGUUGUAGUUUGAAAUCUUACACGUUUCCAAAAUUCCAUUAACCAAAAAUGGAGUUUCAUUUCAUGCAUGCUAGAGUUAAAGAACCAAUUAUAAACUUAAAGUAUAACUGGUAAGUACAAAUUGACCAAUAACUUGUGAGUCUGGGCAAUUGUUAGAAAGUCACUAAAAAAAAUAGUUUUUUUCACCCUCAAACCAAAUAGUGGAUUACCAUUUUUUUCUUUUAGAUUUUACAAAUGGGUUAGUAUUUUUUCUUGUAGAAUAUGAAUGCUUACAUAGUUUAUUAAUAGUCUUGAUUGAUGUUCCAACUUACAAACAAACUAACUAUUUUUACCCCUCUAAUAUCCAAGUAUGGUGUUAACAUUGUUUCGAAUUUAUGAGUAGCAAUGUUCAUUUGUAUAUACCAUGUGAACAAAAUAACAGAUUUACCAUGUGGAAAAUACUCUUGUAACUUAUGAGCAAUUGUGUGCCUUUAUAAGUAGGCAAGUAUUUUUGGUAGUAAAUUACGAGUUGAUUGCAUGCUUUGUUAGUAGUUUCGGUUAACAGCCGUAACUUACAAACAAAUAAGUAUUCUACAAGUAUAAAUCCUUACUAUAUUAUUAACCUUGUUUCGAUAUUAUGAGUUGCAAUUUUAUUGUUAGUAACAUGUUGACAAAACAAUUGAUUUACCUACUUGAAAUAUUCUUGCAGGUUACGAAUAGUCGUUUGCUUUUACAAGUGGCUGUGUUCUUCCUCUAGUAGAUUACAAGUUCCUUACAUAUUUUUUCCUAGCGACACCAGUUUAUAUUUGUAACUUCAUAAUAAAAAAACCUAAAUUUUUAGUAGAUUAUUAACAUUGUUUCGACGUGUAUUUCUCAGUAACAUACAAACAUAUUUUAUGCAAUUGUAUGAAUGCCGGAUGAUUGUGUGUAUUUGUUUACUAGUGAUAUUGAUGAUUAUUUGUAUUGAUGAAGCGUUCUACCUGUUUACAUGGUCAACUAUAAGACAUUGAUUAGAAGCUCCGAGAUGACUAAAUAUGCCACACGAGACGACAUGUUGGUACUGUUUUGAAAUGAUGUUGCAACGUGAUUGGAUAUUGACAAAGUUAACGAUAUAUAAUGUUUGGAACUUAUAUAAUAUACAACCAAAUAAUAGUAUGGUUCUGUGUUAUUCAGCAUCUAAUGCAUAAUACAAGGUUCAAUAGCAACUUCGUAGAUGCUUCCGAUAUAAUUAGUUUGUUUGAUAAUCUAAUCGUGGUGGUCAAGAGUUUGCUCUAUCUAGGGAAGAGUGGACAUAGAGUAUUAGCUUCCUUUAUAAUUACUCUAUAAAAUUAGGAGAGGCGCAUGCCAUCAUUGUUAGGCAUCUCAAAAUUAAAGAUGUCCACACUGAAUGAUUCUGGUAUUGGCACUAGGCUCCAACUUAAUAGACUACAAUUAUGAAAAGAAGAAGAAGAAGAUUCUUCUCAUAUCUAAGCUCGAAAAAUUGUUCUGUUUGAUAUUGGUCCUAGAGAUGUGCCCCUCCACUUUCCAAUAUACUAACAGUGUCGAAAUUUUUUCUGCCAUGGACUUGCAGACAUUGUGAGACCGUUAGUCUAUAGGAAUUCCAAGUUGAAAAUAAAAUACCGAUAUACUACUAUUCAUUUGAUGUGUUAAAAUAAAAACUAAAUGCCAAUAUUGCAGCCAUUACUUCAAGUAUAGCUCAACGUUCAAAUUGGAUUGGAACAAGGGUAUGAGUCUAAGUACUUUAAAUCUAGUCUCCAUGGCUCUGCGCCUCUGCCUCUAUGAUUUGAUCAGCUUAUGUGAUUCAAGGGUCCUGUUGCUCUCAACUUCAUCUUAAGAUAAAGUGUAAAACCAAUUGAUGAUAAGAGUUGGCAAUUUACUGACCACAUGGAUAAAAUUUCAAAAGAGUUGGUUAACUACUUCAUUAAUAUAUUGAUAUAUUUUUUAAUAGUGCUGGUAAGUUAAUAUCAAAGGAGUUAGUAAUAUAUUAAUUCAUUAAAAUGUUGUUAAAUUCUCGUAUGUGCCGGCAAUUCAUCUAUGAUUUUGGUAAUAAGAGUUGGUAAUUAACCACUUGACUCGUAUGUCAGUAAAUUCUUGAUAAUGCUGGUAAUUUAUUUAACACGUUUUGAGAGUGGGUAAUUUAAUACUUCCAUGUAGUGUUUGUAAAUUCUUGACUGUGUCGGUAAUCUACUUACCACACUCAUAAAAUUUUGUAGGAGUCGGUAAUUUACUACUUUGUUGGUAUGUUGUUAAAUUUCUAAUGUUGCUGGGACUUUACUUACUAGCACAGACCAAAAUUUUCAAGUGAGUUAAUUUACUAAUGUCGUUAAAAUUUUGAUAAUCUUGUAAUUUACUAAAUUUCUUAAGAAAUGGUAAUUUACGAAUAUUUUGUUAGUCAGCAACCAUAAGGUUUGAAGCUUGAAGUACACUGGCGAAUGGUGGAAUAGCGGAGAUGAGAGCUAGAGCUCAAGAUCAGGAUGGAGUAAUUACAAAAGGCCAAGGUAGUCUCCAAUCAGACUAUUGCUGCAGUACUGUGGAAUAUUUGGAAGUCAGGAAACCAGGCCAUCUUUAGGAAUAAAAAACCAGAACCAAGCAACCUUGUGGAGCCUGCUUUAGCUGGGUUGAAGAGUUUCAACAGAUGGAACCCAAAAUCGAGCGAAUCUAGUAAGACCAGCAAAGGGUCGUCAAGAUUUUGGAACCCACCGCAGGCUGGAACACUAAAGAUAAACAUACACGGUGGCUACGAACCUGAAGCUACUAGAGGCUCGAUCGCUUGCGUCUGUCGUGAUUUCGUGGGGAGGUUGGUGGACGGAGUGGUGCGAGCAGUAGCGGCGCCUUCUGCGUUCGGGGUUGAGGCUCUUGCCCUCUUAUAGAAGCCUCCACUCUCUCUGUAUACUCUAAGAAAAGAAGCCCUUGUUCUUGAGUCUCGCAGCUUAGACUUGGUCAAGGCUGUGGAAAGUUCAGACAGGCUCACGUGCGAAGCUCGUGCUAUUAUUCCGUUGUGCAAAGAUUUAUUAUUAUCCUUUUCAAGUAUCCAGAUCAUGUUCAAAAAAAAAAAAGAAAAGUAUCCAGAUCAGCCAUUGGCUUAGAGAGGCUAACUCAGUUGUGGACUGAGUUGCUAAAACCCACGAGAGAAAGCCCAUUUAUCGAACCUUUCAAUCUUUUUCUGCUUAAUGAAACAAAAAAAAAUAAAAAUAAAAAUUCAGUCUCCAAUCUCAAGGAGCGAACGUGCAAGUGUUCGGUCACGCUUCACAGCGCACGAUGGCCCCCCCGGCGGUAGAAUACCUUUAUUUGAUGGUGAUAACAUUCAACUGCAACUUUAUAAAAGCGUCGGAAAGAAUACUCUCUCGAAAUCGGAAAAGGCCACCGUCCUUCAUCUGACAAUUCCUAAACAAUGUUCACGCUCCACUAGCUUUGAGGAAUGAAAAAGAAAAAAGUAGAAUUAGCAACAUUUCACGUGCUAUGAUGGUCCCCAUGACUAGCCAAGCUCAUACGCUUCGAUAAAAGGUUGUCUCUUCUCACAUCUCGGGAACAAAAAUUGCCCCUCUCUAAGUUUGGCUCUGAAGAUUUGGCCCUCAGCUCCCCUUUUUGAGUUUAUAAUUAAAUUGCCGAUGCACACCUCUACACACUAUUUUAUUUAAUAGUCAAAACAAUGUACAUGUUAUCUAGCACAACAAUUUGAUGGUGAAAUAUAAUAGAAAUUAAUGAGAGAUAAAUUUAUUAUAAGUGUACCAGUUUAAAAUUUUUAAUAAUUAAAAAAAUAAUUAAAAAUAAAUUUAUCGUAAAUAUAUCAAUUUGAGUUUUUCACGAUAACAAUCAUUUUCUAAUUAAUUGGCUUCUGCUUUUCUUUUCUUUUUUGAACAACUAAUUGGCUUCUGCUUCACCAGGCACGAUAUCAUCACUCCCCCAUGCGAACACCAACGGCUGACAGCUUGCUCUUUGUAAUAUUAUGCAAUAAUGUAAUAUUAUGUUAGUGGGCCCCAAAAGAAGAAACUGAAAAAGAAACUGAAAAGUCAGUAAAACAAAAAGGAGAGGGGAGAGGGCUCGGCUAAAUAGAAGCUGAGAGUUCCCUCACCAAAAAAGAAAAGAAAGAAAAGACGAAGAAGAGGAAGGAGAAGAGAAAAAGGGAAAAAAGGAAAGGAAUUUUGGCAUGUGCACGUCUCGGAUGCCUCGCCAAGCUGACUCGACUCCAUAACACAGCACCCGGUAAGAGAUCAAGCCCCUUGUUUGUCCGAUUGAAGUAAUUUUUGGAUUUAGGACUUAAAUUCGAAAAUUUUGGAAAACUGAGCGGCGAAGUCUAAUUUUGGAGUCGUUGAGCCGCGUAUUUUUGCAAGAAUGGUAAUUUAGGGUGUUGUGGAGCCGUGGGAUUUUACGGAUCGUGAUUUGAACUUAUGGUUUGUCCAAAACAGAAUUUCAAAGUUUCCCACGCGCAGUGAACAGUACGCGUCCAGCAGCUUUGGGCCCGUAUUUUGUCAUUUUUCGGCUUGAUUUUGGGAUGGCCAAGUCGGAAUUCUUGUGAUAUGUUUCAAGGGCUCUCUAUUGAAUAUAAGUACGUUCGGAUCGGAGUUCAGAAGAGAAAGUUAAGGCGCAAUCAAGUUUUGCACUUAAAUUUCGUGUUGCGAAUGGCUUGAACAAUCGCUUUGGUUAUGCGAUUUGUUAGCGCGUAGAAGUCCUUUUGUUAGAGUUAAGGCGUAAUUUAGUUGUUUCGAAGUAGAGACAGUGUUUUAUUAGAUUUUAACAUUUUUCUCGGUUAUUUGAUAGGACCUUGAAUUCGACGAUACGAGUAUCGUUCGUCGUUUGGUCAUCGACGACGAGGUGAGUGGUACUAUAUCUUCUUUGGUUUUAUAAAAUCAUGUCUUGAAGUAUAUAUAUGUAUAUAUAUGUAUAAUAUUGAAUUGAGAAGGGCAUUUUUAUUGCAUAAAAGCUAGAUCGAGCAAUUGCUACUCUUUGGUUGAUUGUGAAUCUUUGAAAAGCACAUUAUACAAGGUUUGUGGAGAAACAUAUAUGAAAUUGCUUUGCGACUGAUUUAUAAAAAGGUUUAUGAUGAUUUGAGAAACGGAUAUGAAAUGGAUGAUGGGCUAUGUUGCAAAAUGUUAUUUGUUUGGUUUGAGAUAUUGAUUUUUGGAUUGGAUUUCUGGUAUUGGAGAAUGGUUAUUUAUGCUCAAUAUGACUGUGAAUCCAGUGAUGGGUUUUUGGGGUAUGCAUACCAAGUUUAGGAUAUCCUUCUGGGCCUAGCCACCGGCUUUGUAGGUGGAGACCUUGCCAAGGGGGGAAUCUUGGUCGCCUUGUCACAAGGCGUUGUGUUGUGACCAUGGUUAGUUAUUGAGCAAAAGAUUGAUCAAUGGAUAGACCAUUGAUAUGUGUUUUUGAUGGAGAUUAUUCGAUGGAUUCGACCAUUGAUACUUGACUUUUGAUGGCAAUUCAAAUGAGUUUUUCGUAUUAGUAUAAAUUUUUGAUGAUAAGAAAUAACUUUUAUAUGAUUCGAUAUGUAUUUUAUAUAUUGAAUUGGUGUUAUGAAAUUUGGUAUUGUUUUGUAUACAUGCAUAGUGGUUGUUCGAUCUGCUUAGAAGAUAUGUACUACUCACUGAGCUGUGGUUGCUCAUCCCAUUCCUCCUUUAAUCUUUUCAGGUUCCUCAGCUAGCGGCGAAUAGAGCGAGUGCGUAGUCGGUGGGAACUUUUGGGGAGUUCUAUUUUGUUUUUGGUAUGGUUAAAGGAAGUGGUGCAAAUAAUACUUACUAGUAGUUGGAUCGUUUAAGUUUUAAACGUAUAUCUUAUUCUCUUUUGGUGGAUUAUAGAAACUCUGAUGUUGCAACCAAUUUGUUGGUUCAUCUAAUAUAUAUAUAUAUGGUUUGAGAUAUAUAUAAGUUAAUAUCAGUUUGUUGGUUGUAUUUGAGGCUGCGUCCUGUGAAAAGAAGGACGGCCGUGUCAUUCCCAUUCUUUGUGGUUUUGGGGUGUGACACUCUUCAUCCGAAUUGCGACCCCUGUCCUUGUCCUCUGCUCCUCCAUCCCUCCCCUUUCAUUCUCUGGAAUCUGUAGAUCAUCAAUUACAUGUGUCUUACGCUUUUGCCAAAAUGCCCAAAUGCUCUCAUGGCGAGGAAUUCUUUUGCCUUUUAUGGAUUGAUUUUAAUGAUAAAUAGGGUUGAGGGCCUUUCUCCUGCUAAAAAAAUCGAGCGAGUUAACUAAGUCGAGCCCCUAUGCCGCGGCCAUAUGCAACCAUGGCCGUGCGAGGCCAGCAACCCCUGUCUAUCGCGACUUCCACUGGACAUAGGUUGUGAGCUCCAUGCGGAGAAAAAAAGAGACCAAGGGAUAGCAAACAGGUCAAACUGGUGUGGAGUUAAUGUUGUCGGUGGAUUCACGCGCGAAGGUGAGGGCUUGUGAUGGCAAUGGGUGGGCGACAGUGAGCGGCGAUUCUGUAAAAAUCCUAAGCUAUAUUAAUUACUAAUUAUUCCAAUUUUUUUUUUCAUCAUAAAAAAUCGAAACUUGUCUCAGAAAUCCAAAAGUACUUUCCAUUGGAUGUUUACUUACGCACCGCUUUUCAUUAUUUUGAGUGUAAAUUUCUCUUCUAAAUUAUGUUAGGAUUAGUCUAGACAUUAAAAAAAAAACUACAAAAACAUUUGCAUGGACACUUAGUGGUUUCAUAAAGAUUAUAAUUGGUAAUCAAGAUUGUAUGGCCAUUUAGAUAAACAGCCUUCCAAGUUAGUGGUACCGCAAGGGCGCUAAUAGAAACAUUGGCGUAAACAAGUCCCCGUUCCUAGAAAUCUCUGGUUGCGUAUGAAUCGAGACAACACUCCCGUGUCUUGAUUGGUUUCCAGCCGACCUCAAUAGGCUAGUGGCGACUCCUAGAAUUACAUAAGUUGUUAAUAACUAAAAAACGAAUCCAACAUCGCGCGGGGUAUGGGCUUGGGAGAGCCCGCGCCUAAUCUAGGGCCAUUGGUCCACCUCUUUACGCAAAUACCCCUAAACCUUCUUCUUUUUCCCCGGACGGAAAAUUUGGAGGUCAUGACAGCUUGGCGACUCCACUGGGGACUUGGUUGCAAACCUUAGAAGACUUAGGCCGUAAUAACUUGGUUGGUUGUUCACUAACAUGGUCUUCAUUUGAUAGCGCGUGUCAAAGUCGCGUGGAAAACAAGGUUAGCCCGCUAACAAUGUGUUAAAUGUUUUUGUAGGUUUGGAGUAAUAAGGGGUGGAGUGUUUGUUAACCCAUCUCUUUUGUAGGGAGGCGUAGGAAUGUAUGCCGAUAUGGAUGAAAUUGAAGUGUUGUUUGGAUAUCAAUUGAUGUGCGUGCCUUUAUACUUAUCUUAGUACUACACAUUUACACACACAGCUUGCGAUCUAAAACCCCGAUCGCACUAGGAAGCCCAUAUGAGGUGCCAAAAGAUGGAACCCGUGCGGGGAAUGACCCAUGGUUAUCCACUUUUGGUCCCGCUCAUUUUGAUUAAUGAUAAAGAGAACUGUCCGACGUAAGCGCGGAGUGGGGAAAACUCUUUUGAUCUAAUCAAAAUGGGGACCUUAAGCCUUUAGAACUCCACCUUUAUGUGUCAAACCUCACAAGUUUGCAUCCGCAUGUCUAUGUGACUUAGAAAAAAAAAGGGUCUCUUCACCCACUGUAAGUAUGAUUUCUCCAUCUACUUGCUCACUUCGGAUUGAAAUUUUUAUUUAUUGGAGAUUCGCGGAAAUCAAUGGAAUGCCCUUGAAAAUAUAGGCUUGGCACUCACUUUUGAUAAAUAAGCAUUUCAAAUACCUAUGAUCUACUAAACAUAUGUUUUUGUUAAAUUUUCAAUUAUGAACUUAAAGUCACAUUUUGUAUAGAAAUUCUUCCAAAUCAAGAUUACAUUUUGGGGCAUAGAAUUAAAAUCAAAUUUUCAAUAAAACUCUUUGUUGGUCACAUUUCAAAAUUAAAAUUCAAAUCCCAUGUUGUAUAUUGAUUUUUCAAAAUAAAAAUCACCUCACCUUUGCAUGAGUGAAACCACAAAUUAAUUUUUUAAAAUCAAUGCCCCAUUUGUGUAUGAAACUUUUGGAACAAAGUGGGCAUUCAAUUGAUAGUCACGGAUCUAUCUUUUAAUGAAAUCUCCUCUUACUAAUAAAAUCUUGACGAAAUACCAAACUCUCGUAAGUGGAUACUACGGAGAAGGUAUCGUCGCCUUGAUUUCAUUGUAAGAGGCGGCUUUAUUGAAAGAUCAAUUUUUCAUUCAUAUAUUGACAUUAUCUUCCUUUCGCAGGUCAUGCGUGACAACCAUUCCUUAAAGCUAGGACGAGAAUUGUGCUUAUUAUGCUCCUCUAUGAAAGAGCUUCUUGUACUUUAUCCUUGUCAUUAUUCCUAUUAGGAAACGUGUUUUGCGUUUUGGGUUUUGAUUGUGGACCUAAUCAAAUGCCUCUGUAAAUCAUACAACUCACAUUUUCUAAUAAUGAAAUUAGAGUUCAUAAAAGUUAUACCCUUUAAAACACUUGAAGUGUUUCAAACGAACCCUCUGGGCUGAGUUUUAUGCCUUAGCUUCAAAAUGUGUGAAAAUAAGUUUCAAGAACUUGCGUAAUACUUUAUCUCUUCACUUAAUCGCUUUUGCAGGUUGAUCCGUAGAACGAUGCUUUGAGGGGGUAAGGUUGUAAUCGUUCCAAUAGGGAUUUCUUGCGCAACAACUAACUCAGUCAUCCAUUUUUGUGAAGCAGGCAAGAUGACGGUUUUGUUCAAGAUUGACAAAAGUGCGGGCCUUUCCCUAAUAGAGCGAGUCAUGAGAUGCACCAAUUCAUGCUCAUUUAUGGGCAUAGUUGGUUGAGCCAUGAACUACUUGAAUAUUUUCGCAACAUAUGAAUUCAAACAUUGUAAUUAAGUGUGAAAAGAAUCAUCAAGGCCUCGAAGAUCACAAAUCUACUGGUCUAAUGAAGUUCCACAUGCUGGACGACCUCAUAUUAAUUUGACAUUCUUCGUGGAAGAAGAAAUUUGUAGACAUUCUUUGGCAACAAACUACUUCGUUGGUUGCGAACAAGAAGCAUUUGCAAUCCCUACACUUCCAACGGUUUCUUGGCAUCCAAUCCUGUAUGGAGAUGAUUAUUGGUGGUAUGCAAGACAACACUUCGAGAUGUAGAUGUACACAAGCAAGAAUCGGUCAUCAAAUGUUGCAUUCAAAUAAAAGGUGGUAAUCGUUUCAAGUUAAAUUCGAUUUAUUUUAUGAAUGACUUGUCCUUCAACUUGGCGCAGAUUUUAGUGAGGCAAAUUACUGGCAAGCAACAAGAUUACAUGGGGAGGACAACCUGGUCCAGAAUCACACGAUCUCUAAAAGAAAAGGGUGUGUUCGUUCCAAAAGUCAGAACAACUCAUUCAUAAACUAACAUAGCCACCCAUGCUUACAGAUUGUGAAAUGGGAAAUGCAUUGAUGCAGCAAAAAUGGCGAAAAAUCACCUAGCCUAAAAGGGGUACGCGGGAAACCAAGUAAAGCAUGAAGGAUUCAAAUGAAAUGAAGAUUCAUCAAUCCAACAUAAUGAAGCUGAAAUUUUAAUUGGGGCAGAUGGCCAUAAAAUGGAUCGGGGGCAUGCAAUGCCUGAGUCACCCGACUUCUAAAAGGGGAAAAUUUCAAAUGGAAUAGACAUUUGCCAAGUGAAUCACUGUCAAUCAUGAAAGCAAAUCCCUCUUCAUAGCCAAGGAAACGAGAUGGAACGCAGUCAUCAUAUAUGCCGUAAAAGGGAGUAUACCGUUCCUAAAAUGAAUCAUGUCGAGUAUGAAAAUAACAUAUUCGUCUCUUUUUCCUUGCAGUUGAUGAAUGGGGCAAAUCACUUACAGCAGAGCAAUUUUGACCCAUGAGCAAGAUGAAACAUAGUCAAUUGAUUCAGCACGAAAAGGGAGUAUCGUUUCUAAAUUAGUCCAAUUCAAUUUUGGAAUAUAAGUACCAUGCCCUAUCUCUUGUAGGAAAAGGUGCACAUUGACCGUUGGAGCAACACCUUAUACCAAGAAGGCAUGUUAAGGCCUAACCAUCCAUUUUGAUGGAAUAAAUGGAGUAAAAUAUCCACGGAGCAAUGCCCUCACAUGUCGAAACAAUGAGUACCCCUCUCCUUUCAUCUUUGACGCCCACUUAGAAUGAGUGAAUUCGAUAACAUCUUUGAAAGGAAGACCUUCAAGGAAAUGUUAACACCUGAGGAGCAAAAGCACAUGAAGAGGAAACACAAGAUAUUUAAAGUCAGCUGCAGGAGAAGGGUAAUUCGGUAUUGUUUCCAAAAUGCCCCUCUCUAACUUCAUUAUUUGACGUAGUUCCCUUGUUUGACAGGAAUCGUCGGUAUUCGGGGAACAAGCUCGAGAAAUUGAUUUAAGCAUAAUUCAUAUCAACCAAGCAAGCAUGUGGAGCCAACACAUGACAAAGUCACCUAAGUUGGCUUAAAAUAUGUGUCGUUCUAGAGCCGGUUCAAUUAAAUAAAAAAAGAAGCGCCUUAUGGACACUACCAGCGCUUUGGCCUGGUGGUAUGGGGAAUGAAGUGGGUCUGAGAGGUACGGGGUUCGAUCCCUGGAAACAGCAACAAGGUUGCCAUGUAAAUAAUAAUAAUAAAUAAAUAAAUAAAAACUUUUGCAUCUCUUAUUUUUGCAAAAAGAGGAAAAUGCUUGAACUAAUGAGACCAAAGAUCUGAGAUUCUCUUCAAGCCUUAAAAUAGUACAUUCAUUCCGUUGUUUGCCGCCAAAUGGUGAAACUAACCAAGGGUAAUGUUGUAUCGUUUCCAAUUUUACGAUCCCUGAGGAUUCAUGUACUAACACAUUCCCUUUUGUUCUUCGUAGGGUCGCUUGACUACUAAGGCACAGGUAAGUACCCUUCUUCUCAAAAUCAAAUGGAAAAUAAAUGGGGAAUUUCCAUCACAAAAAAAGAACAUCUACUGUUUUUCUAGAAGCAAGCACAAAAAAAAAAAUGGAAAUUGAAGAAAAAAAAUUUCCACAAAGUUUGCAAAAAUCUUCUUUAUCAUUAAAUUGUUCAUCCACUUGAUGGAUCACUCAUUUCGAAUCAAAAUUCCCUAGGGAGAUUAAUCCAUCCAAAUGUUCUCAACAAAAAUGAAAGGGAUGUUACUCAUGCCAAGCAAGAAACAUUUAGAAUGAGGAAAGACAACCCAUUUCCAAACAUGUCCUUUAAACACUCUGGGAUUCGAGCGAAAAAGAAAACCUGUGUCAUUCAAGGUCAUCGAAUUCAUUCGCAAGCGGUACAUAGACCAAUAUGAUAAGAGGCAUUUCUUUCCUCUAUCAUACACACUACAGGUGACAAUAGUUAGCCCAUUUGAGCCUUUUAAUGUGAAGAAUUUUCUACAAAAUACCCCUGUCAAGAACCACCCCACGAUGGGGCAAUUAUGGAGAUUUGGGUUGACAUUAUUUGGAGAGAAAAGAUGAGAAAGGUUUCUUUACUCUCACUUGCAUAAAUCUUUUCUAUGGUAACUUCAGGUGAAUUCUUAUGGAAGCUUGAAGCAUCCCAAGGUAAAGAAGAGCAUUCUUUUCUCUACCCAAACACCGAUACCCUUUGCUUAAACCAUAUUGAGCCUAACUAUUCAUUUCUAAAACCCGAGUGGUGAUUAUCUCCCCACAUUGGGGCAGGGCACAUGAUUUACCAAUGCAAUUGGUGUUUAUAUGAGAAUAUGAAAAGCAUCUUGAAAGUCCCAAGAGCUCAAAAAGUUUGAAAGAACAAAAGUCAAGUGAAAAUUAAGGGGCAUGAAAAAGCAGUGUGCCUGGUAAAAGCAAGGCCAAUGCCCACAAAAAAGGGAGAGAGAGUGGAAGAAAAACAAUUGCAUCAAGAGGAAUAUCUCUGUGAAAGCAAAAAUGGCAAAAAAAAAUGCAUGCAUUGAAAAGAAAAUCAUUGCAAAUGCAAAAGCCAUUAUGUUAAGAUGAUUAGUCAAAGGACUUUCAAGACAAUUUGAAUUCUAAACAUUGAGUGCUUUAAAAAAUGGAUGAUAUGGUAAUGAUGCCAUGAUAAUCACCAACUCCCAAAUCCCCCUUUGACAAAAAAGUUCUAAGCCUUUUGAGCUAAGCCUUUUGAACCUUUCCCCGAAACAACAUUACAACCCAUUUCCAAAGUCUCUUCAGAUUGGGAUGAUUUGAAGUGGAAAUAAGGACUUCCUAAAGAAGAUGCCGCUCGAAGAAGUGAGAGUAAGGUUGUCUUAUCUCAUCUUAAGGUUUCUUGACUUGUAAACCUGGCGGAGAUGUCGAUCAGUGAUUAAUUCAUUUCAUAGCCAAUGAUGCUUAUCCAUUGCUAAAACCAUGACCAAACCUGCACUACGGUCCUUCUAAAAGACCUCUUUGAUUGGUCAAUGUGUACUUAUUGCGAAUGAUUCAAAGCCUUGCGCACUGGAAGAGUGAGGUUGAGUGAUCAGUUUAUUUCCCACAUGAACAGAUUGGGAUCAAAUAACCAUUUUCUUGAGGAUAUGCGAGAAGCCCUUUCUGACUAGGGAUCCUUGCUUGGCAUACUUAACAAACCUUUCUCAUAAGUCGGGGUCAUUUCGACAAGGACUUUUCUCCCAAGAGAAUUUGACGAUUAAUGGUAUCAUCCGAGCGUGAUGACAGUUUUGCGAGUUUGUCAAGUUGUCGGAAUUAGUUUGAUUUGUUUAUGCAAUCAUUGUCUUCUCAUUACCGAUACACUUUUGAUAUUGUUUCUAAUGACAUAUGUUGAAAUUGACCUCAUCUAGUAUGCUUUCGCUACUAGAACACUUGUUAUAAUGAAUACUAUUUGAUGUGCACCAUUUCAGAAUAUUCUCGAAUGACAGGUUCCUCCAGUGAAACCACACAAUUUCAAAGGGUUCAUGGGUUAGCCUUAAACCAUGCACUUUCAAGAGUUCUUGGUUACCUUUAAACCUUGCAAUUCUAAAGAGUUCAUGGGUUAGCUUUAAACCAUGCAUUUUCAAAGGGUUCUUGGUUAUCCUUAAACCAUGCAAUUUUCAAGGGUUCUUGGAUGAGCCUUAAACCAUGCAUUUUCAAAAGGUUCUUGGUUAUCCUUAAACCUGGCAAUUUCAAAGGGUUUAUGAGUUAUCCUUAAACCAUGCAUUUUCAAAGGGUUCUUGGUUAUCCUUAAACCAUGCAAUUUUCAAGGGUUCUUGGAUUAGCCUUAAACCAUGCAUUUUCAAAAGGUUCUUGGUUAUCCUUAAACCUGGCAAUUUCAAAGGGUUUAUGAGUUAUCCUUAAACCAUGCAUUUUCAAGAGGUUCUUGGUUAUCCUUAAACCAUGCAAUUUUCAAGGGUUCAUGGGUUAGCCUUAAACCAUGCACUUUCAAAAGUUCUUGGUUACCUUUAAACCUUGCAAUUCUAAAGAGUUCAUGGGUUAGCUUUAAACCAUGCAUUUUCAAGAGGUUCUUGGUUAUCCUUAAACCAAGCAAUUCUAAAGGGUUCUUGGAUUAGCCUUAAACCAUGCAUUUUCAAAAGGUUCUUGGUUAUCCUUAAACCUGGCAAUUUCAAAGGGUUUAUGAGUUAUCCUUAAACCAUGCUUUUUCAAGAGGUUCUUGGUUAUCCUUAAACCAUGCAAUUCUAAAGGGUUCUUGGAUUAGCCUUAAACCAUGCAUUUUCAAAAGGUUCUUGGUUAUCCUUAAACCUGGCAAUUUCAAAGGGUUCAUGGGUUAGCCUUAAACCAUGUAUUUUCAAGAGGUUCUUGGUUAUCCUUAAACCAUGCAAUUCUAAAGGGUUCUUGGAUUAGCCUUAAACCAUACAUUUUCAAGAGGUUCUUGGUCAUCCUAAAACCAUAUAACUUACGUGGUUAGUGGGACUGCCUUAAACCACACGGUUAGUGGGACUACCUUAAACCACACGGUUAGUGGGACUACCUUAAACCACACGGUUAGUGGAACUACCUUAAACCACACGGUUAGUGGGUUUACCUUAAACCACACGGUUAGUGGAACUGCCUUAAACCACAAGGUUAGUGGGUUUACCUUAAACCACACGGUUGGUGGGACUACCUUAAACCACACGGUUAGUGGACUGCCUUAAACCACAAGGUUAGUGGGACUGCCUUAAACCACACGGUUCGUGGGAAUGCCUUAAACCACAAGGUUAGUGGGACUGCCUUAAACCACAAGGUUAGUGGAAUUGCCUUAAACCACACGGUUUGUGGGAAUGCCUUAAACCACAAGGUUAGUGGGACUGCCUUAAACCACAAGGUUAGUGGGACUGCCUUAAACCACAUGGUUUGUGGGACUGCAUUAAACCACAAGGUUAGUGGGUUUGCCUUAAACCACACGGUUAGUGGGACUGCCUUAAACCACAAGGUUCGUGGGACUGCCUUAAACCACACGGUUAGUGGAACUGCCUUAAACCACAAGGUUCGUGGGUAUAUCCUUAAACCACACCUUUCAAAUUGUUCACAAGUACAUCCCUAGAUCACACUCUUUACAUUAAGCUUACUUGCAUUUUCAUUUUACUAUUGUAAAAAAAACAAAAAAACUAAAAAAAAAAACUAAAAAAUUAGGUGUCACAUUGUCUUUGAAAGAAAUCUCUUUGAGAUUUCUUCUAAAGAGGGGCAGCUGUUGACACCUAAAUUUUUGCCAAAAAAUAUUUCAUGUUAAAUUCUUGCAUAUAGAUUAUUUAGGCAUUUUAAUAUAGUGUUUUAAAUGGAAUAUGUUUUUACUUUAAAAGAAAAUUGAAAAAAAAAGAUUAAAAAAAAGAAAAGAAAAAAAAGUUGGGGCCAAUGAUCUAAAUGUGACUAGCCAAGCCAAGGAGGUUAGAUUGGAAUUCAAAUGGUAAGUUUGGGCCAAAAUGCAAUUUCCAAAAGUUGAGGGACCAAUUUGCAAAUUUUGCAAAAUUUGCGCCCAAGCCCGUAAAUCAUAAUCUUGGUCACCAAUUAAGUUGAAAUUGAAUUUGGGCCAACUCGAAUCAAUCAAAUUGAGCGAAAAGGACCAAAUUUGCCUUGAGUUGGGUAUUUUCGGAUAAGAAAAUGGCUAAGUUUGAGGGACUUUCUUGCAAAAUUGGGUGAGCUGGGUCAGUGGACAGGCUUGGUAGGUGGACAAAAGGCCGACCAAAAAUUCUCUAAUUGGGGGGGAUAACAUUACGGAAGGGAGGUCUUUCGAGGGAGUGGAGAGAGGAGACGAGAGGGAGAGGAGAGAGCUUGGAAUCGUCCCCCAAAGAGGCCCUCAGAAGCAACUCUAGAAAAGCAAAACCCAGAAAUUCCAGACCGACCUGAAGAGAGAAAAGUGAGAUUUUCACACACCUGUGGCCAAAAUUAGCCAAACCCUUCAACUAGAGAGUGAAAAUUCAUUCAAAGAUCUUUCCAACCAUAGGUCGCAAGUCCCAAAUGGAGAUCGGGAAGGCCUCCUAAAGCCCCCCGAAAACAGUGCCCUCCUGGCAGGCCAAGAAAGUCCGAAAUUUUUCUAAGUGUUGAGCCUGAUUGUUCAUGAGUGAGGAAAAACGAGUGCUUUUGAGAAACUUGAGAGACAAUUGAGGAAAGCCAUGACUUACAAGCCAAACGAUAAUAUAUAUAGUUUUGGUUGAUUUGAACUUCGUCAACAAGGAAGGUUUGGAAAUCUAAUUUUGGAAGUUAACGAAAACCUUCGUUGUCACCUUUUCUUCUGCAGAUCUCACUUUCAGCUCGAAGGAACCAGUUUCCACGUGCUUCCAGAGGACAAUUUCGUGGUUUCCUUGGCCAACAGUCACUUGAAAAAGGAACUAGGAAGCAAGAUUUGCAAAACGGCUCCAACCCGCAUAUUGAAGGCCGUUUUCAGUUUGAUUCUUGCGUGUUCUAGGCUGUAAUUUCUAGUCAAAUACGUUCUUUGCAUGUAGUAGUAUAUCCUUGAUACUUUACAUUCACAUGAGAUUGCUUAUGGGUUGAGAUUGAAGGCCACGAACAUGACCCGAAUAAGCCGUUUUGGAGUGAUUUGAUGCAAGCCAAGUGUUCGACAAAAUGCUCAAACUAAGCUUCGAUCUUGAAACGGUCGAUUUGAGCUUGAUUAUUGUGAUAUUCAUGUGCUGUGUUACUCCAUGUUAGCAUAGAUCGGUUUAAGGAAUUAUUUUUUUUUUUAAAAUAAUUAAAAAAAGAGAAAAAUAUGAAAAUUUCAAAAAUAUCAAAAAAUGUUAGAUAGCAUCAAAUUAGGAUAUAAAUGACAUAUAUGAAAUUUUCCUAAUUUUAAAAUGUCAUUUUCCUAAUUUAAUGCUAUUUUGGUAUUUUAUAACCAUUUUUGUAAAUAAUCCAUUUUGUGUAGAUUAAAACUAUUUAAAGUAAUUUCAUGCAUAUAGAGUAAUUUCAUGCAUAUUUGAACUCUCAUUUUGCUCAUGGGGGUCCUGUCCCGGGGUGUGAUAACAAGGCCAUGUAAUAUUAUUUGCCCGACUUGUAUCGGGUUUACCUUUUCCGCGUUUAUUUUCAAGUCAUUUCAAUUUCUUGGAUGUUUACUUACGCGCCGCUUUUCAUUAUUUUGAGUGUAAAUUUCUCUUCUAAAUUAUGUUAGGAUUAGUCUAGACAUUAAAAAAAAAAACUAAAAAAACAUUUGCAUGGACACUUAGUGGUUUCAUAAAGAUUAUAAUUGGUAAUCAAGAUUGUAUGGCCAUUUAGAUAAACAGCCUUCCAAGUUAGUGGUACCGUAAGGGCGCUAAUAGAAACAUUGGCGUAAACAAGUCCCCGUUCCUAGAAAUCUCUGGUUGCGUAUGAAUCGAGACAACACUCCCGUGUCUUGAUUGAUUUCUAGCCGACCUCAAUAGGCUAGUGGCGACUCCUAGAAUUACAUAAGUUGUUAAUAACUAAAAAACGAAUCCAACGUCGAGUGGGGUAUGGGCUUGGGAGAGCCCGCGCCUAAUCUAGGGCCAUUGGUCCACCUCUUUACGCAAAUACCCCUAAACCUUCUUCUUUUUCCCCGGACGGAAAAUUUGGAGGUCGUGACAUCUUGUUACUAAUACUAUAAGUAAACUUGAAUCAGUGACUCGCAAAUAUUAUGCGUCAUAGUUCCAUCCAAGACGGCCGUUAAAAAUCCAACAUGACCACUUGCUUGGACAUCAAUAGGCAAAUGGAGCCAAUGUAAAUUUGACGUGAUUUUAGUAUGGUCUAAAAUGACUUUAGAGAAACAAAUUGGACAUGCUUUUACCAAUGUGGAGUAUACAUCUUCUUAAUGUCACAAUUUUACGAUGGUUACUGUCAUAGAGGUGAUGCCAUAAGUGCUGAGAUACUUUCAUGCAGAUUGUAACAACUACUUUUUCGUAUACGAAAUAAUGAAGUUAACGUUCUCCUAGGUGAAGAGUGGGCAUCAACCAAUUUCAAACACAGUAAAGACAAAACAGCAAUUUAUAAGGUAUCUCAGAUAAUUCACCACAUAAUAAAUUGACAAAAUAAUGCACUUGGAAUUUAUAUAAUUUGACCUGACCUCACUAGGAAAGUUAAUUAGCAAUUCAAAGCCACUGAAACAUUUAAACCAAACCAAAACAAAACAAAGAAGAUCUGAACAAGGGUACUCGCAGAACUAUAUCACUAGUCAACAUGCAAAGUGCACGUGAGAAGAAGAUUUACAUAAACCUCUUUGUAAUUGAUAUGUAUAACAGAAUAGGAAGUACUUCUUAUCAGAAAAAAAGUACUCAAGAGAGAAGGUGUCCAUUCUUUUUUCUUGUGCAGAAAUUUAUCGAGUUUGAUCUAACAACUCCAUGAUGUGCUGAAUUUCCAAAUCUCCCGUGGUGAAUGCCUACCCGAUCAGACUGAAUUGAGGUCAUACAGCAACCCCUUUUUAAGGCAGGAAGUCCAUAUCAGACUUUCCCUUCCAUCUUGGUAGUUUGUAGAUGUAUUAUCUCUGUAAGAUGGAGAUUCUUGGUGUUUGUCCGUUAAGACUAGCAUGCGAAUCGAACAAAGUCAACCCCAAAAUCAUGCACCGCUUACCAAUUAGUCGGGGGUUCACACCAAUAGCUCUCACAAUACUAACCGAGAUACACUUCUUUCAUCACUUGAUUCGAAUCAUUUCACUGUUCCCGCCGCUCCAUGGCUUAUUGCAGCAUCAUUAUCUGGACUGCCCUUUCCAGUGAUCUAUCUUGUGCUUGUUAGACUCCUCUGGAAGAAAUCUUUGAACGGAACAGCAAAAAUAACGAUGGUAGCAACUGUGACCACACGUAGGGCAACCUCAAGUGCGUCAAUCGUUUUGCGCUUAGCACAAGUGGUCCACCUCGGCAGAAACAACAAUCACUGAGCUGCUACUGCUCCCCCUCCUCCUCGGAAGCUUCGGACGACGCUGCUGGUUCGAGGGCUUGGCCAUGGCAGUGCUAAGAACCUAUUUCGGCGGAGAUCGACCGAUCGAGGUCGUCGCUGCUCGUUCUAGAGAGAGAGAAAGAGAGAGGGGCUGAAUCAGAAUCCGAAGUGACGAUCUGAAAUAAAAAUGGGGGGAGGAGAGAGUCGGAGGGUGAUGGUGGGAUAGUCGGAGGAGAGAGUCGGUGUUGGAAACUGGUGGAAGCAGAGGAGGAUUCUUUGCGUCUUUUCGGAUUUUUGUUUUAAUUAGUUUCUCGCUUUUCCUUUUUAUCUUUUGGGGUUUGGUUUUUUCCUUUCGGUUUUUCUUUUCAUUUGUCGCAACACGCGAGUGGCGCAAAGAUUUGCCGCCAGCAAGAGAGGGAGGCAAAAUUGUAUUUUCGUUUCCCCUGCCGCAGAAUUGAGGACAGCAGCGUCAGCUCCCGCGCGAGAUGAGACUUGCGGCUCUAGGAUUAGAGGUGGUCUGACCUGCCCUUGCUGCCUGACGCAACCGACUCUCGAUGGUCUGCGAUUUUUUCCUCCGUAUAUUAAGAGAGUAGAGAGGGAAAAUUAAACGUAAUUUCCCUCCCUGAAGUUUUCGCUGUUGAAGAUUAAGUUUGAACCAAAACUACUCAAUUUACACGUACGUAUACAGGCCGGUCAUUGCUGUCUUACCGCGUGCUAUAAGCCAGGAAAUAUCUCCGUAUGAGGUAGCAAUAUAUGCAAGAUACAAGCUCGCCAAGGAUUCACUCAUCAUGUGGUUCGAAUUUGUCAACUCGGGAAAAAUAGUAUGACCAGCCUAUUGUUAAGUCAUCGCAUUUGAGGGUGGACUACAAUUUUUUCAUGUUCAUUCUUCUUUCUUUUUCAACUCAUUUCAAGUAAAUGAGUCGUGUAUGAAUUUGAUAAAAGCAUGAGAGGUGUAUAAAUCUGUUUCGUGCUUAUUAGCACGUAUGUUUGAUGAGUGACUGAUUUAUCAACACUAGCUAUAAAUGAAGGGAUUUGGGGAUUGUUCUCUACAAGAAGUUAUUGUUACACCCUUCACGCUCUUGAAUCACUCCUUGUUCUUCACUUCCGCUUGUUGUUUUGUGUACUAAUUGCUUUGUACUUUUUGAAUAACACGAUUUUUUAGAUUAAGCUUGAAUCUGAAAAUAUUUGACUCGAGAAGCUUGCCAUCGUAAUGGAGUACUCAAUUGCAAUUUCAAAUGCCUCCACUAAUAUAAAUAAACAAAUGAAUUAUAUCAAUUUUAAUUUUAGUGCAUAGUAACUAAGUAAUUGAAACGUAGAACACCCAUUUGUCCAAAAGAACAUCUCAUUCUCUUGGGCUAAAAUACAAUUGAAGGCAUCCCUAUGCGGUCUUUUUGAAUGUUUCGAUUUUAGCAAAACUUACUUCAAUGCCCUCACGCACACGACGUAAAUCACUGAAUGUGACAUUAAAAAUGCCCGCCAACAAAAUAAGAUCCCAGGGGCAAAUCAAGAAAGAUCGUGAAGAAUAUGGAGUGGAACAAAUUGCAUUUGAGGGUGAUGGUUGUUCUAACAUGCUUGUGUCACGGGCUUAUCGAUUAGGAUCGUGACCGCGUGGCGACUCGAGCACUUUAGGAUCGGAUGGAUCACCGAAGCACCUAAGCCAAGCCUUGCUCGGUCGAACGCUCACUCGCUCGCCUUACCCGGAUCGUAGAGAGAGAAAGAAUCUAGAUAGAAAAGCUCUAGAAAGAAGCUUUGCUUUAUAUUGCGGAAGUAAUGGAUGCCUACAAAUGAAAGAGGACACCCCUUUUAUAGUUGAGGGCCUCGGAUUACAUCCAUUGAUCUAGAAUUCUAUCAGCGGACGAGAUCGCACCGCCUCAACUACCGACAUAAGUGCCAAUUACCGUCUACCGACAUAAAUAACAGAACAGACUUCUGUAAUAGGACUCAAUGACGGUUUCGCCCGCCCUUGGAGACUUUGGGUAGAAGGUUCGGUGGGAAUCCGAGUGAGAGCAGGAGGUCCACGGGCGAGUUGGGGUCGACUCUGGGGAACCUCUCAGAUCGACUCUCUUUAGGCCCGUGAUAUUCUCCCCCACUCAAUCGAGCGACGUCCUUGUCGCUCUCAGCUUGAUGGGCAGCUUUGCGGGCUUUGACACGAGCUUUGUUGUUCUUGUUUCGCUUCGCUCGGACACUCAUGAACGAAGGGUCACAACCUUCGAUGAUGAAUUUGGAUUUGUCAUGCGGCUCGGUCUUCGAUUUGGACGGAGCAAGUGGCGCGCACUCGACCUCGGGGAAGAGCGCUUGGAUUGGCAUGGCGUGGGUUGGAGUAGGAUCCAACUCGACCUUUGGCUUCACCUCGGACAGCUUGUUGAUGCGCAUCACAGCCUUUAAGCUCUUGUUGAGGCGUCGGAUUGACGCGAUGGUCUUGGUGUUGACCACCCCUUUGAUCAUGGGGAUCAUCGACGGGCACUUUUGGUCGAGGAUCAUCAUGCACUUUGUCCUCAUGUCGAUCAUGGCUCCCACACUUUCGAAGAAUUGCAUGCCAAGAAUGAGAUCAUAAUCGUCAAGAGGGAUUACCUCGAACGUCAUUCUGCCCUUCCACCCGCCAAUUUUGACAUCCACGUCGGGUGUUGCUCCUACGCCAUGGAAGUCGCCCGAAUUGAUGGGCUUGUACGACUUCCCGGAUGGUUCCACGUGAAGUCCCAAGGCUUUUGCAACCUCAGUCAACAUGAACAUGUUGGAUGCGCCGGUGUCGACCAAAGCGUAAAGUGUUCGGCCGCCCACUUCGACCUCCACGAAGAACAUGUCUGUGUUUGGAGUGAUUCCUUUUCCUUUGGUUAGCGAUCGGGCUUGGAUCGAGUUUACCAUCUUCACAGCUCCAAUCCGGAUUUGUCUCCUAUCUUCUUUGGGCACCUCCUUUUCUUCCUCGAUGGCAAGGAGGGUGUUGAUGCGACCCCUCUUCGGGCACUUUUGGGUCCAAUGCAGACCUUUGCAAAUAAAGCAAGGAGAGGGUGGAGGUUGAUCGAACUUACUCGCGUAGUCCGUUUGCGGUCGACCUCUUUGGAAGUACGGCUUGGAAGACCCUUCUCCCCACAUCUUGGCUCGAUCGCCUUGAUCGGGCGCGCCUUGAGGAGUGUUUGUUCCUUCGUAGUCCGGUCGAUCCGACCUCUAAUCUCUUGCUCGGUUGUUUCUCGGCUCAACCUUGGUGAGAUCGACGAGAGACUCGGCCAUGCUAAGCGCUCGUGCAAGACUACUCACGUCCCGCCGUUUCAGCUCAAGUUGUGCCCAAGGCUUUAGUCCAUCCAUAAACGCUCCGAAAGCCUCCUCUUCGCUUAGGUUGCGAAUUUGGGGUUUGAGUUCCGUGAACUCCUUCACGUACUCUCGGAUCGCGCCUCUUUGCUCGAGGCGAUGGAGCAUGCUUCGGGCUUCUUGUUGAGCGAACUCGGGGAAGAAAUAGUCCCGGAACUCCCUCACGAAGUCGUGCCACAUGUUCAUGAGAUUGGCGCCACGUCGAAUCUCAUCGCACCUAUUGCGCCACCACAGCAUUGUCGUAUUAGACAGGAACAUGGAAGCGGUUCGUACCUUGGUUAACUCGUCUCGGAUGUUGACGGCGCCGAAGUAUUGCUCCAUGCUCCACACGAAGUUGUCUACUUCUUGGGCGGAUCGGUUGCCUUUAAACUCCUUUGGCUUCGGCACCUCAAUUUAGGGCACCGCUUGAGUAGGCACUGCACCGUUCGUGAUGCUGAGUUUGCAUAGGGCGAGCUCGGUUUUGAGCUCUUGGAUCUCCGCCUUCAUGGCUUCGACCUCAUCCCUACACGUGCUUACCUCUUCGAUUAUUUAGACGCGAUCGUUCAAACCAUCAAUCGAUGCUUCGAGAACUUCGUCCUUGUCGAACAAUGGAGCCGUGGCUUGGUUGAUGCCAGUCGUGAAGUCUUCGCGGAGCGAGCCCUCAACCUCCAUGAUCCAGUCUCGCACAUCAUCAAGACCUUCCAAGAGCUCGAGCAUAGCACUCCGGACCUUCCCGAUCUUCUCAUCGAACGUGACCGCAACAUCCACCGAGGCAUCUCUCUUCUUUGCUUUGCUGCGCGUGUCCUUGACUGGCACAGCUUCUCCAACUAUAGCCGCUUCUUGGCUUGACAUUCUCUCGAACAGUUGGUGCUCUUCAAUCUCUUGGAAACUGAUCUCUCUUUAGCUCUGAUACCACUUGUCACGGGCCCAUCGAUUAGGAUCGUGACCGCGCGGCGACUCGGGCACUUUAGUAUCGGAUGGAUCGCCGAAGCACCUAAGCCAAGCCUUACUCGGUCGAACGCUCACUCGCUCGCCUUACCCGGAUCGUAAAGAGAGAAAGAAUCUAGAGAGAAGAGCUCUGGAAAGAAGCUUUGCUUUAUAUUGCGAAAGUAGUGGAUGCCUACAAAUGAAAGAGGACACCCUUUUUAUAGUUGAUGGCCUUGGAUUACAUCCAUUGAUUUAGAAUUCUAUCGGCGGACAAGAUCGCACCGCCUCAACUACCGGCAUAAGUGCCAAUUACCGUCUACUGACAUAAAUAACAUAACAGACUUCUGUAAUAGGACUCAAUGACGGUUUCGCCCGCCCUUGGAGACUUCGGGUAGAAGGUUCGGUGGGAAUCCGAGUGAGAGCAAGAGGUCCACGGGAACCUCUCAGAUCGACUCUGGGGAACCUCUCAAAUCGACUCUCUUUAGGCCCAUGACACUUGAUUGCCACAAAUUGAGGCAAUACUCAAUUAUGAGUUUUGAUAGUUUCAAGUUUGAUAGAUCAAUCAAUGUAUGGAAGUCUUAAGACUAAAGCAUAGUUCAUCAAUAUAUUUAGAAACUUUGAUAGGAAUUUUAAAAUUACUUGCCUCAAAUUCACUGUCUGAGUCUGAUUCAGAGUCUGAGUCUGAUUGUGCCAUUAGACAUAGAUUGGCAUAUUCAUUAUCACUUUCUUCACACUCUGUGUCACUCCGGGUUUCGGCUUUGAGAGCUUUUCGAAAUUUUUCAGCUUUUCCUUUCUUCUUCUUCAGAAAAGGACAGUUGGGUCUGAUGUGUCCCUUUUUCUUACAUUCAAAGCAGACUAUGUCUUUGUUUGGUUCCUCAUCAUCAACAGACUUAGUCUGUUGUCUUUGAAAGCUUUGUUUCUUUGAGUUGAACCUUCUUCAUUUUCUAUUCAGUUUUCUGAAUCUUCUUAUCAUGAGAGCAAGCUCCUCAUCGUCCAUAUCUUCUUCAGAAUCUGUAUCAUCAGAAUCAUCAUUUGAUUUUAAUGCAAUGGAUUUCUUACCUUUUGGAUCUUCAUCUUCAUUGAUUCGUUCCAAUUCAUAAGAUUGAAGAGUUCCAAUUAGCUCGUCGACAGAUAGUGGCAUAAUUCUCUGCGUCUCUCUUAUCGAAGUCUUUAUGUGAUUCCAAUCCCUGGAGAGUCCACGCAGUAGCUUGUUUACCUUCAUGGGAUCAAAAGUUGGUUGACCUUGAUUUUCAAGACCAUUCACAAUAUCUGUAAAACGACUAAACAUGUCAGAUAUUGAUUCUCAUGGUUUCAUUCUGAAGGCUUCGUAUUGACCGAGAAGAAUGUUGAUUCUUGUUUCCUUCACUCGAUCUGUUCCUUCAUAAGUGAUAUGCAAUCUGUCCCAAACUUCUUUUGCUGUACCACAAGAAGAUAUUCUAUUAUAUUCAGUUGGUGAUAAAACACAAUAUAAUGAGUAAAUUGCUUUUGCAUCGAGUGUUUGUCUCUUGAUUAUUUCUUCCUGAAACAUUCCGCUGGUUUCUUCAGUUUCUUUUCCUCUUUCAGAGACUGAUGCAGUGGUAGGAGUAAUUCCUUUUUCUACAACGUCCCAUUCUAGAUGAUCCUUUGAUCGUAGGAAAGCUUUCAUCUUGUUCUUCCAGAUGUUGUAAUCCUUUCCAUCAAAGUAGGGUGGUCUGGUAUUGCUUUGCCCUUCCAUCAGCCCUGGUGCUAGCAUACUAGCCAUGGAUCUUUUACUAUGAAGUAAAACACUUCAAAUAAAGUAAGUACAUAGGCUCUGAUACCAAUUGAUAUUGCUAGUAUGAGUACCUAGAGGGGGGUGAAUAGGUGCAUAAACAAUUUAUAGAAAUACAGAAGCGAUUCUUAGCAUAUGAUAGAAAGUAAAUUCUCUCUUAAUUAACAAAAUGAUAUAUGAUCGAGGUAGAGAGAAUGAGGAAGAGAAAAUUGAACACAGGAUUUAUAGUGGUUCGGCUUAUUCCAAGCCUACGUCCACUCUUUCGCACUGACAGCCCACCGGCUGGAUUUCACUAUGAUCAAAAGAGAAGUUACAGCACAGCUUUGCCUUGAUUCCACAGUGUAGAUGUUCUACCACACCUCCUCAAGGUCUCUCACAAAUAUAGACUCUCUUUUGUAUACAAGUAUUCGCUCAAAUGAUUUAUCUAAACAAAUAGGAGCUUCAGACUUUGGAAUUCUUCUAUCGCGCACACCUUGAACAACUAAGACAGUCUUCCUUAUAUACUCCUUUAUGCCAUCAUACCCGUUGGCACUUACCAAAGGAAUUCCUCCAAUCUAUCCAUUGGACGAAAUCAAUUAGGAAGAUUGUUCAAGCUAUUAAAGGAACGUGUUGAUAGCCCAUCAAUCAUGUUCGCCCAUACAAUCAGGAUCUCGGUUUCCAUAAGCAGAACCUUCCAAUAAUACUUAGGCAAUCACCGGAUCUUCAAUUAUCGAGUCAAUCUUAGAUCAAUCAAAGGACUCCGUUAUGUCUUUUCCAGCCACGAGAUCUUCUCCAGUUGAUAAGGUCAAAUCCUUAACGAAAUAUACAGUUCUGGAUAACCUUUCUUCAACGGAUUAGAGACUGUCAAUGAGGAUAGACUUUGAGUCUUGAGUCUGGCUGUCCGGAGGUCUUCAGACUUUAAAUAGCAGAGUCUGCAAACCUUCAGACUAGACUGAUAGAAACGUUUUGUCAACUUCAAAAUACUUUAAGAAGAUUUCUCCAACAGCUACACUGUGAUGUAUUGAAAUACAUGCGUACGUGUCUAGCAAUGCAUCUUUGAAAGUUGUUGUGCUAUAGACAGCUACGAUGACUAAUAUGUUUGAUCGCUGUAGUUAUUAGAAUGAAGAAAAGACCUUUUAAUAUUGUCGCAAAGCUUUUACCAACGUUUAUAUCUGUGUUAUUGGAACUUUUGCUGGAUACCAUUUUCACCAUAUGAUGAUGAUGAUGAUGAUGAUAGUCGAAUCCGGAAUAGACAUUUUGAGAGGACUUCAUUUCCAACUUAAAUACCAAAGCAAUCCAUGUUUAUACAUGAAAUUGCAGAAGAAAAUAUAGGCAGUACGAUGCCGAACCCUUGAAAUGCACAAUCUACUGCAGCCCAAUGAGGCGGCAGCCAUAUGCAUCCAAUUGCAAAGGGCCACAAGAGCGACCGUACAAUCAUACGGGAAAGGAAAUCCCACUUGGAAUUGCUCUCUCCACCUGUCUUCCUCAACUUCAUAUCCUGUUGAACACAGUAGCAAUCUGUCCCCGUGAGCUUAACUGUUCAGAUGUUGAAAGGAUGUAUUCUGCACCAUGCCUUGGAGAUACAGCAAGACUGGCAUGAUGCCAGGUGAUAAGGGUAAAGAUAAAAAGUUCAUACUACUCGCCAUGCAGGUGAUGGGGGUAAAGAUAAGCGCAUCUCUCUCUCUCUCUCUCUCUCUCUCUCUCUCUCUCUCUCUCUCUCUCAAUUGUGCAAGCUUCUCUCCUCUGUUAAUUUACUACUGAUGCUGAGUUCUGCCUGCAAAGUUCUGGCAAGUUUUUUGCCAUUAUCUUCUUUGAAAUAUCAAAAAGAAAAGUGGGGUUCAGAGGUGGAAAGAAGAACAGCUUGAAGAGAAACGGAAAAGCGCAGACUUGCAACAGAAGGCAAGGAAAGCUGUUUGCUUUAAGAUGCAUGACAACCGUGCAGAUGGCCAGUGUGGUCUUCUCCACCCAAAAAACAAUUGCUUCUCGUGGCCUGAAACGGAAUUUUAUAUGAUUUGCAUCCAAAUAGAAGAAUAAUAUCGUAAUCUAAUAUCAUCUACCGCCUGCAAAGUUGCUAUUAUCUUCGUUGAAAAUUCAAAAGAAGGGGAGAGGCAGAAAGAAAAACAACAUAUGAAGAGAAACGGAAAGUGCAAACUCUCCAUAGAAGGCACAGGAAAGCAGUUCGCUUUAAGAUGCUUGAUAAACUACUAAGAAACGAUUUCAUGUGGUCUCUAAUGAAAUGUUAUAAGAUUCUACAUCAAUGAUAAUCGUACUUUGCGCUCCACUACUGCCUGCAAAGUUGCUAUUUUCUUCUUUGAAAACUCAAAAGAAGGGGCAACGUAGAAAGAAAAACCACAUCGAAGAGAAACGAACAUCAUUAACUCUCAACAGAGAGCACGACAAAGCUGCUUGCUUUAAGAUGCAUGAUGAACUACUAAUGAACAAUCAUUUCACGUGGUCUCUGAUGAUAUUUUAUAAGAUUUACAUUCGAAAUACCGGAUUGAUAUCGUACUUUAUGCUCCACUACUGCCUGAAAAGUUGCUGUUAUCCUCUUUGAAAACUUCAAAGAAGGGGGGAGAGUCAGAAAGAAAAACAACAUUGAAGAGAAACGAACAUCACCAACCCUCAACAGAAGGCACAAGAAAGCUGCCUGCUUUAAGAUGCAUGAUAAACUACUAAUAAACAAUCAUUUCACGUGGUCUCUGGUUAAAUUUAUAAGAUUUACAUCCAAAUACAGCAUCAAUAUCGUACUUUAUGCUCCACUAUUCCCUUGAAAGUUGCUAUCAUCUUCUUUGAACGCUCAAAAGAAGGGGAGAGGCAGAAAGGGAAACAACAUUGAAGGGAAACGAACAUCGCAAACUCUCAACAGAAGGCACGAGAAAGCUGUUUGCUUUAAGAUGCGUGACAACCAUGCAUAUGGUCAUUGUUGAAUUCCUACUUAAAACCAAUUAUUUCUCUUAGCCUCUGAUGAGAAUUUACAACCAUUACAGCCAAAUGGAGAAUGAUAUUUUACUUUAUGCUUCAUUACUAUAAUAUAUGUACAUAUCUAUUCAACGCAACCAAAAGAAUCAUGUUUCUCACACAUAAAUAGGACAAGUUUUUGGAGUGUCUGAAAUUUUUACAUUCAAAAUGUUAUUGUUUUGCAUCGAAAUAUUGUGACUCGACGCUGGAGAAUUGAAAUUCAAUUGUAAACCUAUCGUAUGAAUUCAAAUUCAAUCCUGAACAUUUUAAUUCAAACAAUGUUGUUUUAAACCUUUGAGUGAAAAUGUAAUCAAGUCCUCCUAGUCAAGUCUCGCCUAAAUGGCAGUCCAAUCAUUUGUCAUUGUACGUGUCCCGACUAGUGAUUUGACAUGGACAAAUUUACUCGAAACGGUGCCAUUGUUGCUCAACUCCACAAGCCGUCAACCUUGCCUAGAACCGCCCUCUCUCAAGUUGAUUUCUAUCAAUAGUCACAGCUCAGCUAGAGCUGGCACCUCCAAAUGUGGAGGCUCAGCAGUCGGUCACCAUGCCCAUCGGGCUCCUUGGCCCCUCCAUGGAAGAUGAUUGUACAAUCCUGAAAUUUUUAGCGAUGUUUGUUUUCCCUCCCUGACCCUUCCAUGCCAUGCAAGAUGAUUGUAUAACCCUUAAUUUUUUUUUUUUUGUGACGUAGAAUUUUUUGUUUAAUUUUUAAAUAAUUUUUUUCCCUUUUUUUCUUCCUUCUUCCUCCUCUAGAUGGUCAUGGGACCUCGGUGACUAGCCAGAGACGAGUUGACAAGGCCAACCUUGCCCAACCAUCGCAAGGCUCCAUCGAGAUUGGUGAGGCCACCCUUGUCGGCCCUCCUCUCUAGCCGGUCACCAGCUAUCAUCGAGGCUUGACGAGAAGAGGGAGAAUAAGAAAGGAAACGAAAAAAAAAAAAAAUGACCUUCAUUAGAAACUGUUCCUGAGGGCAAAUAAGUAAAUUCUUUCUACUUUCUGUUUUUGUUCUAAAUCUAUUUUCUGACUAUUGAUCUAUUUCGGAAAAGAAAAUUAACUAACAUUAUCAAAUAAUUUUUUUUUUCUGUUUUGGAGAAAGAAAUAACAGAAAAAUAGAGAAAUAAAAUGAUCACCAAAUAGGACCUAACUUUAUAAGUGAAUUUGUAAUUCUUCCCACUCAACCUAUGCCUAUUAUAAGUUUUCUUUUCUUUUAAUAAUUCUUCCUCUCUUCUGUCUCCUCUCUUCAUCGGUAUAAAAUGGGUAAUCAGGGAUGGGUGGCUUGUGUAGUGGAAGAGAAACCUAUUCCCAAUGGUCGACACAGCGAACUUGGGUCCAAAUUCAAAUACACCAGGGGAAGUAAACUGACCUCUUUCACCAUUAAAUCACCACGUUGAGUGUUGAUUUUAACUCCGUAAAAUCCUCUUGUUGAUUUUAACUCCAUAAAAUCCUCUAACACGUCUGCCCCUCGGGACCUUCCAGAUUAUAAAAGCAAGAGCAAAAGUCAUAUCCUAUUAUUUCCAAUCUUUAUCAACACAGAGAAACGGAUUCGUGCAUAGUUAAUAUGAAAAAACAGCUAUCCUAUACAUUGGCAUUUGAUAAAAAAGGUUGAUCAAUUUAUGGAUGACAUGCAGCGACUUGAAUUCCAUCCACACAUAGAUAACAUGCAGCCAAGGCUAUGUCAAAGCCCCAAUACAUGUAUUAGAUACUAUGCCAUCUCAAUCCACCAAGAGAAAAGGUAUGCAUUUUCGACUCCAGCAGAUGAGAUAUCCUUUGGGAUGGUAGUCUCGGAAGAUGAAUCUUGCUUCUGGUCUCCAUAAUUUGGCAGCAAUGAUGGUGAUUCCACUGGACUGGUUAGGACUACUUUUAUCUUCCUCUCCUCUAUGUAUUUACCACUUUCUUUAUCAAAUUUAAAAUUUAAAAGAAAACUUCUCAGGUUACUUGACCCAAAAGAUUAUGGAACACAAAGCAGCAAAAUCUACCAUGUAAGCAGUAAUGUCCUCUUCACCUGUAUCAAAACCUUGUCUCGACGCUGCAAGACAGGUGGAGCUACCUGCUGUGCUUACAUGGUAACGGCAUCAAACAGAAGAUAGGAUGAAGGGCCUACCCUAAUUCUUUCGAAGUAUCAGGACAUAGCUUCUGAGGCCUAUUGUGGUUUUCCUUUGUCUCAAUGUAUAUUAGGCUACUAUGGUAGGCAUUCAAAAUCUUAUUCAAAGAUGAUCCUUACUGCAAUGCGACUGACAUUGCCUUAAGCAGUUCAUGUCCUAGUAAUAAUACAGUCUUACAGACAUGUCGUGGCAAAGAAAUUGCAAAAUAAUCGUUCAGCUGAUUCAAGUACUGUGGGCAUGUCCAUCCUCACAAGUAUGUCAGUGGCUUUUUAGUAAGUAUGUGAACAUGAUGUUUCACUGACUUGAGCAGAACAAUUUCGAAUCAGAUUAUCCAUUUGGUUGAUGAUGCCUACAUUUGACCGCACACAGAAUUUCUUCUGAGACGUAGCCUUAGCCUGGAAUGUUUUGGAUAUCCAAUAUAGAUCUCAUAAUGUUUCUCCACAAUAGAGAGUUCUUAAUGCGCUGAUGUACUACUCUGAAAAUUAAAUUACAUCAAGAGAAUACAAGAUUGAAAGGAUAUUGUCCACCCGCCAUAGCCUAAAAAAUAAAACUUGAUCACGGUGAAAGCAAAGGUCCAAAGAAUAUUCACCUUGAAAGCAACAUACCGAUCAGUCUUAUUGCCUAGCGGAAUGAGCAUGAGCUUUGUUUGCUCAACUCAAUUGCAUAAACACGGAGAAGAGGCUUCAGAUGAAAGAAUUUAAAGAGAAAGGGGGCCCGACAUGAGGACAGGAUGUGAUGAAAUGGACCAUCUUACAUUUUCUUUGAUAUAAUGCAGUAAUGCAAUCUCGUCUUGUUCAUUCAUUUUCUCUACUAAUCAUUCUCUCAGUCAUUUGGUUACAACAACCAUUCACCUACUUAAUCUCCAGAAAGAAAUUUACCGCAGAAGUCAUUCUAAGAGUUUGUGGUGUGAGGGACUACGCAAAAAUGAACAAACCUGACCAAAUAUUUGAAAACGACACAAGGAAAAGAAUUUGAAAACGGGGCGACCAGUGACUGAUUCAUACAUGCCAUUGAAGCUUAUGCCUUAAGAUAUUUCCUUUACCAUUUUAUAUGAUGUUGAACCGCAAAUUCUCAAGCAAAUUAUUGUAGCACAGAGAACUAUCAUCCCCUUCACUUAUUGCCUAAUAAAACAGGUGGCAAGCAAUGCAAAUUUAACGUGGCGCCAAAAAUGAAAAUGAACCAAAUGUGCAGCACUAUAGAUACUCACAAAUUAAACUCAAGUUCAUGAGGCCGGAUCUCCAACAGCUCUUCAGCCAUGAUGACAACUAUAAAACCGAUCCACAUAAAACAACAGGUCACGUGGCAGGGUAACAACAAUCAAGCAAAAAGCUCUGCAUGAAGCUCAAUUUCAAGGUAUAAAUCUGAUCACGCGCUGUCUCUAGCAGAUUCCUCAUUUCAAACACCAAAAUUGCACAUGAUCAACAAACACUAGACAGUCAAAAAUGGCUCAGCACCCAAAUUACGAACACCAUCCAAGAGCAGUUCAGGAUUUACCAAAAAUCAGAGCACUACAUUUGGCAAUGAAAGCUUAACCAUCGGGGGAGUAUCUUACAGGUCAGAAACUUCCUUUGGCAGUGAAAUCUUAAUCUUCAAGGGAGUAUCUUACAGGUCAGAAUCUUCCUUUUGAUGGAUCCCAAUAAUGAGAAAAUCAAACUCCAGUGCAAGUUCACAACAAAGGACAUGACAAUAAUAUCAGCUAAGGGAUAUGCCAUGACUUGCACAACCCGAGAGAAAUCGCAGGAAAGACCCCAAGUCAGCAGGCCUAAAUUAUCUCUAACCACCUCUCCAAGACACAACACUAACAUAGCAUCAGCAGCAGCAGCAGCAGCAGCAGCACCAAACUCUAGUAGUCCCUGAUGACAGUUGGGUUGACUCUGACUUGGCAAUAACAACUUCGUGCCAUUUUACUCAGCAAAUGAACACAUAAUCUUCAAUACAUGUGGCACUACAAAUUCAUAAGAACCAAUGUAGCGGGAGUAGCAUUGAACCAAGAAUCCGAGAGAGCAAACAUGUUUUCCAUUAUUUGAUUUUUCAUACAAUAAAUUUAUGACUGAAUUUGCGAUUCUCUCAACUCACCUACGCUUAUUAUGAGUUUUUUCCCUCCUUCCUUUAAAAUAUAUCUUCCCCUCUUCUGUCUCCUCUCCUCAUCUGUAUAAAAUGGGCAAUCAAGGGUUGCUUGUGUAGUGGAAGGGAAACGGUCCUCCCAAUGAUCUUACUGGUGAAAGUAGACCCAAAUACAAAUCAACCAGGGGAAGAAAACUAACCUCUUUCAACUUUGUAUCACCUCACUGAGUGUUGAUUUUAACUCCUUAAAACCUCUGACACAUACAACCCUUUAGGAUGCUGGCAUCCAAAGACAAUCCUUCUGGAUUAUAAGAGUGAGAACAAAAGUCAUAUUCUAUCCUGAGUCAUAGAAGUGGAUACACGUACAGUUAAUAUGAGAAAAAAGCUAUCCUAUACACUCGCAUUUAGUUGCUAAAGGGGUUGAUCAAAUUAUGGAUGAUGCGUAGCAACUUGAUUUCCAUUUACAUAAAUAACAUGCAGCCCAGCCAAUGCUGUGGCAAAGCCCCAAUCCAUGUAUCAGAUACAAAGCCAUCUCAACCCAGAAAGACAAUAAAGUGACACAUUGAUGUUUUCUGGCAGUCAUACCCUGAGAAAAGGUGAUGCAUUUUCGACUCCAGCAGGUGAGAUAUCCUUUGGGAUGGUAGUCUCGGAAGAGGAAUCUUGCUUCCGGUCUCCAUAAUCUGGCAGCCCUGAAGGUGAUUCCACUGGACUGGUUAGGACUGCUUUUAUCUUCCUCUCAUCUAUGUAUUUACUGCUUUCUUUAUGAAAUUGAAAAUUCAAGAGAAAAUUUCUUGAGUCACUUGACCUGAAAGAUUAUGGAACAUAUAGCAGCAAAACCUACCAUGUCAGCAAUAGUGUCCUCUUCACCUGUAUCAAAAACUUGUCUCUGCACAGCAGGACAGGUGAGCUACCUGCCGUGCUUACAUGGUAACCACAUCAAACAGAAGAUGGGAUGAAAGGCCUACUCUAAUUCUUGUUGCCUAGCGGAAUCAGGCAUGAGCUUUGUUUACUUAACUCAACUGCAUAAACACAGAGAAGAGGCCUCAGAUAAAAGAACUUAACGGGGCACGACAUGAGAGCAGGAUGUGAUGAAAUGGACCAUCAUACAUUUUCUUUGAAGAUAUAAUGCAGCAACAAAAUCUCAUUUUGUGCGUUGGUUUUCUCUACUGAACAUUCUCAGUCAUUUGGUUACAGCACUCACCUACUUUAUCUCUAGAAAGAAAUUCACUCACAUGGCACUAUAAGAGUUUGUGGUGCGAAGAUAGAAACUAUGCAAAAAGAAAGAACCUGACCAAAUAUUCGAAAACAACACAAGGAAAAGAACUUGAAAAACAGGGCGACCAAUGACUGAUUCAUACUCGCCAUUGAAGCUCAUUCUUUAAGAUAUUUCUUUUACUAUUAUUUAUGAUGUUGAACCACAAAUUCUCAAGCAAAUUAUUGUAGAACAGAGGAAUAUCAUCCGCUUCACUUAUUGCCUGUAAAACAGGAGGUAAGCGAUUUGAAUGUAGCUCCAAAAUAAAAAUGAACCAAACGCACAGACUCAGAUAAACUUGCCUUCAUGAGGCUGGAUCUCCAAGAGUACUUCAGCCAUGAUGAUGACCAUAUUGCUGAUCUACAUGAAAUGGUGGAUCAUAUAGCAGGGCAACAACAAUCAAGCAAAAAGGUCUACAUAAAGCUCAAUUUCGAGUACCCAUUCAUAUAGGGUGCGUUUGGUUUGGCUUUUGGAGAAAGCCUUUGGAUAAUGCAAAGGCUCUUAGCCUAAAAACUGUUUGGUAAUUUGCAAUUUUAAAGUGACUUGGUAAGUAACAUUGGGAAAAUACUAUUUGAUAACAUAUAUUUAAAAAGUCAUUUGAUGUAAUCAAUUUUUUUAAAAUUUAUUUAAAAUUUUAAAAAAAAAAACACAACGAUGGAAACUUUUAUAUUUUCACAUUAAGAGUGAUGUAAAAGAGACAUAUUAACAAGUUCAAAAAUAAAAAAUAAAAAAAUUACAUGAGAAGUGUGAAAAAUAAUAGGGCCCUCAGAUAUACAAACAGUAAAGAAAGUAUAAUGACCAAUGGGCUAAGUUACUGAGAAUAUAAAAAUAAAAUUUAGUUGUUUCUGAUGUCAUAUGGAAAGUCUUAUCUAAAACUGGCAUAUGAUAAGAAAUGUCUCUUAUUCAGCAAUAAGACAAUUAGACAUAUCUCAGCUGCAACAUGACAGCACCAAAAGUCAUACCUUGCUCUUUUUGAAUGGACAAGUGAGCAACUCUUUGCCUUAAACGACUCCACCACAUGAACACAUUCGUGAUGGCAACCAAAAUGAGCUUUUGCUCAUGUUCAAAGCCUAAGCAUGCAAGAAAAUUAAAGAGCUCCGACUCUUGAAGAGCAAUGGACUUCUUCUGCAAACCUCAGAUUGCUGACAAAUCGAGGAUUAGCCUUAAAAAACUGUUCCUCUCAUAAACAUAAGUACAAUCACAACAUCUCAAUUCACAAGGCAGUGCAUGUAUUAAUAUACACAUCAUGGAUAUUCCAAAGAACUUACAAGAGAAGAUAACUCCUAGUAACUGCUGGGUACAAUGGAAAUGAACAUUCAAAGCCCAGGAUUAUUCCUGGGAAAAAUGGAAAAGUGGGGAACAACAGACUUUGACAUACAUCACAUGAAGUAAGAAUGAAAUAAUGAGUGAAUUUAACUGUCCCAUAGUAUUCUAUUAGCUAUGGCAGUGUCCACUGAUUCCAGUUCUUCCACGACUUUAGUCCUGGAAGGCUGCUUGUUAGGAGUCAUUCGGAGGCAUUGUAAAGCAAGUUGUGCUAACUGGAAUCCAGAAUCCAUAUAUGUAGGGUAUAGGGACAGUAUAAAUUUGGUUCCCAAUUGUGGCAGGUUGCAAUAUCAUGAGCGACCAGUUUCCUCUAAAAUAACCAGUAUUUCUUUUUUGGUUUCUGAGGAAGGGGAACAUCUGCAGAAAAUGAAAAGUUAUGUAGGCAAUGCAACUGUGGAUUCCAUGCCAAAUGAUUUAAGUAGCUAAAAGGGAAACACACCUUGUGUUUCAUAGAGGGGAUUAUAGUGAACCUCAUAUCCAGAAACUCAACCAAAGCUCUGCAUCAAUUGAAAGUAAGGUUAACAAAAGGAAAAACUUAGAAAGAAAAUGGAGUUUCAAAAGACCAGUUGCUCAUUGAACAAAAGCAAAAGUAGAUCAAUUGCAAAUGUUUACAUCUAGGUUCUAAAUCAAUCAAUAUAUUUAACCCUACCCAAGUAGCUGUUCUAAGCAAGCAAAAGAACAAAUAUUUAAUUUCAGAGACGAAAAACAAGCAAAGCAUCACAAAGGAGGGUCUAUGUGUAUAUGUAUGCAAGCAACGCUCUUUUUUCCAAGACAACCAAGGAGUAAAAUAUACCCAUUUGGAAUUUUAACAAACCAAACCCAAGAACUUCACAUUUAUCACAUUGCACCCACUGACGAUUUGAACCAACAAAACAACUAUGAAGAAGAAGACAAGCAAGCAAUACCCUCGGCAGAGGGAACUUAUAAAUCCAAUUGCCAAACAAUAAUUAGGCUGCGAAUAUAAGUAUCAUCUAGGGGCUUUUGCCCUCCUUCAUGCUCUCCAACAACGACCAAAUAAGCAUUGAACAUCGGUGACUCACUGGAAUAGAUAAAUUCAUCAUUCUUCAAAAUCCUGCAUUCCAACAGCUGCUCACUGCCAUCAUACGGCAUUACCUAUCAUAUAUCCGACCAUUAAUCACGACAUGGACUAAUCUACUCAAAACAGGCUCAAUCACGCAAAGUAUUACAAUCAGAAGCACAGAACAGAACAAUCCGUGAUGAUGGAAAUAAUGAAAUCCCAAGCAGCAUUGAGCUGCUAUCGUUCAGUUCAAUUGAGCAAGCUAAACUUGGGAAAAAAGGGUAAUAAAUCGAUAGCCACUGCAGUUUUGACAUAGAUUAGCUAGUCAAACCGAAUCACGUCCUACCCAAUCAAAGGCAACUAAAUUGCGGAUCGGGUUGAGCUGGACAUCAAUGGUAGAGAUUAGUAGUGAAAGCAAAGGUACCUUGCUGGUGGUGGUGCGGAGAGAGAGGAAGCUGUCGCAAUAGACCGUGCGCUUCAGCUUCUGCUUCAGGUGCUUCUUGAAGGUGACAUUCCAGCAAGCAUGGUCUCAAGCACAUAGCUCAUUUCAUCAAACACCAAAAUUGCACAUGAUCACCAAACACUAGGCAGGCAAAACUUAGAUGGUUCACACUCACACAAAGCAUAAUUCAGCACACUAAUUACAAACACAAUCCGAGAGCAGUUCAGGAUUGAAAAAGAAAACCAGAGCACAACAUCUGUCCAUUCCUAGAACUUGCAUUGCCAGCUCAAAAUGCAAGCAUUGAGUCCAUCACAGAGGAGUCAUACUGGAUUCCUGAAAGCUCUGACGUAUUCAUCUGUGGGAUUCUGCUGAGUCUGGAUGUUCUGUGGAAGGACAACAAGGAUGUCGAUGCCAGAUUUCUGUCUCUCAAUAUUCUGUUUGAUGUGAAGUUCGUUUUCCUAAUCAAAACUCCAGAGUUAAAGCAUAAGCUGGUAGACUUGGGUGCAAUUUCUCCCUCUCUGCCCAGCCUUGAUUGAGGAUGAGGACCCCAAUACCAAUGUGUGUGCAGAAGCUCCUUCGAUGCUCAUAGAGUUCAACUUGACUAAAAUUUCUGAGAUUCUACAACCAAAGACAGUCAGCCACUGCUUCAGAUUCUCACUUGGUGAUCUGUCCUGUGCAAAUGUGAAUGAUGGUGAGCUGCGCGUGGCUCUGGCAUCGGCUCUGGAAAUGGAUCCCAAGUUGCUUUCUCAGCUGAAAGUAGUAUGGCAUAUUGGAAACCUUUUGGAGUUUGUGCAUGAGAAAAAUAUGGAAGAUUUUCUCAAAUUUAUGCUUGGCUUGUGCAAAGCUCUUCUUUUUUUAUCACUAGGUUCUAUGAAAGGUUCCACAGACAUGGAAGAGCCAACACUACUUGAUGAAAGUUCUUCUGAGGCAGUGAGUAACAUAUGAUACAUAACUGACUUUGGUGGCAGUGCCAGUGUUUUCCGAGAAUUGAGUGGUUCUCAUGACAGAAACAGUGCCAAUAUUGCUUCUAAAUGCACAGCUCUAUUACUGAAGGCAGCCCCAAGGGAAGGUGCUCUCUUUUUCUUACCAAUCUCCUGUAAGCCAGUGCGAUUCUCGAGUCUCAGCAAAAGGGAGCUCCUUCUCUACUGGUACCAACGAAUGCUGCAUUCUCUCAGUUACUCCUGUAGGCGAUGUUUACUGCACGGAAUGACUUUUGUCAGUGUGCCUGUCAAAGAUUGCUAUGAUUGAAGGCAUCAUUGCUGAGAUAAAAUAUUCUGGUGCUGCUGCUUUAGCCAGUGCUGCCACAUUGGUAAUCUCAGAAUUGCAGUGGCUCCCUCAUUUAUGACUUCUCCAUAACAUCUGCAAAUCCCACUAAGAAGCACACCUUUCCUGAAAAAUAAACUGAACUUAAGCAUGGCAGUACAGAGUGUCUGUCUACUUCAAAGUCGCAACAAUGAGUUGAUUGUGCUUUCAAGUCCCAGGAUGAGAACCAUAGUUGUAUGACCUUCCAUCACACAUUCCAUCUAUUUGUUUACAGCAUAGCGAAUUUAUCUCCCAUGCAAAGUGAGGUUAUCAAUUUCAAAAUAUGUGUGAAGCAGCAAAUCAACAAUGAUCUCUAAUAAUUUGUUACAUAUCAAAUAAAAAUGAUGCAAUUGACAUGCAUAUAUCUCUAGGAGAAACCAUCCUAAGAAAAUGUAGCUAAAAAAGCGAAACCAAACUAGGAAAAGAACACAAUACUUGUACAUAAUUAAGAGCCCUCUGGCUGUUCGAAGGCAUCACAAUUUAAAUACCUUCAUCAGAUUUUCAGAAAAGAAUCCGCUAAAAGGUCAUUAAAAAGUGCAUGCAAAACUUCUCUGUUCAUAUCUGUGAAAGAAUUUGAUUGCCAAAAAAGGAAAACAUUGGUACUUACCUCAAUUUGUUUAAGGUUUGAACACAAGGGAACAAUUUGUGGUCGCGCAUCAAAAAGCUUCCAAGUGCAAUGUGCACUUAUUCAUCUUCUUCAUCGUCUUCUUCAUCAGAUUCGUCUUCUUCAUUGUCUUCUUCCACAGAUUUGUCUUCUUCAUCAGAUUCGUCUUCUUCAUCGUCUUCUUCCACAGAUUCGUCUUCUUCAUCGUCUUCUCCCACAAAUUUGAUUGACUCCUCCGAGCAAAGCCGAGAAAUUUCCUCCACUGCUAAUUUCCCACAACGUAAUAUUGUAACCUCUCGCACACUCUUCAAGCUUGAUAGAUCAGGCAACUUCUGUAAAGAUCCACAAUCUUUAAUCUUCAAUAUAUUCAAAGAUUGGGGUAGUUUGCCUUGAAUCUCAACCAGAUUAUGACAAUGUACUACUGAAAGAUAUGUUAUUCCGUCCAAAUUGCUAAGAUCAGGGAUCUGCAUCUGUUUAAAGCCAGAAAGCAGCAACCGAUGUCCACCACUAUAUUCAAACUCCCGAUUGCGAAAUUUUAUAAAAACAUUUUCCUUACCCACUAAGCUGAACAGAUCAGGGAACUCCAGAAACGAAUCUAAUUUAUCUAAUUUAUCGCAUCCUCUUAUUGUGAACCCCCCUUGCAGUCUCUUCAAGCUUGACAGCUCAGGCAACUUCUGUAAAGAUCCACAGUCUUCAAUGUCCAAGUGUUCCAAGGAUUGGGGUAGUUCGCCUUGAAUCUCAACCAGAUUAUGACAAGAUUCUACUCUAAGAAGUGUUAUUCCAUCCAUAUUGCUUAGAUCAGGGAUCUGCAUCUGUUUAAUGCCAGAAAGCUGCAACCGAUUUCCACUUAAAUAUUCAAACUCCUGAUUGCCAAUAUGCACAUACACAUAAACAUGUGUCUUACCCAUUAUGCUGAAUGGAUCGGGGAACUCCUGUAACGAAUCACGGGAACCAAUUGUAAGUUCAUCCAAAAACCGUGGUAGUUCGCCUUGAAUCUCAACCAGAUUACAGCACCCUGAUACUCUAAUACGCCUUAGCUUGUUUAACUUGCUUAGAUCAGGUAGCAUCGCCAGCUGUACGACGCCCCGAAGGUUCAAAUAUCGUAGGUUCUCCAAACAACCAAGGCCUUCAAUCUUUGCAACUGCAGAGCAGCAAAUGUCGAGAGACGAUAGUUUCCUCAAAUUCAAUAGAUCCAUCGAGCAAAGUGAGUCGCAACCAGAGAGAAUUAAGGAGGAUAAAUUAGAGGGAAGCCUCGGGAGGAGAGGCGGAUGAGGAGGGAGGCUGAGGUCUGUCGAUGAGGCGGUCCCCCCGAAAAAGCGCAGUUCCAGAGAUUCCAAUUUGCUUAAGUUCCCAAUCCACCGUGGUAUCCGUUUUUCCAGGAGCCCAUAAGAUUUCCCAUCACAGUUAGGUGGGCCAAAGCCCAGACGCAAUACCUUUAAGUUAGCGAGAUUUGAGAGAUUCGGAAACGUGUCCACCCUCAACUCCUCCACUACUAAUUCAAUGAGACUUUCAGGAAACCUUGGUAGGGCGUGUACUCCCGGCCAUCCCAAUAUCUCCUCAAAUGGACCCCCGUGUAAGCAAUAACCACUUAUUGCGUGGGCAUGCCUGACAUGAUUAUAACGGUCGGCGAUUUCCAUUCCCUUGACCUUCCCCAUCUUCUUCUUACAAGCAUCAUUGUUCGUUCUUUUUUCGAAACCAUUCUGCAUCUUCAUUACUUUCAAAUUCUUCAACAUUCCAAUGGAAUCGGGUACUUCUUCAAUGCUCGUGUGACUUAUGUCCAACUUAGUUAGCGAAUCCAAAUUUCCAACCGUCUCCGGAAGCCUAUGAAGAUUCCAACAAUUGCUUACAUCUAAGAAAAUUAAGCGUUUCAACUGACAAAUUGAUCCAUCAAUUUCGAUUAAUGAUUCACAGCCUGAUAGGAUCAAAUGUUCUAAAUUUGAAUGAGCUGAGAAGUUGGGGAUUCUCUUCAAGUGUCGGCAAUGGGCCAGAUUCAGAACUUUCAAAUUCUUCAACUUUCCAAUGGAAUUGGGUACUUCUUUGAUGCUCGUGUGACUUAUGUCCAACUCAGUUAGCAAAUCCCAAUUUCCAACCGUCUCCGGAAGCCUUUGAAGAUUCCAACAAUUGCUUACAUCUAAGAAAAUUAAGCGUUUCAACUGACAAAUUGAUCCAUCAAUUUCGAUUAAUGAUUCACAGCCUGAUAGGAUCAAACGUUCUAAAUUUGAAUGAACUGAGAAGUUGGGGGUUCUGUUCAAGCGUCGGCAAUGGGCUAGAUUCAGAACUUUCAAAUUCUUAAUCACCUGUGAAAGAAAAAUCAUGCAAAGUUUACUUUCGAAUUUAAUGAGAUGGAAGAAUAAGUGUUCUCUAGCAUAUAACAUACCUUCAUGUGGCUCCACCCCUUCCAAUCAUGUGUAAUUUCACUCUCAAAUAGAUCAAGGAUAGUCAAAUUCUCUACGGAGAAAUUUGCAAUCUCAAAUGUUGGGUGAAUAUUAUGCCAAGAAAGCCAGUGUAAUUCUGGAAGGAGAUUUGAAUCCAAAACAUCAGUUGGAAGAACACUUGAUGGCCCUUUGUGCUGAAGAAGCAUCUUUUCUACACAAAAAGUUUGCUCCGAGUCAUCAACUUCAAGGAACCUUAGCCUUGAUAGGCUCUUAAAGUCCUUGUAGGUAAAACGGUGCUGAUGGUCCAAGCGGAGGCGAAGAGCUUCAAUUUUUUUCUUCGUCUGCCCAAAGGAAAAUUUUUAAAAACAAGAGAGUUGAAGGGAAACACAUUUAGCCAAAUUCACUAUUUUAAAGGACUGAGUUGAGUACUACCAUUCCAUUAAUCUUAAAAAAGCAAAAAUGUCCAUAAGUAACUUGGAAAUUAAUGCGCAGGGGAUUUUACCUUAGGGCUCUUCAGCAAAUCCAACGCUUUCUCACGAUCCCACACCCUACUUUGUUUAUUUAUAUUGGUUUCUUGACAAACUAUUUGUCUUCCAAGGUCUCUAAGUUGGUCGUGCAUCCACACUUUAUUAUCCUAUUUAAUCUUUACCAAAGACAUGUUCUCCAAAACAUCCAUGGCAUAUUCCGAAUGGAAUUCAGAUUCCCAAAAAUGAACUACAAUGUCUUUAUCAUAUCCAAUUAAGAGACAAGCUAUAUCAAGGAACUUUUGCUUUUCCUUUUCUUUGUAUUCAUCAUAACUUAUUUUCAAUCUACUAUGGACAUCCUUAUGAGGAUCACUUUCCCACUUACGUAAUUCGAAAUCCCACUUUUUCUUUUCAGUAGUGCAAGAUAAAAGUGAACCCAUGAGCUCAAGAGCUAGUGGAAGACCUCCAGCAAUUUUUAUCGCCCUCUCGGAUUGGUCGAUAUACUCGUCUAAAGGAUGAUCUCUUCUAAAGGCAUGUUUGCUAAAGAGUUGAAGAGAUUGAUCGUGAUCCAUGCCCGAAAGCUCAUAACAGCUGUCCACUUUAAGAACAUCAAGAACUUCUUUGUUUCUAGUAGUAAUAAUAAUUCUGCUCCCUUUACCAAACCAAUCACACUCACCAACAAGUGCAUCGCUAUGAUUCUUUUCAUGUACAUCAUCGAGAAGGAGGGGGGCUCUUUUAUUAGACAACCAGGCUUUGAUGGUAUUAAUCCCAUCAUCAAUGUUUCUUAUAUAUGUGCAUUUGUCUUUGAGAAUGCUGGAGAUGAGCUGAUUCUGCAAGGAUUCAAUGCCCUCGCGUUCUGACAUUUCACGGAUGUUGGACAGAAAGCAACAAUCCUCAAAAUUUUCUAAAAGCUGAUUGUAGAUGAUUUUGGCAGUUGUCGUCUUCCCGAUGCCACCCAUCCCAUAGAUUCCUAUAAUCCGUGUUUCACUUGUGCGAGGACCUAUCAAUUCCAUGAUUGCAUCAACAUGGUUGUCGACAUUGACCAAGCAAUUUGAUACUACCAAAUAAGCCUUUUUCAACUCAUUGAAAACCUUCUGCAUGAUUGUUUUUGCAAACUGACCUUCUUGCCUAUUAUUCGUUGAAAGUCAAAAGGCAAUGAGUUAGAAAAUUGAGUUAAGCCAAACUAUGCUCUAACAAGACCAAAUUGAAAACUACAGACCUAUUCUAAAUGCGUUCCUCAACGAUUUAUACCAUUUUGAUAAACUAGCACUGGAACUUAGGGUAAAUGAAUGACCUGAACUAACGAAAAAUGUUGCUUGUUGGGAAUGAAAUGGGACAAAAAUUGACAUGGUGAUAUUAUUUAGCCUGAUUUUGCUGCAUAAUUUCAAUUGCAUACAAUUUCAACAAGACUAACACAAAUUUAGAAAAGAAACAAAUUUAAAUGCAUCGAGUUUAACGAUACAAGGCACAUGAGAUGGAAUGCUAAAAGUAGUCACCUGUUGGGCAUGCUUUGCAGGUCCCAUCCAUUUAUAUCCACGACUGUAGUGAGAGCAUUCUUCCACUCUGCUAUAGUCUUUUCAUCAUAUCGCUUCUUUCUUUUGUGUGAAACAAAAGCAUUUUUAAAACUCCCGGUUUGGUGUCGAACCUCCGAAGGUGUCACAUCAUAAAAAAUGGGCAUGAUCUUUUGUCCUUCAUUUUUCUGGCACUUGACCAUUUGAACUAGCUCUCUGAGACACCAUACGCUAGAGGCAUAACCUUUUGAAAAGAUAGGUAUUAAGAUCUUCGACUGAUUGAUUGCUUCAGGAAGUUCUGGGGCAAACUCUUCCCCAACACGGAGCGCGUCAUCGUCCCUAAAUGUGCGGAUUCCUGCAUUUAUAAGAUAAUUGUAAAGGAAGUCGGUAAAACCUGAUCGUGUGUCAGGCCCUCUGAAACUCAAGAAUACUUCAUAGUCAUGUCCGGAAGAUGUUGCCGUUUCCUCAACUUGUGGUGUAGUGCAAGUAUGAGUAGCCCUCUCUACGGUACCAUUCUGUGGAGCUGAAUCAUUAUCUGCACUGCCCUCCACAGCGGUCUGACCUGCUCUUUUCUUCAAGAAUCCUUUGAACAGGAUGGCAGAGAGAGCUAUGGUAGCAACCGUCACAAUACAGGGCAACAGCAAGUGCUCAAGCAUUUUGUGAGUUAGCAAAGAGAAGGUUUUUAGUUAGAAAUACAGGGGAAUGGUGGAAUAGCAGAGAUGAGAGGCGGCACUUAAAGAUCAGGAUGGAGUAACGAGGAACGGCGAGCCCGCGACGGCGAGAAAUCGCCAGAGAAAGAGUAGAGACUGAGGCGAGGGCGGCCACUGAUGCUGCGACGGAUCAGCGACGAGGCAGAGGAGGAGAAGGAUCGAGAGGAAGAGGAGAGGAAGGGGGUCGUGCG
RNAcentral lists this long non-coding RNA (132702 nucleotides) under Eucalyptus grandis. Its description in RNAcentral is "long non-coding RNA (EGRA_LNC005146)". The record is from RNAcentral. Lineage: Eukaryota; Viridiplantae; Streptophyta; Magnoliopsida; Myrtales; Myrtaceae.